UCUUCAAUCUUUCCAAGUGCCCACCUCUUGCUUUCUUUCUCCUUGUCCCUAGUUGAGGAUGAAUUAGCACGUUGUCUCCACAUGCUUCGAGGUAUCAUUUUCACUUCCCUUAUCUGUUCCCCAGGCAGAUGUGAUAGACGAAGAGGAAGCAUAAGAUGAUGAAGAUGAGUACUCGAGAGCAAGGCUAGGUAAGCAAUCAGGAAGGGGUUCUAGGCAGUUGGUUCCAGAUCGGAAGAUUGAUACCAAGUGCUGGCUGAUUGCUCUCUUUCUCCUUGUCCCAAAACAAGGACAGGGAGAAGGACAGGGAGAAAGCAUGAUAUGAGAUACUCUUGCUUUCAACCUUCAUGAUAUGAAAUACUUUUGCUUUGGAUGAGUUGUUUGCAGAGGUACCCCAAGGAAUAAGGAACACUGAGUGACUCGAGAGGGUUUGUUGGAAAGGCAUUCUCGGAGAAGAAUGAAGGGUUAUGUAUGUCUGCCUUGCAAUGGAGGGUGAAGGGUGACAUUUAUAGGAAUUAAUAAUCCGGUACUAUUCUUUCACUCUUGUCAGCAACCGUUGGAUGAUUUAAUAGUAAACUUCACGUGUUUUUCUACUUCACAAGAGAUCUUCGACAGAUUGCCCGUAAUUUUCCGCAAGGCUGAGUGUGCAUGUGUGUUGGCGCUGACACAUCUGGAAAAGCGAGUGCCUCUUCGAUAUCUGGAAUCGGCGCUUUAACAAACUGCCUGUGAUUUCCGUAAAGCUGACUCUGCAUGUGACAGAUGUUGACACGUCUCGAAAAGUAGAUGGUUGGAAUCGGCGCUUCGACAAAUUGCUCGUGAUUUUCGCAAAGCUUACUCUGCAUGUGACAGAUGCUGACACGUCUGGAAAAGCAGAUGCCUCUCCGAUAUCUAGAAUUGCCUCUUCGAUCUUUGAAAUCCCGUCGAGUGCAGAGGUUGCAUGUGACAAGUGCGGACAAAUCUGGAAAAGAAGAUUGGUCGUGGUUUCUAAGCAAGCCCAGCUUUUGAGAAAGCUAGCGCCUCUUUGAUUUUUGAGUUGGCCUCUUCGAUUUCUGAGCCCACCUCUUCGAUCUCUGAAAUCCCAUCGAGUGCUGAUUUUUAUAGAUGUACGCAGGACGUUCAAAGAACACUUGAAUUUCUGCUUAUAGAAACUCCCUUCUUGCACUUCUACGAUCUUGACUUGUCCGACCUCUUCUUUCUUUAACACCUCUGAAAAUGUCUGGCCCUUCCGACCGUCGUUUUGACUUAAACCUUGGUGAAGAGGCAGUCCCGCCUUCUCCAGACAACAUAUGGCGCCCAUCAUUCAUAUCCCCUACUGGUCCUCUUACCGUUGGGGAUUCGGUGAUGAAGAAUGACAUGACCGCUGCGGUGGUGGCCCGGAACCUUGUCACUCUUAAAGAUAACAGACUGCUUUCCAGACGAUUUGAUGAGUUGGCUAUUAAGGAGUCUCUGGCUCUUAGUGUGCAAUGUGCGGGUUCUGUGUCCAACAUGGCCCAACGCCUAUUUGCUCGAACCCGUCAAGUUGAAUCAUUGGCGGCUGAAGUGAUGAGUCUCAAACAGGAGAUUAGAGGGCUCAAGCAUGAGGAGAUUAGAGGGCUCAAGCAUGAGAAUAAACAGUUGCAUAAGCUCGCACACAACUAUGCCACAAACAUGAAGAGGAAAAUUGACCAGAUGCAGGAAACUGAUGGUCAGAUUUUACUUGAUCAUCGGAGGUUUGUGGGUUUGUUCUAACAGCAUUUGCCUUCGUCUUCUGGGGCUGUACCGUGUAGUGAAGCUCCAAAUGAUCAACCUUCGAUACCUCCUCCUUCUGUGGCCCCGCCGACUACUGAGGCUUUGCCGACUACUGAGACUUCUCCCAAACAGCCUUUGUGAAGGCUUCCUCUUGUACUUUUUUGCUUAAUGUUCCUUUUUUUUUAUGAAUGUAAAAAUACCUUGCAUAUCUGUCAAUGUUUCAAAAAAAGAAAGAAAUCCAAACCCAAAAAUAAUUAAAUAAGCAACAACCAAAUAAAUUAAAAAAAAAAUUGACAAUCAGGCAAAAUGAAAAUGCAGAAAAUGGAAGGUUUUUAGAAACGCAAAACUGCUUAUGGAGCGAUUCAAAAAUCUUCCUCAUUUGAAUACAUGGGUUGCCUCCCAAGUAGCGCUUGCUUUAACGUCUUGCAGCUGGACGAAGAACUCAUUCACUCCUCAUUGGAGCCCACGGCAUGCAGGGAGAUGUCCUCCACGGCAUGCUCCUCAAAGUGCUCUUAAUAGGGCUUCAAUUGGUGCCCAUUCACCCUGAAUUCAUGUCCCGUUUUCAAGCUUUUGAUUUGGACUGCACCAUGAACAAAAACAUUAGUAAUAACAAACGGUUCAAUCCACUUAGAACGUAACUUACCGGGAAACAACCGUAAACGGGAGUUGAACAAGAGCACUUUCUGGCCUAUGGAGAAUGUUUUGCCUCGAAUCAUCUUAUCAUGGAAAGCUUUGGUCUUCUCCUUGUAAAUGCUAGCAUUCUCGUAUGCCUCAUGUCGUAUCUUAUCAAGUUCAUUGAGUUGAAACUUCCUAUGACUUCCUGCGGCAUUUAGGUCCAUAUUGAACUUCUUGAUGGCCCACUGAGCUUUGUGCUCCAAUUCAACGGGGAGAUGGCACGGCUUGCCAUAGAUGAGCCUAAAUGGGGACAUUCCAAUGGGUGUCUUGUACGCCGUACGAUAUGCCCAAAGUGCAUCAUCUAACCGUAAGCUCCAAUCCUUCCUUGUAGGCCCAACGGUCUUCUCUAGAAUUUGUUUGAUCUCACGGUUGGAAACCUCGGCUUGGCCAUUCGUUUGAGGAUGGUAAGGUGUAGAAACCCUUAUGGUUGACAUUGUAUUUCCUCAAUAAUGCCUCUAUGGUCCGGUUGCAAAAGUGCGAUCCUCCAUCACUUAUGAUGACACGUGGCAUGCCAAACCUUGCAAAAAUGUUAGUUCUAAUAAAAUCUGCAACCACUUUAGAGUCAUUAGUCCGGGUGGCUUUAGCUUCCACCCACUUCGACACAUAAUCAACCGCAAGCAAAAUAUACAUGAAAACCAUACGAGGAAGGAAAGGGACCCAUAAAAUCAAUUCCCCAAACAUAAAAAAUUUCAACAUUAAGGAUAGAAACUUGCGGCAUUUGAUCCCUAGCACCUAUGUUACCCAUUAUUUGGCAUUUAUCACAUGUUAAGCAAAAAGUUCUCUAGCAUCCUUAAAGAUACUAGGCCAAUAGAACCCACAUUGUAACACCUUAAGUGCUGUUCUUUAUGUGCCAAAGUGACCACCACAUGCAUAUGUGUGACAAAAACUUAAAAUUGAACGAAAUUCAGAAUCAUGCACACAUCGACGUACAAUCUGAUCCAGGCAAAAUUUCCACAAAUAUGGAUCAUCCCACACAUGCAUCAUGCCUAAGUUUAUCACGUUGGUGCCUAGUGAAAGUGCUUGGAAUUCGUUUUGACACCAAAAAGUUCACCAAAUCGGCAUACCAAGGCUCACUAACCUUUAUGGACAGCAAUUGUUUGUCGGGGAAUGUCUCAACAAUGGGUAGGGACUCCUCAUUAUGCACCAUUCGGCUUAGGUGGUCAGCCACCACGUUUUCACUUCCCUUCUUGUCACGAAUCUCUAUGUCGAACUCUUGUAGUAGUAACAUCCAACGAAUUAGCCGGGGCUUGGCCUUCUUUUUGGUGAGCAAAUACUUCAAAGCUGCAUGGUCAGUGAAAACAAUUACUUUAGUACCAAUUAGAUAUGAUCUAAACUUAUCUAAAGCAAAAACAACGGCAAGAAGUUCUUUUUCCGUAGUGGAAUAGUUCAAUUGUGCAUCAUUCAACGUCCGGGAGGCAUAGUAGAUGACAUGCGGCCUCUUGUCCUUCCUUUGUCCCAAAAUAGCCCCUAAAGUGUAGUCGAACGCAUCACACAUAAGCUCGAAAGGUAGGCUCCAAUCCGGUGGAACAAUGAUGGGUGUCGUGGUCAACAACUCCUUGAGUUGGUUGAAUGAUGUCAUGCACUCCUUGGUGAAUUCAAACGCCACUUCUUUUUGUAGGAGACGGCAAAGAGGUUGUGCCACCUUUGAGAAAUCUUUGAUAAACCUACGAUAGAAACCUGCAUGGCCAAGAAAAGAACGAACCUCUCUAACCGAAGUCGGAGAGGGUAAGUGACGUACAAGAUCUAUUUUUGACUUAUCAACCUCAAUACCUUUUUCAGAGAUUAUAUGACCUAAAACUAUGCCUUGUUUAACCAUGAAAUGACAUUUUUCCCAAUUAAGAACAAGGUUAGUUUCAACGCAACGUUUUAAGAUCAAACUGAGAUUAUGCAAGCAACCAUCAAAAGAAUCACCAAAGACACUAAAAUCAUCCAUGAAAACUUCAAUUAUUUUCUCUACAUAAUCCGAAAAUAUGCUCAUCAUGCAUCUUUGAAAUGUGGCAGGUGCAUUACAUAAACCAAAAGGCAUGCGACGAUAUGCAAAUGUACCAAAAGGGCAUGUAAAAGUGGUUUUUUCUUGGUCCUCGGGUGCUAUGACAAUUUGAUUAUAACCAGAAUAACCAUCAAGAAAACAAUAGAAAGCAUAACCCGCUAACCUCUCAAGCAUUUGGUCAAUGAACGGCAAUGGGAAGUGAUCCUUCCUUGUGGUGGCGUUUAGCUUCCUAUAGUCGAUGCACACCCUCCAACCGAUUUGAAUGCGUUGAGGAACAAGUUCAUUCUCGGCAUUAGCUACCACUAUCACUCCGGAUUUCUUUGGUACGCAUUGAACGGGCGAAACCCACCUACUAUCCGAGAUUGGAUAGACAACUCCACAAUCUAGAAGCUUUAUGAUCUCCUUCUUCACAACUUCCAUCAUAGGAGGGUUGAGACGGCACUGAGCCUCUCGAGAUGUUUUUAGACCCCUCAUCCAAAAGUAUGCGAUGCAUGCAUGUAGUAGGGCUAAUUCCCUUGAUGUCGGCCAAUGUCCAUCCAAUUGCAGUUUUGUACUCUUUUAGUACCCUCACUAAUUUACUCUCCUCUUGUGCCGUGAGUGAGGAUGAAAUGAUGACGGGCAAUGUCUAAUCCUCUCCUAAGAAAACAUACCUCAAGUGACUAGGUAAUGGCUUAAGUUCAAGUGUGGGUGGCUGCACAACUGAGGGAAACAUUUUAUUAGCCGAAACCGAACUUAAAAUAGGGUAAAAAAACUUACCAGUUUGCGAUGGCAAUGACUCAAGGGCAGCCACCAUCUCAAUGAUAUCUUCACUAGGGGGCACGGCAAUGGAAUCCUCAUGCAUGCCGUGGGUUUCCUUGGUGGCUGUUUCAAUGUUUUUCAUGUUCUUUCCUUGUGCAAUGACCAAUUCAAGUGCAUCGUCCUUCAAAUUGUCAAAAUGGUCCUGCGCCAAAGAGUCAAUUAUAUCAAUAGCAAAACAUGAAUGAUUUUCACUAGGAAACUUCAUAGAAUCAGAAAGAUUGAAAUUAAUCACUUCCCCAUCAAAUUCCAUCGUUAAAGUGCCAUUAAACACGUCAAUCUUUGUUCGGGCCGUUUUCAUGAAUGGCCUUCCAAUGAGGAUGGGUAAUGAAGGGGCAUGGUCCGAUUCAUCCAUCUCAAGUACGUAGAAAUCCGCCGGAAAGAUCAAAUGAUUAACCUGCACUAAAAACAUCCUCCAAAACUCCCUUUGGAUAGGCAUUAGAUCUAUCGGCCAAUUGUAUGAUUACACCAUCAUUUUUUAACUCUCCUAGGUUCAUAGAUGCAUAAAUUGAAUAUGGCAUGACAUGUAUAGAUGCACCUAAGUCUAACAUGGCAGAUUCAAACCUAGUAUUACCAAUGACACAAGGAAUCGUAAAACUACCCGGAUCUUUGCAUUUAGGGGGCAGUUUACGUUGCAAGAUGGCUGACACGUUCUCGCCUACUUUCACAACUUCCUUGGUCGACAUCCUCUUCCUCGUGGUGCAAAGUUCCUUCAAGAACUUGGCGUACCUCGGGACUUGCUUGAUUGCAUCCAAAAGGGGUAUGUUGACUUGAACUUUCCUAAAUGUCUCUAGAAUGUCCUUUUCAGCUUCUUCUUUCUUUGUUUGCUUGAACCUAUUUGGAAAAGGAACAUUCGUAGGAAAAACAUUAGUAUGAACUGGAUUUGACACGUUCUUACCUCUAUUGGACAGAUUGGAUGACUUAUGAUCACAUAGGGCUUGCGGCAAAGGUGUUUCCACCUUUGCCGUGGGUGGUUUUUGUUCUUCCUCUUCAAUCAUCAACUCCUCCACCUCGUUAGAACGUGAUUUGGAGUGUUGGGGUUCAGAUCCUACAUGCUUCCCACUUCGCAAAGUUAUAGCUUUUGCAGAUUCGAAUCCACCUUUUGGAUUGACCACGGUUGAGCUAGGCAACUUGCCUUGCUCUCGAAACUGCCCCAUAAACUCGGCAAUUUGCCCCACUUGCUUCUCCAACUCGUCCACCUUCUUGUCCCUAGUUUGCAUGCCCUGCGCCAUAGAAGUUAGUAAAUUAAAAAUCUGAUCAUUAUCAAUAGAAGAACCUGAUUUUUGGGCGGGUUAUGCUUGGGGUUGAGUUGGUUUGUUGUUGGCCUUGUUGGGGUUCUCGCCAUUUGAAAUUUGGAUGAUCACGCCAACCGGGAUUGUAAGUAUUAGAAAAGGGGUCAUUCCUCGGUUGGUAUUGGUUGCCAAAUCCCACGGCAUUGAGGGUCUCCCAACCUCCAUUCUCUAUCAAUUGUGGGCACUUGUCCGUAAGGUGUCCUUGCAAAGUAGUAAGGUUAGCCAUUUGAUUUUGAAGUUCGGUUAUGGCACUUACCUUAUUCACUUGGUGUGUUGCCGUGGGUUGCUCCUUUGUCCAACACCUUCGUAUUGUUGGGCAUUCAACGCUCGAUUGGAGAUUAAUGCCUUGGCUGCCGUGGGGGUCUUGUCCACCAAGGCUCCUCCUGCCGAGGCAUCUAGCAUUUGACGUUCGAUUGGUAGUAGCCCCUCGUAGAAGUAUUGUAGAAGAAGUUCCUCCUUCAUCUGAUGCUGUGGACAUGAAGCAACAAGAGAUUUAAAACGUUCAUAGUAAGUAGGAUAAGAUUCACCUUCAUCUUGUUGAAUUCCACUUAUCCUUUUUCGUAGGAGGAUGACUCGAGAAGUUGGGAAAAACUUCUCCAAGAAAUCCCGUUUCAUACUCUCCCAAGAUGUGACCGUUCCGGGGGCUAAUUCAUACAACCAAUCUUUCGCCUUUUCCAUGAGAGAAAAGGGAAAAGCCUUCAUCUUCAAUAUGCUCCCGUCAACAUUGAUUGGAGUCAUGCUUGAACACACCACCUCGAACUCUUUCAAGUGCUUGUUAGGAUCCUCCAUGGACAACCCAUGGUACUUCGGAAUGUGGUGUGUAGCAAACUUGACUUCAACUCAAAUUCCUCGGUCUUUCCUUGGGCAGCCACGGGAUAUUGAAUACAUAGAGGUGCGGCAUUGUCUAAUCCCGAAGCCGAAAGCUCCUUGAUUGUACAAUUGUCUUGUGCCAUGGCUUCCUUUACUUCACCCACUCUUGCCGUGGGUUCCUCUUCUUCAAACUCAACUUCGGCUUCUGAAUUUGAAUUUGAUUCACUAGGUUUUGGAUUCUUCCUUUUUUCGUCUCAUUUCUCGCUCAAAAUCGUCGUCAACGUCCAAGAUGUGUCCACGAAUCGGAUGAGAACUCCGAGUCAUAAACUAGUACCUAAAAACAAGAAAACAAAACAAGGUCAGAAUCUGGAAUUCAUUAAAACAACUGAAAUAAAACAAUCCAAGGGAUUAGCAAUGUUGCUAAUCCCCGGCAACGGCGCCAAAAAUUUGAUGUGAAAUAUAAGCACACAAAUUAAACCCUUUUUUUAUCAAUUGUAGCAAAGUAUGUAAGUAGGGAUCGUUCUAGGCCGGGGAUUAGGAGGGAUUGCCAAAUCACUUGAAACUGACUCAAAACGUAAAAACAAAGUUUAAAACACUAAACUAGACUCAAAGAAUGCAAAACUAAACUAUAAAACACCAAAACAAACCAAAAGACUCAAAACAGCAAAUAAACACUCAAAACUGCCUUAAAAACACUUUCUGGGCAGUUUUGAACACCUAACACUAAAUUGGACGAAAUUGGGUUAUGACUUGACUCAAGACACUUAAAAACACAAACUAAAUUGAUUUCUAACUAAUCUAACACUUCAAAAUAAAUGGGGAUUUAGUUUUGACGAAAAUUGAAAACAAGAACAAACUUUGUAAAUUGAACAGAUUCUAAAACGAAUUUGAUAAAAGUGAAUGGAUGGAAAGCUAGCUAAGGGGUUCUUCUCCACACAUGUCACACUUGCAUACAAAACGAUUUCCAAUUGCUUCUCAAUAAACCAUGAAUUCCCAACGCCCCAAAUUAACCGUGAAUUGCACUAAUUAACCCUCAGAUUUUCCUAAAGUUAUCGAAUUGGAUGAAUUGCAUACGACAACCCAAAGCAUUCCUCACAAGUUCCCUGCAUGAAUUGCAUAACAAAGAUACAAGCAAAGAUCAUUAAGUUUUAUGAAAAUCUUAAGCAUUGGCGAGGCACUCGUUACUAUGAAUUGCAUGAAACUUCUGCCAAGAAUUUACUUAACACGAUUGUGAUCAACAACCUUUACUACUUUUGAAUAUAAGUUCAUAACGAUAAGGUGAAAUUCCCUUAUAUCCUAGCAUCAAACUUAUGCAUGAAAAUUAAGCGUGCACUCUCAACCAACACACACAAAUCAGUUUUAAUUCAUGUAGAUAAGUAAAUUGAAUUCAUAACUUAUGAAAUGCAAUUGAAAGCAAUCAAAUCAUAUAGCAAGCAUAAACAUGGUUUCGAAUUCCCCCUAGCCAAGGGGGGUUUAGUUCCUCAUACGUACAAAACAAAGAGUAUAGAAUUUAAACAUUGAAAUCAAAAGAAAGAAAACACCUAAACGCUCCAACGAUCCUAACUUGAAUGGCAUGCAUGUCCAAGGCUUCUCCUCCUUCCUCUUUGCUGCGGCACAAGGUUUUGGGGACAGGUUUGGAUGGUAUAUGUAUGGAGGAAUGGAUGGGAGAUGGUAUGGUGGUGUUUAGGAUGGAUGAGGGGUGUGGCAAAAGAGAGAAAGAUGGCUGAAAAUGUGUUUAUGACGUAGUGUAUGAAUGUGUAGAUGGGUUUGGCUAAAAGAAUGGAUGGAGAAUGGGUGGUGUGGCUGAUUGUGUUUUUGAUGUAGUGUCGUGUCUAGUGUUCUUCCCUUCACUCCCUAUUUAUAGAAGCGCCAAAGCAAAGAAUCACUCAAGUGACUUCAAUAAACAAUACAAACAAAGACCAAAAUGAUGCAAAAACAGUUAGUUUACAUGCUCUUUUAUCAUUGUGUCUUGCCUUUAAGAAAAGGCAAUCAUUCCUCUUUUGCUAAUUCAACUCUUUUGUAGCUGUCCAUGUGCCUUCAUUCUUCAAUUUCUGAUGCAUUUGCCUUGUAUUCCAUCCCUUUUCCACAUGUAUUAGCUGUUAGACAACUUUCACACACAUGUUUUGCAUCAUUUCAUCUUGCAAACAUCAACUUUUGGCCACUUUACACCUCUACACACAUGCUAUGCAUCAUUUCAGCUUGCAAUUAUGUUUGUAGUUGCUGAAAAUGUGAAUACAUCUUGUAAAGCAAUCCAACAAAUGGCAUCUUUCACUUCUUUUCCUUUCAAAUUGUUCCUUAAGUGUAUGUAUCUGCACACUUCCACACUUCAACUUCAUUAUUCAGAUUUUUGCAUGUGUUGAAACCCUUUUUAAAACACCAAAAACGUCCAUCCCACUUGCUCCAUAUGCAUGCAAUCCAUUUUGGCCCAAAAUUGCUCCAAAUUGCACCAAAAUGCACUUUCUUUCCAACUUUGUUAUUAGGACCUACAAACACACAAAAAUAGCUUAAAACACUCUUAUAAGCAAUAACUAACUAAGUAAAUGCAAGAAAACAUGUUAACUAAGUCCCAUAAAUAUGCUCCUAUCAUGCAUUUUACACCAUAUUAUAUAUAUAUAUAUAUAUAUAUAUAUAUAUAAUUGAAAAUGCUAUGACAUGGUUGAGUAUGAGAUUGCAUCAUGGUAUAUCCAUAUGUAUAAUACUUGCUCAUAAUUAUUGUGAACGCUUUGAAGUGCAAAGGUGAACACAUGAGACCUAGGUAAGUUCAGGUGAGUUUUUGGUAUUAGUUGAAAUGAUGAAGUUAUGGCAUGACUACAUGUAUGUUUUAGGCAACUCCGACACUAUCGUACAGGUUGUCCAUGAGUCGUACAUGUUAUGAUAGAUGCAUUUAGAGCUCAUUAUACUGCACCCCGGUGUUAGUGCUCUGCCCGUGGCCAGGGCCUAGCCUUCACGUGAUCAUUCACCUCCUGCACCAAACGCUCACCUUGGGUACAAGGUAGGUGUUAGCCUGUCAUACAUACCACAUUAGGUGGUUCCGACUCGUAGGUGACUUGCGAUACUUCGCACAGCCUUCACGUGAUUGUAGCACUUGAACAUAUUUAUUUACACCAAGCCUGUCGUACAUACCACUUUAGGUGGUUCCGACUCGUGUGCAAGAAUUGAUUGAUGAGAUAUGGUUGAGUCGUACAGGUCACUAUAGGUGACUCUGACUUAUGUGCUAGAAUUGAUUGAUGAGAUAUAGAUGAGUCGUAUAGGUCACUAUAGGUGACUCCAACUCAUGUGCUGGAAUUGAUUGAAGAGAUAUGGAUGAGUCAUACAGGUCACUAUAGGUGACUUCGACUUACGUGCUAGCAUUGAUUGAUAAGAUAUGGAUGAGUCGUACAGGUCACUAUAGGUGACUUCGACUUAUGUGCUAGCAUUGAUUGAUGAGAUAUGGGUGAGUCGUACCAGUCACUAUAGGUGACUUCCUUACGUGCUAGCAUUGAUUGAUGAGAUAUUGAUUGAUAGUCAUAUAGGUCACUAUAGGUGACUCCGAGUUACGUGCUAGCAUUGAUUGAUGAGAUAUGGGUGAGUCAUACUGGUCACUAUAGGUGACUCCGACUUAUGUGCUAGCAUUGAUUGAUGAGAUAUGGGUGCAGUCAUACAUACAUGUCACAUUAGGUGACUCCGACUUGCGUGCUAGUAUGGAUUAUUGAGCACCUAAUUAUUUAUAUUGCUGAUAAGAUGUUGUAUCGUGGUAUACUUCUGGAUUUACUGAUAGUAUACAAUUGAUUUCAUCCUUAUACGUAGUAUGAUUUUCUAGAAACUAAACAGGUGUUACAGCGAGGGGUUAUAACGUUUAGAAGAUCUUUAUUAAAAUUUUGUUUUCAGGCCACUCACAUUUUCUAUUUUCCGCCCCUUCAGGUUUUAGUAGCUGAGCUUCCAUAUCGACGAGGAUGAUUGGCAUAUUGCAAAAUAAGUGACUACCUUUGAUGGUAUAUUUCUUAUCUUACUCUACUGUACUUUACCUAUGCUCUAACAUCAUGUGUGAAGUGGGUUCAUUCCCGUUCACCAGCGCACUAUGGUAUUUAGGCACUUUUAGGUUCAAAUUUAUUCAUAUUUUUCCACGUCAUCACACUUUAUGGCUUCGUCACCUUCUAGGUUUCGCCCAGCACAGCACGUUUCGGAGUCUUUGUGGACAUUUCGGGUUGGGAUGUGUCAAUAUUUGUGGGACGACAACUUGCUCGAUGGAACAAAUUAUGUUGUGCAAAGUAUGUUUGCACAAUGGUGACAACAAAACUUCACGCAAAGAUAUUUUGCGCGACGUCAGCUUUCGUCGCACAAAACAGUUUUGCACGACGUCAGUCUGCAUCGCACAAAGUCAACAAAUGUUUCCACAUCACUUAAUCAGUUUGGGAGGCAAAAACUGCAAACCCAGUUGCAGAAUCUACCUCCCUCCCCCAUCUCUCUUCAAAACCUUCUCCAACCCUCCCUCGCUCUUAAACUCAUCAUACAAAUAUUUCAUCUCUCUUCUCCUCCAUUUCCUUUCCCUUCCUCAAUCUAUUCCCAUCCGGUAAGCGAUUUGAUUUUGUAUAUGUACCUUUGCCUACUUGCUAUGCCCUUUUUUUGGUAAUGGUGGAGUUUUGUGGGAUUGAAUUUUUAAUUAAUCUUUGUUAAUUUUACCUAUUAAAAGGAGGGAGAUUGUAGAUAUAUUGCUGAAGACUUGUUUAGGCUUCAUUUGGAAUUAGCAUUUGAAUACUUUAUCGGGGUUAACUUAUAUAUUUACACGGAACAAAUUGUAAGAAAUGUUGGUUUCCCAUUGAAAUUUCCUUGAUUUGUGCUAUACGGUUGAACUGAGGGUAAAUCCAACGCACCGCAAGUAAUUAAGAAUUAUAUAGAAAACCUACAUAAGACAUGAUCUUCAAAGCUAAUCUUAUCCUCACUAUUAAAUUCUCAAUUCUAAGCUAUUGACAAUAGGUUUUAGUUCAAUUAUAAGCGGGUUGAUUUUUGUGAGCAGAUGCCAUAUUUAUGUAGAUAAACAAUGGCUACGAAUCUCCUAUUAAAUCCCUUUAGAAAAUCAAUAUCGUCUUCCAAUUUUAAUACAAGUUAGUAAUUCAAGAUUCAUUUGUCUCAAUCCUUGUAAACUUGAAGACAACCAAAACAUCUUUCAAUAAGAUUUUUCGUUUAUAACCAUAAAAAAGUUUUGUUCCGUUACUUGAUCUCUGAAUGUUUGUUUUUUGCGAUUUUUUACGUAUUCGAUCUCGAAGUAUUUACAAACAAGUUCGACGGUUGCAUUGUUGAAAUUAUUUUCAUAGAAUGUGUAUCCCAUCAAGUUCAAUGAUAUAUAUAUUUAUUAAGUAGCUUUAAAUUUAUUUAUUUUGUUAUAACACUUAAGAAAUUGAAUGGUGUAUAUAUUUAUUAAGUAGCUCUAAAUUUAUUAUUGUAGUUCGGAUCGGGUUUUUGUUAGAAAAAUAUAUUAUUGUGUUUUAUGUAAAAAAAUGAAUUUGGAAGGAGUAAAGUCACAUUUUCAGUAAAUUUUAUAAUAAAUUAAAAAAAAAUAACUUGCACGACAUCACAAUUGGGUCAUUGAGCAAAAACACUUUGCUCAACGCAGCAACCAAUGCGUUACGCAAAGAAUGUUUGUGCGACGCAACAACCAAUGCAUCACGCAAAGGUUGUUUGCGCAACGAACAAACUACAUCGCACAAAGUGUUUUUGUGGUCCACUAGUGUAAAUAUUUCAAAUUGACGAUCGAAUUAGUUCAUUUUAUUCAUAUAGGAUCAAUGAGUGUAUUUGUAAAAAAUCAUCAAAAUCGGAGUUAAAACUAUAGUUAAAUUGUGAUUUUUCAUUUAUAACCGUCAAAAAGUUUUGUCUCGUUACUUAAUCUCUGAAUGUUUGUUUUUUGCGAUUUUAUAGGAUCUCGAAGUAUAUACAAACAAGUUUGACGGUUGGAUCGUUGAAACUAGUUUCGUACAAUGCGUAUCCCAUUAAAACAAUAGAUUCACUAAUACUUGGAGUUUAUUUAUACUUUCAUUAAGUAUAACAUAAGAUUUUGUGAUAUCCACUAUUGUAAAUAUUUUAAAUUGAAGAUCGAAUUAGUUCAUUGUAUUCAUUUAGUGUCACAUCCCGGGCUCAACUCUACCGUACUACGAUAUUGUCCACUUUGGGCCCCGACCACGCCCUCACGGUUUGUUUCUAGGAACUCACACGAGAACUUCCUAUUGGGUCACCCAUUGUGGGAUUGCUCUCGCGUGAACUCACUUAACUUCGGAGUUCCGAUGGAACCCGAAGCCAGUGAGCUCCCAAAAGGCCUCGUGCUAGGUAGAGAUGGGAAUAUACAUAUAAAGCUUACAGGAUCCACUCCCCUGGACGAUGUGGGAUAUUACAUUUAGGAUCAAGGAGUGUAGCUGUAAAAAAUCAUCAAGAUCAGAGUUAAAAUAACCGUUAAAUCAUGAUUUUUUUGUUUAUAAUCGUCGAAAAGUUUGUCCCGAUACUUGAUAUUUGAAUGUUUGUUUUUUGCGAUUUUUGGGGUAUGCGAUCUCGAAGUAUAUACAAACAAGUUUGACUGUUCGAUCUUUGAAACUAGUUUCGUAGAAUGCGUAUCCCAUCAAAACAAUAGAUUCACUAACAUUUGGAGUUUAUUUAUACUUUCAUUAAAUAUAACAUAAGAUUUUGUGAUAUUUGUGACAACCCGUCCCUAAAAUUUCGUUUUUAUUUAUUUUAAUCGAGGGAAUUGACGAAAAUGCCUAGAAGCAGGGAUUUUGAUUUUUGUUGACCAUCGUCUAGAGGAAUGUAUGACUUAUUCUUUCAGUGUAAUGGUGUAGUAUUCAUUGGUACAAAUGCAUAGGCGAAAGCCAUUUGCGAGUUCGGAUUUUAUCGGUAUAGUUAUGAAUGUUUGAAAUUGGUUAUUUGAAGUUUAAUUAUAAAUUAAAUUGAACUUCCAUCUUGUGGGAGUGCUAACCAAUCGGUUUUUAAGGGAAGGGAAGGGACCAAUCAAUAAAAAGAAGGGUUGACCAAUCAGAAAUAAAAAAAAAAUAAAAAAUAAAAAGAGGGGGGGAAAGCCCAGCCUUCCCAUCCAUACACCUGUGCACCCACCCAAUCUAAAUUCCGGCGAUUUUUGCCAUUUCUUCCAUUGAACCAUCACCAUAUAACACCUGCAACCUCUUCCACAACCUUCCUUCUUCCACCUUCACCCAAAUUCAUGGGUUUUUAAGCCCAAAAUCACCAAGAACAGUGCCGGAGCACCGAAGGUGUUUGGAGUCGAUUUCAUCAUUCCGGUGAGUUUCAUUACUCACCACCACCCUUAGUCAAUUCCCCUUAGACUCAGGAAUAAGACCCAACCAAUUGUAGGGGUGUAGGAACACCGAGGAAGGAGAAUCGAAGCUCACCCAUUAUAGGGUUUCAAACGGAUCUAGGGGAAUUUAAGGUGUUUCUUGGCCAAAUUGGCCUUGGCCACAGGUAUAAAAGUUGUUCCUCUCUUUGAGAUCUUCAUUCCUAUAAAUUUUGGUAAUUUUUAGAAAUAGUUGAAUUUUCUGGCAAGUCGAGGCAGCCAACCGCCACUUGCGGCGGCGUGUUGGCUGAGGUACCCCUUCACAUUCCUAAGUUAAAUUUGAUACUCCAAUUCCAUACGUGAAGUCCGGUUAACGAAAUUUCAGUCAUUUGAACCUAGUUCCAUUAAGGUCCACCACUUGAAUAUUAUAGCAACUGACAAUCCGACUGUUGGAUCGUCACCAAACUUUAUUUCAUUAUAGUAAAUAUUUGAGGACCAUAGAAACUUACGGAUAGGGAAUCCGAUGUACGGAUUUUCCCAAAUUGGAUUUGUAAGUUCAUAAAAUAAAAUGUUGACCACCAUUUGGUUUUGGCAAUUUGCGGAGAUUCGACCAUUGGAUCGUAAUGAAACCUUAGGACGUUGUUCUAUAAACAUAAUGUGGAUCCUUGGAAGUAACGAAUCAGAAAUCCAUGAUGCAGAUCUUCCGAAUUGAAUUAUGUAGGGAUGUGUUUUAUGUAAAUUAUGUAUUCUAUCGGUAAGAACUCUGAGAUGUGAUUUGAUAAUUGUUCUAGACGACGAUGGUUCGUGAUGUCUUAAUAUUUGUGCUAGGGAGUCGUAGCGCGGACCUAAGGUGAGUGGGUCUUUUCCUUUCUAUCGUAUAUUAUAUAUAUAUAUAUAUAUAUAUAUAUAUAUAUAUAUGAUUGACAAUUCCACAUAUGUUUAUAAAUUGAUUAUUGCAUUAAUUACUGUGAAUGCUUUGAAGUACUAAUGUGAACUAGGAAUGGCUUGAUCCUUAUUUAGGGUACAUAGGCAGUCUAACGAGACGUUAGAUGCAGCCAUACAAGAAGUGAGAUUAAAUAAUUGAGGCAAUAGCCUUGUUUAGGGAAUUGAGUAAUGUGAGGGACAUUGGUGGAAAAUUUGAGAGUAACCUUAUGAUUUGGUGGUUAAAUGUUGGUCAUAAAUCAAUGUGUGAAGAAUAAAAAAUUUGAAGUAAGGAAACGUAAGUAAUGAUAGUUAAUUAAACUAGUGUCUAGUUGGGCUUAUCACCGAUAAUUAUUCCCGAAAAUAAAUAGUUCGGAUGUAGGGCGUUACAGCUUAUGCAUUUCUAUGCCAUAUUAUAUAUAUAUAUAUAUAUAUAUAUAUAUGUAUGUAUAUAAUUGAAAAUGCUAUAACAUGGUUGAAUAUUAGAUUGCAUCAUGGUUUAUCUAUAUGUAUUUUACGUGCACAUAAUUAUUGUGAACGCUUUGAAGUGCAAAGGUGAACGCAUGACACCAGGUAAUUUCAGGUGAGUUUAUGGUAUUUGUUGAAAUGAUGGAGUUAUGGCAUGACUACAUGUAUGUUUUAGGCAACUCCGACCUUGUCUUACAGAUUGCAAUGAUAGGUAACUCCGACAUUAUCGUACAGGUUGCCCAUGAGUCGUAUAUGUUACGAUAGAUGCAGUUAGAGCUCAUAAACCUACACCCUGGUGUUAGUGCUCCCACCCGUGGCCAGGGCACAGUCCUUCACGUGAUGUUCACCUCUCGAACCUUAUGCUCACCUUGGAUCUAAGGUAGGUGUACAGUCCUGUUGUACAGACCACUAGAGGUGGUUCCGACUUGUAGGUGACUCACGCUUAUUCGCACAGUCUUCACGUGUUCGUAGCACUUGAGCCUACUUAUUUACACCCAGUCUUGUCAUAUAGACCACUAUAGGUGGUUUCGACUCGUGUGCAAGGAUAUGUGAUGAGCUAUGGGUUCAGCCGUACAGGCCACAAGAGGUGGAUCCGGUUGACAUAUUACAGGGAUAUGUGAUGAGAUAUGGAUAAGUCGUACAGGUCACUAUAGGUGACUCCGACUUAUGUGCUAGCAUUGAUUGAUAAGUCGUACAAGUCACUAUAGGUGACUCCGACUUAUGUACUAGCAUUGGUUGAUGAGAUAUGGGUGCAGUCGUACAUGUUACCAUAGGUGAUUCCGACUUGCGUGCUAGUAUGGGUUAUUAAGCACAUGAUUAUUUAUAUUGCUAAUGAGAUGCUGAGUAGUAGUAUAUUUCUGGAUUUAUCGUUAGUAUACAUUUGAUUUCAUACUCCUACGUAGUAUGAUUUUUUGGAAACUAUACAAGUUUUAUGGCGAGGGGUUACUACCUUUGAUAAUUGAAAUUAUUUUGAAAAUCUUUGUUUUGCCCACUCACACUUUCUAUUUUGCACCCCUCUAGGUUCUAGUAGCAAAGUUCCAUAUCGACGAAGACUUGUGGCACUCCCAGUUCAGGUGACUCCUUAUGAUGGUAUAAUUAUCAUCUUACCUCACUGUACUUUUCUUAUGCUUUGUAUCACGUGUGAAAUGGGUUCAUACCCGCUCACCGCGCACUUGUGUAUAUAGGCACUUUUAGGUUUAAAUUUAUUCACAUUUUACAAAUUAUCACAUUCUAUGGCUUUGUCACCUUCCAGGUGUUGGCCAGCAUAGCUCGAUUCAGAGUUCUAGUGGACAUUUCUGGUCGGGGUGUGUCAUCCACUAGUGUAAAUAUUUUAAAUUGACGAUCGAAUUAGUUCAUUGUAUUCAUAUAGGAUCAAGGAGUGUAACUAUACAAAAUCAUCAAAAUUGGAGUUAAAAUAACCGUUAAAUCGUGAUUUUUCAUUUAUAACCGUCAAAAAGUUUUGUCUUGUUACUUGAUCUCUGAAUGUUUGUUUUUUGCGAUUUUUUUACGGUUCAAUCGUUGAAACUAAUUUCGUAGAAUGUGUAUUCCAUCAAAACAAUAGAUUCACCAACACUUGGAGUUUAUUUAUACUUUCAUUAAGUAUAACAUAAGAUUUUGUGGUAUCCACUUGUGUAAAUAUUUUAAAUUGACGAUCGAAUUAAUUCAUUGUAUUCAUAUAGGAUCAAGGAGUGUAGCUGUAAAAAGUCAUCAAAAUCGAAGUUAAAAUAACCGUUAAAUCGUGAUUUUUUUUUAUAACCGUCGAAAAGUUUUGUCUUGUUACUUGACCUCUAAAUGAUUUUUUUUUGCGAUUUUUUGCGUAUGCGAUCUCGAAGCAUAUACAAAAAAGUUUGACGGUUCAAUCGGUGAAACUAGUUUCCUAGAAUGUGUAUCCCAUCAAAAUAAUAGAUUCACUAACACUUGGAGUUUAUUUAUACUUUCAUUAAGUAUAACAUAAGAUUUUGUGGUAUCCACUUGUGUAAAUAUUUUAAAUUGACAAUCGAAUUAGUUCAUUGUAUUCAUAUAGGAUGAAAGAGUGUAGCUAUAAACAAUUAUCAAAAUCAGAGUUAAAAUAACCGUUAAAUCGUGAUUUUUCGUUUAUAACCGUCAAAAAGUUUUGUAUCAUUACUUGAUCUCUGAAUGUUUGUUUUUUGCGAGUUUUGGCCUAUGUGAUCUCGAAGCAUAUACAAAACAUGUUUGACGGUUAGAUCAUUGAAACUAGUUUUGUAGAAUGCGUCUCCCAUCAAGUUGGAUGGCAUAUAUAUUUAUUAAGUAGCUUUAAAUUUACUUAUUUUGUACGUAUACCACUUAAGAAAUUGAAUGAUAUGUAUAUUUAUUAAGUAGCUUUAAAUUUAUUAUUGUAGUUCGGAUUGGGUUUUUGUUGGAAAAAUAUAUUAUUGUGGGUUUUAUAAUAAUUUUUUUUUAAAUAUAACUUGCGCGACGUCAUAAUGUAUACAUGCGUCGCGCAAUGUGUUAAAAAUUUGGUGGUAGUUUUGUAAAAAUGAGGUUUUUUUUUUUAAAAAAGAAAAAUUUCCCAAAUUUGGACAAAAUAGGAGUGCAAUUGAAAAAACAACCGGUCUCUCUUCCCUCUGUCUCUCUCUCUCUCACUCGGUCUCUCUCUUCCCUCUCGCUCAUCUCGUUCAGUGACUCCAUUUGAAACCCUAACCAUCGAUCCCUCAUCCCUAAUCCCUCUAUCUGUAUGUGUCUAGACACUCUCCUCUCCUUCCCAGCCUCCGCUACUCUGCGCACCUAGGACCAAUGACCCACGACUUCCUCUCGCCGUUUCGAGUCUCGACCCACAACUUCCUUUGCAAGUUUAGUCUCAUGGUAAAUAAUUUUGUGUUCUACAAAUUUUCUUUUCAAUUUCAUGGGUUCUGCAUAUUUUAUUUUCAAUUUCAUGGGUUUUGCGAUUUUCUUUUAGUUUUAGUGGGUUUUGCAGAUUUUGUUUUCAAUUUCAUGGGUAAUGUUGUGAUUUUCUUUUAAUUUUAGUGAUUUUUUGCAACCUUUGUGUUGGAAUCUUUCUCUAAUUGCAUUGGAUAUACAUCUUGUUCUUGAUGAAUUCAGUAUUCUAUUUUGAUAUGAACGGUUUUGUUUGCAGAUUUUAUGUUUUUGUUGAUAAACGCCAGCACAUUAAUGACAAAUUUAAGUGUUGAUUCCAAUUUAGAUUAAUCCUUUUAAUAGACUCUGUGUGUGUGUAUUAUCAUAUGCAUUCUUGUUAAACAUGAAGUUGAGGGUUGCGUAUAUACUGGUUGUAUACAUGUGUUGCUUGGAAAGCCUACCAUGUCAAAGUUGUUUGGGUUAAUAUUUGAACUUUGGGCUACAAGUGUGUGGAAGCCCAAAGAUGCCAAGUUAAAAGAAGACUUGCCCGAAGCCUGGCAUCAAGCCCAGAGACAAAUUGGUGCCUUCCCAUUAAUGCAUAGGCCAUGUGCCUAUGAUUUAAAUAUCGAGUGAUAGGGACUAACUCACAAUCAGCCAAAAAACACUUUUCAGUGGCAAUACAAGUAAAAAGCUAAUGACUCACUACCCUCCAAGUGCUUUCGGGCAAGAGCAACGUCACUGUAGUUGGGCUAAUCUAUCUGCCUAUAAAAGGAGGAAGAAGCCCCAGAGACAAGGACACUUAACCAAUCAAACAAACAAACAUACAAACUCUGCUCUCAAGCUAGAUUUGCAUCUAAAGCUGUAAUUAGCCCAGAUCUCAAUCCUUUUCAGGAUCAUUCCCUACAAAAGCCAUAUUUUGUCUAGUUUAGAAGCUCUGCUAUCACCCCUAGUAUAGAUUCCCUUGUGUAAACUUGUUUGUCAUCGAUCCCUUUUUAGCAUAUAAACCCUGUAAACUCAGAAGAGAAGUGAUUGCAAGAAAUUCAACCUUGCCCGACAAGGUGAAAUCUUGCUCAAAGCUUUUUGUUUGUUUUACAAGUUAAUAGAUCUACUGCUUAAUGUAUUCUCCAACAUGUAUUCAAGUCAUAUCCAUCUGUUUUCCUACUUUAAGAGUCUCAUUUGCAUCUAGAUAUGGUCACUUUAAUGGAUACGUCUUCAUUUAAAACCAAUCAAGAACCAAACAAAUGACUUAAGGGAUUUGGACUCCCCUCAUUCGAAUAUACAAGACUAUGAACUGAAAGUCCUUGUUCGCAAGGCAAGAAAAAGAACUUAAAGUGGACUUAACCCAUCCACGACAAUCCUUUGAUAACAAGAAGUCCGAAUAACUUGGGGGGCAAGUAAUCGACUAAACACAAUCUUGUUCUACAUCUGCUAUAUUGAGAUAGUAGUGGCACACCUAGUAUUUCAUUAGUUUUAAUUGCGAGCCUCAAGGCCUACAUCUAAGGCCCGACAAAGGCAACUUUCAAAACUUACUCUGUCCUCUUCUUGCAGCACCCUAGCAAGCAAGAGACCGACUACACCUCCAAAGUGCCAAUCUUUUGGAGAGCUGUGCUGAGAGCCGAGGAGUCCUCUCCGGAGAAAUCUUCGCCUGAACAAAAGUAGUUCUAUCUUCUUGAGUUAGAAAGUGAAAGUGCUGUUCAAGUUUACCAUUGACUAUUACUUUUUAUUGUAACUAUCAAAUCUGGUAUCAUAUAUCAUCUAAUAUUUUCACCCAGUGACUCUCCCUCUCUAGAAAUUUUAAGGAAUGUAUCACCAUUCCAACUGUCCUUGUUCCCAGAAUAAAAAUCUUGAUGUUGCUCAAUGGGAGAUUGUGUUUCUGCUCUUUGGUCUUUAACUAAUAGUUACAAUAUGCCAGCCACCAUAGUAUGGUGGUUAUCUACUGUUUUCCUGGUAGGGAAGGAUUAUUUCAAGGAAGUUAGUAAGAUGGAUCAUUUUUGUUUGUGUUUUGGAUCAUGAAUUUGCAGUACCGAGCAAGUCGUGCUUGACUUUUGUUUGUUGCAUAUUUUUGCUUUCCCUGUUGUUGUAUAGCGCAAGUCUAUGCAAUAAUUACAAGGCAAGCUAUAAGGAAUAACCUGCCUUUCUCCUAGGAGGGGUGUCAGCUAGAUCAGUCAAAGUGAGCAAGUCAGGGUUAAUGACUUGUUGCGUUAGGAAAUUCGUACGUUGUUGAAGCUUUUUAUUACCCAAAAAGAACAUAGCUUUAUAUUUUUUUUGGCUGCUAAAUUUGUGGUAAGGUCUGAUUUCACAAACUGUGAAAUUGCAACAAGCUAAUUGCCAUGUUCUAUUUAAGUAAGGAUUGAUAAUGACUAAUACAGUAUCAAUCCGUACCAAAAAAAAAAAAAAAGAAUCAAACAGAAGUUCAAACCUCAAGAGAAACCAAAGAAAAACAAAGAAUCAAAAUUCGACCACAACAACCCCAAAAUCCGAUAGCAUGCAGCAACAAAGUCAACCAAAAAAAAAUCCUGGAAAUUUCUUGGUUUGGUUCCUGCAAAUAUACACACUAAACAAACUGUUUCACUUGAUCUUGAUCAAUGUGGAUUGCAUGCAUGACAUGGAGAUAUAGUCCAAUCUCACAGCUGGUUGAAUUCAAACUGAUGCUAGCUAUGAGAUCCUGAGAGAGGACUAACUUCACAUUCACAAUCAGUUUCACCGUCUUAUUUCCAAAUUUGUCUACUCACCGCCGUCAAGUUUGCGGGGGAGUGUUAGGGAGUUACAAACUUAAUCACCAUCUCAAUGCCAUUUCAUUAUGGUUUGUAACCACUUUCGUUAUGCCAUUCAUUUGUAAAUUUACUCUAUCAAUAGUAUAGGACUGUUACUAUUGUAACCCUUGUAUAAAUAUUGUACUACUACUCAUUUGUUAAUUAAGAAAAAUCAUUUUCUACAGGGGAGGACCUUUCUUUCUCUUUAUUUGAGGCUGUAUCUGUGUGCACGGUGAUUGUACAUACUGAGGGUUUGUCUUAAAUCUUCGAUAAAGAAGUAGGUAAUUGACAUGUAGAAUGAAUGAUAUGAUAUUUUAAGCUUGCUUGAGAGUUAUUAGAGGAGGGGUGUUGUCUCUUAUUUGCAAUGAACUUUGGUAUUGCCUUUGUUCCCUAUAUCGUCUUAUUGCCUUUGUUUCCUAUAUCGUCUCUGCAACCUAUUGGAGUCUAAGUGAGAAAUGCCUCAUUUCUUACGUUUUAUCACAUGGCAACUCAUAUUUAGAACAAAGAGGGUGUGCUUUACCACAAGGAUAUUUGUCUUGCAACUAUCCCAUCCAAAAGUUUGGUACGUCUUGGAGUCCUCUCAUGUUUUCAAUUGCUCUAAGUUAUUAUUACUUGGUCUUCUUUGAGUUCUAUUUCCCUCCAAAUUGCUAGUGCUUUGCUUUCUCAUGUUUUUUGCUUCGAACAUUACUAGUGAACAACGACUGAUUCCUGAACAUUUCUUCAACUAUCGAGGGGGGCGCUUAAGAGGGUUUGACAUGUAGGUGUAGAUAUAUGUGGUUGAGAGGUAUUGACAUUUAAAGCCAUGGAUUGCAAAUGGCUUUUAAGAAGGAAUUUUAGGAUGGGGUAACUGCAUCCGAAUCUAAUUACUUUUCAUGCUAAUAACAUUUCUUACUUUUUUAUGCAUCGAAGGUAGAAACAAUACUACUUUUGAAUUAGUAUUGUUCCUACCUUUGCAAUACUGCUUUAUAUAUAUGUGAACAAAUGCAAGAAAGGAUAUGAUAUUACUUUGGCUGCGAAUUCAAUAGUUUCAAAUGCAAGAAAGGAUGAGUUUGUAAUGUUAUAUUUUUAUGGUUCAAAAAGUGUAUAGAUGUUGCAGUUGAUCACUCGUCGUCGGAGUGUGACCAAUGCGCCUCCCGCAUUAUCCGCAUUUAUUGCUCCAGGCGUGAGUGCUCCAUUGAAUAGGGAGCCUACACCCUUUACUGAGGCUACUCCUACGGCUUCCCAGGUGCCUGUAUCAUCGACGUCAUCAGUGUCAGUUCAGUCGCUCAGUGCACGACAGCCUCAUUGGUGCCGUCGCGAGCCGGAGCCUUCUAAUCACACUUCCUCGGCAUCCAGAAUCGAGGGUGGGGCCUCCCAACCAGGUAGUUUUUUCUAAUUCUCAGUUCGCUGUAUUUUUUUGUUCAUUUUAAAACUAUUAUUUUUAUGAUUGUGAAAAUUUGCUAGAUUGUGAAAAUGUGUUGCGAGUUGUGAAUUACUGUUAUUUUACUGUUUUAAGGUUUUGGGAAAUGAUAUACUAUUAGGGGAGGUUUUGCCGAAUUUUCUAUACAAAUUUAAGCUUAGGGUUUUCAACAUUUAAGUUUUUAUGGGUAGCUAAAAAAAACACUAGGGGGUCUAAUCGAAUGCUAAAGCUGGCACAGAGCAUACGUCAGUCCGCUUCCUUGAUCAAGAUUGCAUAUGACUCACGACAUCGUGGAGCGGCUACCUCAAGCAUAGUAGCGUUGCUACUAGCUAUGAUUAUGUUAUUCGGUAUUGUUGUCCUAUGCAAUGGGAGUCUUGGGCACAAAUUCCUGAGGAGACGAAGAAACUGUUGCAAGACAAGUUGUCAGUUAGUAUAUUAAUUUUUAGCCUUUAUAAUUUUUUAAUUUUGUUUACAAAUAUUAUAAACCAAAGUAUAUUAUCUUAAUAUUAUUAAAUUUCUUACUAUUAUUUGAUUGUUUUUCAUAUUUGUAGGUCAAUUAUGAUCUUUAGGACAUAUCCCCCAAGGCCAUGGCUUACUUAGAGGAGACCUUAGCAACCCGGUACAAAAAUUGGAAGAGCGAUCUUCAUGCACUUUUUAAGCUAUGGGAUGAUCCGGAGAUUGCUUGCCUAGAGGGUUGCCCAACUGAGUUGGAGGACCGGCCGAAGGAUUGGGAGUGGCUCAGCAAACAUUUUACGGACCCAAAAUUUGUGGUAUGUACAUAAUAUUUCAAUAAUAAUUUAUUAUUGUUUUAGUUAUUUUUUAAGCUUUUUUUAAUAAUUUCUUUCAAAUAGUCGAACUAACAUGUAUAUUGUGUGUUUAAUUGAAGAAAUCUGUUGCUGACAAGAAAGCUUGGGAGUCAAAGACAUUUCUCCACUAUUCCGGUAUAGGCUUGAGGCAUGACGUCAGGUAAAAGUAUAUUAAUUUUGAAUUUUUAUACAAUUUAUUUUUUAUUAUUGAUUAAUAAAAUUUUCUUAAUGUUUUUUUUUUUUCUUCAGGAGGGUUCUAAGUUCCCAAAGAUCGACCUGUUCAAGGACGUUUAUGUUCGACUCGGUGAUGAGACCACUGAGCAGCUUCAUGUAAGUAUAUGUAAUUGUUAUUAUUCUUAUAUUUAUGAAUCGUUCAAAUAUUAUUUAUAUUUUGUUCUUAAACAUUAUAUGUUUUUCCUUUAUUAUUACAAGUUGUUAUGGUGGAAAAGUGUAAUGCUGUUCUCUAAGAAGCAACAUCGCAACUUCCCCCGGAUACCCCGAUCGUGGACGUCACUAUACCCGAUGAUGCAGGUCUUCAGAUCCUGACUGAGGUCCUGGAUUAUAAGUUCGGUCAUCGUCACGACAAGGUUGUUCGGUGUAUGGGGAAGGCGCGGGUUCGUGAGACGGGUGCCUUGUCACAGCCAGUUUCGAGAAUAAUUUUGGGCGAUGUGAAAAGACGGAAUUACCCUUGAGCGUUAGUGGCGUUGUGUGACUAAAUUUUGGUUUAAGGACCAAUUUGAUAAGUCCCUAGUAUGUUGGACCCAAUUGCUAGUAAGGAAAAUAAUUGGUUUGAUUGGUGGGUGGACAGAUGAGACCACACACACACAUCCACAUCACCUUCUCUCUCACUCCCGUACUCUCUCUCGGUUUCACUCUCUCUCUUUCUCUCCUUGCUAUAUGUACGGACAAGAGCAAGAACGCCUCAAGCUUCACAGAUCGAAGGUUUUGAGCACACCAUUGUGUUCAUUAUUCCAUUUCGAGUUCAAAUGUACCCAUUUCAGGUAAGAACUCAUCCAAUAUCACAUUGAAAACUCAAGCUCCGAGUUGAGCACUAUUCAUGAACUUUUGAAUGGUUAUGUUUUAGGACAAUCCAAACUCACAGCGAGCCCUAGGAGGUUCUCACGAAGCUCGGAGUGCUUCGUUGGCUCGGUUUUGACAUCAGGAUCACGAGGUUCGAAGGUGGCCGGUUUUGGUAGGAUUUUCUCGACAAGUUUUCGAGGGAUUUGAAGCUCCAAAGAGGUAUAAGCUUCUUCCUCUCGUAAAUUAUGGCAUUUUGGUGAAAUUUUUGUGGAAAAUGGUGAAAAAAUGAGCGAGAAAAAGGAAGUUGCAGGUCUGCCCAGAAUCCGGUGGCGGCGACACUAUUUCGGCGUCUGGAGGUUGAAGAUGAUGCGCGUGAGGCCGUGCCCUCCCUGGCACGUGGGGCGCGUAAGCCAUAGAAAAAUUAUUUUAAAAAUAGCACGAUGUUCGUGAGGUUGUGUAGGUCACGUUGGUAUAUUCAAAUAGCAAAAUUGAGCUUUGUAUGAGAAGUUAUUAGCUAGUUUUGUGUAUGUGCUUUAAAAUAACGUUUUUAUAGUUAAUUCGCAUAUAGGUGAGACUUAUCCCGAGGACGAGCGUAUCCACGAGUGACUCAGGGGUUACGACCCAUUGACAUACCAGUGAGUGGGCUUUUGGUUUUCAGUAUAUAUUAUAUACUUGAUAUUUUCUCAGAAAUAUGUGUUUAAAUGAUAGUAUGCCAUAAUGCCAUGCAUAUAAGUUAAUAAUUCAUACAUGAAUUGGUAUGUGAUGAUUUAUAUAUAUAAAUAUGGUGUUGUGGACGCUCAGGUAAGCUCAGGUAAGUUGUGUUUGGUUAUGUGAAUCAUCGAUGAUGCGAUAUGUGGUUGAAUAAUGUUGAGCUCAUAACACUGCACGUAGGGUGAUUAUGAUUUAGCCAUAGAUAUGGCACAUGCCUGUUUAUUAUGUCACCUCCCGCACCAUAUGCUCAUAUUGGGUCCAAUUUAGGUGCAUAGUCCUGUCGUACAUACCUAUUUAUGGUUCCGACUCAUAGGUGACUAGCGAUUUAUCGUCCAACUAUUAUGUGAGAGUAGUAUUGAGCAUGAUUAUAUUACACCCAUUAUUGUCGUAUAGACCUUUUUGUUUGGUUCCGACUCUUGUGCAGUAUGUUGCCGUAUAGGUCAUAGUAGUGACUCUGGAUAGAGUGAUUUUUGAGCUAUAAAUUCAACCGUACAGACUACCACAAGGGUUCCGGCUAACAUGUUAUAUUUCUAUGAAAUUAACCUUAUCUGAAUUGCUUACUCUGUUAUAUCUUGGCAUGGCAUACAUAUGAAUAUGAUUAUGUGAAGCAUGAAUUGAAUUGAUAUGAUUUCAUAUAUAUUUAUGUAUAUGCUUAUAUCUUGAUUCUGGGAAAAAUUAUACAUGUUUUACAGCGAAGGGUUAGAUAUGUUGAUAAAUGAAAUGGUUUUGUAAAACAUUUGUUUUUGCCCACUCACGUUUUCUGUUUUGCGCCCCUCCAGGUUUUAAGUAAGCUUGCUGUUGGUGGCUUGAGGACGUCGGCAGUUCAAACCUAUUUAAAUAAUAGUAGAACAUUCCUAGUACUGUAUAACUAGUACUUGUCCUACUGGACUACACCUAGACUUAUUAUGCUCUGAUUAGGAGUGUUUACUUUUGUAACUAACUCCUAUCACUUCCUGUUUAGUAGUGCACUCUAGUAAUUUGGUUUUUUAAUUAUUCGUAUUGUUGAUGCACAAAAUCCGUGAGGACUUUGGUACAACAGAAAGUGUCAAGUUUGUGACCUUCGCUAGAUUGCUUCAGUCACUAGUGUGGAUAAGUAUAUAAAUGGAUGGGGACAGGGAAGCAAACACAAGAUGUACGUAGUUCACCCAGAUUGGCUACGUCCACGGAGUAGAGGAGUUAUCAUUAUUUGUGAAGGGUUUACACAAGUACAUAGGUUCAAACUCUCCUUUAGUGAGUACAAGUGAAUGAUUUAGUACAAAUGACAUUAGGCAAUAUUGUGAGAGAAUGAUCUCUAUUUAUAGAAGAGAGUUUCUAGUUUCAUUCUGACAUUGACAUGUGUCGUGUUGUGAUUGGCUUCUGAUGUUGACACGUGUCACGCUGUGAUUGGCCUCCUGGUUAGAGGGAAACUCUUCUGGGUCUUUGACGGUAUAACGUUGAUUGGUGCUCAGUAGUUUUGGGAUUGGUCAAGUAUGGUACAAACACUGCUCCCCUAAGUUCCCGAGUGAGGGAAGCUCCUCGGUUGGGGACUUGCAAGAUUCAAGCCAUUGAGUAAUCACGAAACUUCUAAGUACCGAAGUGUGGUAUCAUUUUCACUUGCCCUAUCUAUCUAAUACGUAGAUGUGGCAUCUUCUCUGGAAGUACUUUUCCUCCAUCCAGGGGUGGUAUCUUUAACCGAUGAAGAUGCACAAGGUAAUGUAUCAAUUUCACUUGAAGCUUACUUGUAGUUUCGGGCUUGGUCAAGUGCGAUACAAACCCUAUAGUAGGAGUCCCCCAAGUCGCCGAGCUAGGAGAUUUGCCGAAUGAGGUAACAGACAAGGUAAGCAAUCAGACUUCCAAGCAAGCAACCUGGAUCGGAGGUUUGACUUCGGCUUCUGGUUGAUUGUUCUCCUUCUUCUUGUGUCGUAAAUAGCACUAAGGAUAAGGAGAAGUAAAUGGAGAAGAGAUGAUAUGGGAUACUUUUGCUUUUGAAGAAGUAAUUUUCCACAGGCUUAUUCUUGAACUGGGCUGGAGGGUUUUUUGGUUCCUUCCAAAGUAUAAGGCCGACUCAAGAAUUUGAGGGUCAAAACAAGUCCAUCAAAUCUAGAGUAGGUUCGACCCUGAUGAUAUGGGGUACUUUUGCUGUUGACAAAGUAGUGGAUGUAUCGGUACGUGUUCUGUUACGCUUGUCUCCACAUGCUUCCUUGUAUCCUUCUCACUUGCCCUAUUUGUUCCUCAGGCAGAUGUGGUAUCUUCUCUGGAAGCAUAAGAUGUUCAAGAUCAGUACUCGAGAGCAAUGCCAGGUAAGUAAUCAGGGAAGGGGUUCUAGGCAAUCAGUUCCUGACUAGAAGCUUGAUUCCAAGUGCUGACUGAUUGCUCUCUUUCUCCUUGUCUUGCAGGUAAGAACAAGGCCAAAGGAAAAGACAGGGAAAAAACAUGAUAUGGGAUACUCUUGCUUUGAACCCCGAUUUUUUAGAACGCAAUCCUGUUAGAAGUCUGACUCUUGAGAUUCGGAGAGCAGUGUCUCUUCGAUUUUUGAGAAAGCAAUCUUGUUGGGAGUGUUUUCUCGAAUGUGAGUAAAGGUUGGGCAUUUUUGCCAGUCUGCCUUGCCACGGAGCAUGGAGGUUGACACACAUUGGGACUUUCUAGUUAUCAAGCAGUGGUGUUGUUCCUUUACCCUUGUGGGUAAUAGUAGGGUAGCUGGACCUUCAAAAUUUAUGUGUCUAAACUUUGUCAGAGAUCUUUGGCAAAGUUAUUUGUGGUACCCGAGGAGCUGAUGUUGCGUGUGGAAAGUGGUGCCUCUUCGAAAUCCGGAGAGUGGUGCCUCUUCGAUUUUUGAACCAACGGCCCUGUUGCCCUUUCUUUUAUAAGGGCACCAAUUGUGUGCAAGGAGUACAUUCAGAGAGUUAUUGCUUGUAGGAAUUUUCCCCUUACUUAAGAGAUUUAUUGCACCUCAUUUCUCCUUCAUCAUUUCUGAGAAUGUCUGGCCCAUCCGAUCGUCGUUUUGACUUGAACUUUGGUGAAAAGGCAGCCAUGCCUUCUCAAGACAACAUAUGACGCCCAUCCUUCUUAUCCCCUACUGGUCCUUUUACCGUUAGGGACUCUGUGAUGAAGAAUGAUAUGACCGCUGCGGUGGUGUCCAGGAACCUUCUCACUCCCAAAGAUAACAGAUUACUUUCCAAACGGUCUGAUGAGUUGGCUGUUAAGGAUUCUCUGGCUUUCAAUGUUCAGUGUGCAGGUUCUGUGUCUAAUAUGGCCCAACGCCUAUUUGCUCGAACCUGCCAAGUUGAAUCAUUGGCGGCUGAAGUGAUAAGUCUCAAACAAGAGAUCAGAGGGCUCAAGCAUGAGAAGAAACAGUCGCAUAGGCUCGCACAUGACUAUGCUACAAACAUGAAGAGGAAGCUUGACCAGUUGCAGGAAUCUGAUGGUCAGAUUUUGCUUGAUCAUCAGAGGUUUGUGGGUUUGUUCCAAAGGCAUUUAUUGCCUUCGUCUUCUGGGGCUGUACCGCGUAAUGAAGCUCCGAAUGAUCAACCUUCGGUGCUCCUUCUGGGGUUCUGCCCAGUACUAAGGCUCCGAAUGAUCACCCUUCGAUGCCUACUCUUUCUGGGGCUCUGCCGACUGCUGAGACUUUUCAUGAGCAACCUUUGUGAAGGUUCCCUCUUGUUUGUUUAUUUUGAUUCAUGUAUAUGUACAUAUUUGUAACUUAUCGGAGAUAUUAAUAAACAAGCUUCGCUUCAUUUCAACAUAUUGUGUUAAAUACACCAAGGCCUUCUUCACUAAGUUCUUUGAAUUUUUUCUUUUGUUGAAGUUUGUAUGUUGAAGCUUUGAGAGUGAAGCAUGUAUGUUGAGGUUUUGUGAGUUAAACAUGUAGGUUGAGGUAGUGCUCCCUUAAUUUCCCAAGUGAGGAAAACUUCUCGUUUAGACUUCCGAGUAUCAUGGUGCAGUAACAUAUGGUAGGAGUCCCCCCAAAUCUUUGGUCGAGGGAGUUGACGAAUGAGGCACUUCCUUUCUAAGUGAUAGCCCAAAACUCCUUCUUCAUAUAUAUUUGUUAUGAAAGUUGUUAGGCCCAAAGAAGAUGAGGCUUAGGCAAUUUUUUUUCUUUCUAAUUUUCGAAUUUUCGAAUUUUUGAAUUUUCAAAUUUUUGAAUUUUCGAAUUUCCGAAUUUUUGAAUUUUCGAAUUUCCGAGAAAAUAUAUAUAUAUUUUAAAGCUUUGUAGGUGAAGCUUUGAGGUUGAAGCUUUGUUGGGCACCAUGAAUUGAUUUUGCUUCACACUAUCUUGAUCAAGAUAGUGUGAAGCUUUUGUAGGUGAAGCUUUUGUGUUGAAGCUUUGUAGGUGAAGCUUUUGUGGUGAAGCUUUUGUGGGUCAAGCUUUUAUGGGUCAAGCUUUUGUAGGUGAAGCUUUUGUGGGUCAAGCUUUUGUGGGUCAAGUUUUUGUGGGUCAAGCUUUUGUGGGUCAAGCUUUUGUGGGUCAAGCUUUUGUGGGUCAAGCUUUUGUAGGUGAAGCUUUUGUGGGUCAAGCUUUUGUGGGUCAAGCUUUUGUAGGUGAAACUUUUGUGGGGUGAAGCUUUUGUGUUGAAGCUUUUGUGGGUGAAGCUUUUGUGUUGAAGCUUUUGUGUUGAAGCUUUUGUAGGUGAAGCUUUGGAGUUGAAGCUUUGUAGGUGAAGCUUUGGAGUUGAAGCUUUGUAGGUGAAGCUUUGAGGUUGAAGCUUUGUUGGGCACCAUGAAUUGAUUUUGCUUCACACUAUCUUGAUCAAGAUAGUGUGAAGCUUUUGUAGGUGAAGCUUUUGUGUUGAAUUUCCCUUUUUUUUAUUUUUUUUAUUUUUUGGGAAACUAGAAAUUUGAAAAUGUGGGAGAGACAACAUAUACAAAUUUUGCUUCCACACUGUUGAGCAAGAGAUUGUGAUGCAAGCCACACCUUGUAGUAGUCAAAGGUUUGGAUGAACCAUAUAAAUUGAAUUUGCUUCGGACAAUCUUGAAUUUGCUUCGAAGGUUUGAGAAUUGUAGUUGCCCUCCAUUGAUGAAGCUUUUGUUGGCACCAUAAAUUGGUUUUGCUUCACACUGUCUUGAUCAAAAGUGUGUGAAGCUUUUGAGAAUUGUGGUUGAACUCCUUUGAUGAAGCUUUUGUUGAUACCAUAAAUUGGUUUUGCUUCACACUGUCUUGAUCAAGAGUGUGUGAAGCUUUUGAGAAUUGUGGUUACCCUCCAUUGAUGAAGCUCUUGUUGGCACCAUAAAUUGGUUUUGCUUCACACUGUCUUGAUCAAGAGUGUGUGAAGCUUUUGAGAAUUGUGGUUACCCUCCAUUGAUGAAGCUCUUGUUGGCACCAUAAAUUGGUUUUGCUUCACACUGUUUUGAUCAAGAGUGUGUGAAGCUUUUGAGAAUUGUGGUUGCCCUCCUUUGAUGAAGCUCUUGUUGGCACCAUAAAUUGGUUUUGCUUCACACUGUCUUGAUCAAUAGUGUGUGAAGCUUUUACGAAUUGUGGUUGCCCUCCAUUGAUGAAGCUCUUGUUGGCACCAUGAAUUGAUUUUGCUUCACACUGUCUUGAUCAAGAGUGCGUGAAGCUUUUGAGAAUUGUGGUUGCCCUCCAUUGAUGAAGCUUUUGUUGGCACCAUAAAUUGAUUUUGCUUCACACUGUCUUGAUUAAGAGUGUGUGAAGCUUUUGAGAAUUGUGGUUACCCUCCUUUGAUGAAGCUCUUGUUGGCACCAUAAAUUGGUUUUGCUUCACACUGUCUUGAUCAAAAGUGUGUAAAGCUUUUGAGAAUUGUGGUUGUCCUCCAUUGAUGAAGCUCUUGUUGGCACCAUAAAUUGAUUUUGCUUCACACUCUCUUGAUCAAGAGUGUGUGAAGCUUUCUACGAGUUGUAGUGUUUGCAUUGUUACAGUGGGGAAAUGUUUGAAGCAAAUGCAAGAGGGCUGAAUAGCUUAAUCUUCGUAUGCUAUGCACUGAAGUUGUUGUUGGCUUGCAAUAAGGCUUUGUUGGUGACUAUAACUCUUGUUGGGCAUAAGUGCUCCCCUAGUUGAGUUGUCAAGCUUGAGGAUUUUUUAUUAUUUGUGAAUGCUAUGAGUUCACAUGUACAAGUUGUACCACUCGUCUUCUGGUAGGUGGAAUGAAUGGUGAGUUGCUUUCAUCACUUGGUUGGUGGUACGAAGGUGAGUUCUUUUUUCCCCUGGUUGGUGGCAUGAAUGGCAAGUUGCCAAAUGAUAUUAGAGUACGGGUUGUACAUUUCAUCACCUAGUUGGUAGCAUGAAGAUGAGUUCCUUCUUCACCUGGUUGGUGGCAUGAAGAUGAGUUCUUUCUUCACCUGGUUGGUGGCAUGAGUGGGAAGGUGCCAAAUGAUAUUAGAGUACGAGUUGUACAUUUCAUCACCUGGUUGGUGGCAUGAAGGAGAGUACGGGUUGUACAUUUCAUCACCUGGUUGGUGGCAUGAAGAUGAGUUCCUUCUUCACCUGGUUGGUGGCAUGAGUGGCAAGGUGUCUAGGCACAUUGUAGCAAGUGUCGAAUGAAACAAAAUAUGUUGAACCCUUUCAAAGCACAGUUGGCUUAUUUAUGAAUGUGUUGGAAUGUAGGAUUGGACGAAUAUACUGUGAAGUUGUUCGUUUAUUUGUAUAGUCUUGUUGACAUAUACUUAGACUUUGUUUCAUGUUGGAAGCAUUCAUGUUGAACUUUGAACCCAAGGGUUUCAUUGCUAGGAAUGUAAGAGGAUUAGGAUCAAGUUGUCUAAAUCACCUCUUUAUUGAAUUCAUGCCAAAUAGUCUUCGUUACAUAGGAUGCCGAACGGCUGAAGCUUAACAUUUGUACAAUGUGAGUUUACUUGUAAUAGUACUUCAAGUGAUCAGCGUUCCAUGGAUGGCCAAAGAUCUUGCCAUCGGAGCUUCUAAGCUUGUAGGAGCCAGGGCGACUGAUGCCAACAACUUCAAACGGUCCAUCCCAGUUUGGACUAAGUGUUCCUUCACUCGGGACUCUGUCGCAGAGUAAUCUUUUCUUCAAUACCCAGUCCCCCACUUUGAAAGAACGAGGUUUGACCCUAGAGUCAUAGUAGUUGGAAAUGCACUGCUUGUAGGCGACAUUCCUCAAGUGAGCCUGGUUUCUGUGUUCCUCUACUAGAUCUAAGUUGAGGGUGUUUGUCAUUUUCACUUUGCACGUAGUUCUGGACUCGGAACGUUGCUUGCUCAAGCUCAACUGGGACAACUGCCUCUUUACCAAAGGCAAGUGAGAAUGAGGUUUCUCCUGUUUAUGUCCGAUACGAAGUGCGAUAUGACCAAAGAACUUGGGGUACAAAUUCUGGCCAACAACCUUUAGCCUUGUCCAAGCUGGUUUUCAAAGUUCGCUUGAUUAUUUUGUUGAUAGCUUCAACUUGUCCAUUAGACUGGGGAUGAGCUGGGGAGGCAAAACAUAAGUUGAUGUUGAACUUAGAGCUACACAUCCUGAACUUAUUGUUGUCGAAUUGUCGCCCGUUGUCAGUGACUAUCGCAUUAGGAAUGUCGAAUCUACAAAGGAUGUUCUUCCAUACGAAGUCUUCUAUUUUUGCCUCAGUAAUGGUUGCCAAGGGUUCUACUUCGGCCCACUUUGUGAAGUAGUCAAUUGCAACGAUUGCAUAACGGACCUUGCCCUUCCCUGCAGGCAUUGGGCCGAUCAAAUCAAGUCCCCAUUGGGCGAAGGGCUAAGGGCUGAUCAUGGGAGUGAGCGGCUCGGGAGGGGAGUGAAGAAUAGUUGCGUAGUGUUGACACUUAUCACAUGAACGGGAUAUUCUGAUGGCAUCUUGGUGGAGUGUUGGCCAGUAAUAUCCUUGGCGAAAAGCUUUGUGUGCUAGGGAUCGAGAUCCAGCAUGAUCUCCGCAGACUCCUUCAGGUAUUUCCCGAAUGACAGUUUCUGCCUUUACGAGCGUAAGGCAUCUUAGGUAUGGUAGGUUAAAACCCCAUUUGUAAAAUUGGUCAUUAAUGAUCAAGUAACGGGUAGCCUUGUAUCGAAUCUGCUUAGCUUGAACUUUGUCAUUUGGAAGGGUACCAUAAGCAAGGAAUCUAUAAAUCGAGGUAAUCCAACUAUCCCCCUGUUGUAAGUUGCACACUUCCGCAGCCAUGGUGUUGGUGCUGCCAACAAUUCGACUUGAAUUUUUCUCCCAAUCUUGUCUUCCACCGCUGAGGCGACGCGAGCCAAAGCAUCUGCAUAACUGUUUGCCGCUCGAGGAAUUUAGGUGAUCUGGUAGUGGAAGUGUUGGAGCAACAAUUGUGUUUGUGCCAGAUAUGCUACCAUAGAGUUAUCCUUAGCAUCAAAGUUGUUGGUGACCUGGUUAACCACCAAUUGGGAGUCACUGAAGAUAUCAAUUCGUUUAACCCUAUGGUGUUUAGCCAAACGUAAGCCUGUUAAGAAGGCUUCAUAUUCGGCCUCAUUAUUCGACACCUUGAAUUUGAAACGAAUAGCAUACUCCAUCGCCACUUUGUUAGGGGUCGUAAGGACUAGUCCUGCUCCACAACCCUGUUGGUUGGACGAGCCAUCAACAUAUAGACUCCAUGCUGGGGCUGUUGGUUCUAUUUUCUUAGCUUCCGAGGGUAAUGAAACCACUUCUUUAGGCAUAGAAACAAUGUCAACAGGAUAUGUGAAGUCGGCGAUGAAGUCUGCCACUGCUUGGCCCUUCUUAGCUGGCUUUGGUUGGUAGGAGAUGUCAAACUCACCCAAUGCUAUCACCCAUUUGAUCAUUCGCCCGGAAGUGUCAAGACUUUGGAGUAUCUGUCGAAGAGGAUGAUUGGUAAGCACGAUGAUGGAGUGUGCUUGAAAGUAAGGGCGAAGUUUUCGAGCAGACAUGACCAAUGCUAGAGCCAAUUUCUCAAUGUUGGAGUAUCGUGUCUCCGCAUCUUGUAAGGCCUUGCUAGCAUAAUAGAUAGGCCGUUUGACAUUACCAUCCUUUCGAAUGAGAACGGAACUUACUGCUGAAGCUGAUACCGACAGAUAGAUAAUGAGAGUGUCACCAACCUCAGGUUUGGAGAGCAAAGGGGCUUUACUCAUGUAGUCUUUGAGGUUCUUAAAUGCCUCAACACAUUCAUCAGUCCAUGUAAUGUACUUCUUACUUCCCUUAAGUGCUUUGAAGAAAAGAGCACAUCUGUCGGUGGCCUUAGAGAUGAACCUAGUUAAGGCUGCCACCUUGCCAGUAAAGCUCUGGAUGUCUUUUAAAGUUACCGAUUCCUUCAUGUCAAGGAUUGCUUUGAUCUUUUCAGGAUUAGCCUCAAUGCCUCGUUGGCCUAUCAGAAAGCCUAAGAAUUUGCCAGAGCCUACGCCGAAGGCACAUUUGUUGGGGUUCAACCUCAUUCGAUACCUCUUCAGAAUGGUGAAAGUUUCAGAUAGGUUGGUGAUGUGUUGGUCAGCAUGUUUGCUCUUGACUAGCAUAUCAUCAACAUAAACUUCCAUGCUCUUCCCAAUUUGUUCAGCAAACAUUGAAUUGACUAGUCUCUGAUAAGUCGCUCCUGCAUUCUUUAGGCUGAAAGGCAUGACUUUAUUGCAAUAUAGUCCUCUGUCAGUAGUGAAGGCUGUGUGUUCUUGGUCCGGAGGGUUCAUGAGGAUUUGGUUGUAUCCUGAGUAAGCAUCCAUGAAGCUCAGAAGUUCACACCCUGCCGUAGAGUCUAUAAGUCUGUCUAUGAGAGGAAGAGGAAAACUAUCCUUCGGGCAUCCUUUGUUUAGGUCGGUGUAAUCGACACACAUUCUCCACAAGACCUUUUGGAGUAGGAGACUUUCCUUGGUCAGAUUCUUCUUAACAAGGACAACAUUUACUACCCGCGUUGGAUAAUUGACUUCGCGGAUGAAGCCUAUGCCUUUGAGUUUUUCAACUUCUGCCUCAGCGUCAUAAGAUCUUCGCUUCUGUCUCACUGGCUUGGUCUUGGGGUCAAUACUUAAGCGAUGACAGAUGAUAUUGGGAGAGAUGCCUGGCAUGUCCUCGUAUGACCAAGCGAAGACCUUAGUGUUCUCUUGCAAAAAAAAGAUCAAUGCCAACCGAAUAGGUGGUGACAAGGUGGUGCCAAUCUUCACCAUGCGAUCUGGAUAAUCUUUUGAGAUAGAGACCUUCUCCAACUCUUCAGCGGGUUGUGCUUGCUGGGUGAAAGAGUCAUCUCGAGGAUCGUCGGGUUGAUUGUUGCCACCGUGAAAAUCCAAGUUGGCUUCGUCUGGGCUGGUCUUUAUGACUUGGUCAUGUAUAGAAAGGGUUUCCUUGGGCACAGGCAGGUGUUGUUGCUUGACCAAAGUGUUGUAACAUGAUCGUGCACUAAGUUGAUCUCCUCUGAUGUAACCAUUGCCAUAAGGGGGUUGGAAAUUUCAUCAACAACAUAUGUGUGGAUACCAUGGCCUUGAGAUCAUUGAUGCCUGUGCGUCCAAAGAUGACAUUGUAUGCCGUUGGGCAAUCAACCACCAAGAAGUUAGUGGUAAUGGUAGCUGUGUAAGGGCAUGUACCAAUGGUGAAAGGUAAGUGUAUGCUCCCCAAAGGUUGCACGAUAUCACCGGAGAAGCUUAUUAGAGGGGAAAUCGAGCGAUCGAGCAAGUGUUCAGCUACAUUAAGUGCCCUGAAAGCUUUAGCAAACAUGAUAUUGACCGAAGCCCCCGUGUCUACCAGGAUUCGCCGUACUUCAAAGUUGGCUAUGUGAGCUUCCACGAUCAGUGGGUCAUUGUGAGGGUAGAUGAUACCUCUUUCUUCCUCAGGGUAGAAACAUAUUGGAUCCCAGUUAGGCUUUUGACACUUGCCUCCCCUAAUGUCUUCCACGUGAAACACUUGGUGACCAGGCCUUAAAACUCGUUCGCUGUUUUUCAUGGCUCUAUUGGACGAUUCAGAUAUGGGUGUGCCGCCGCUUAUGGAAUAUAUCACAUUCACUUGGCGUUGGUUACGGUUAUCCCUUGAAGGGUGAAUGAGGAAUUGAUCAAUUUUUCCUUCACGAGCCAAAGCUUCAAUAUGAUCACGAAGGGUGAUACACUUCUCGCCGUCAUGGCCGUUAUGCUCAUGGUAUCAGCAAAACGCGCCCAUGUUCUUCGUGGGCUUGUAACCCGACUGCCUCGGCAUUGGCUUCGGUAUCAGGUGUGCUAUGCUGGGGUAAAUGGCCACACAUGUGGCGUUCAAAGGUGUGUAUGUCUCAUAUCUCAGGGUAAGGCCUGUCCUGACAAGUGCUUGGCCCACUGCGUUGACUGCUUGGGGACGGGCAUUAUCGUGGCGAUACCCUUGGUUAUCGCGGUAGUGUCCCUUACUUUUUUUACUAAAAUGAGACUGGUGAGGAUGGAAGUCUUUCCUUUUGCCCUAAGAUUGAUAUGUCUAUUGACUUGGCAAAGUAUUAAGUAAGGCAGGAGGAGGCACCGCUACCAUUUGGAAGGUUGAGGUAUUCUCAUUUGGUUGGAUCUGGCUUCCACUCCCUACUUGCUGAUAAGGGGUGGUUGUGGGGGGUUUCCCUUGAUAUGUCAUUGCCUCAGCAGAGGCAUGGUUGUAAGCCUGUGCCAUCACCUCAGAGUAAGUCUUCCAAGUGUUGGCAUUGAUCAUGUACUUGAAGAAACAAUCACGUAGGCCUGCCGUGAAGGCUUUGAGGGUAGUCUUGUCGUCUGCCUCAGCACAACAGGAAUACUCAUAGCUGAAGCGGCUAGUAUACAUACGUAAUGACUUAUAUGGCUUCUGGCGAAUAAUGUACAAGUCAUCCGCAGAGUGCAAGCGAUCGGUCUGGAAAAUGUGUUGAGAAACAAACAGUUUCCUCAAUUCUUGAAAUGAGUCUACCGUCUCAGGUGGAAGACGGCAAUACCAGUUUAGAGCUUCACCAGAGAGGGUGGAAGGGAAGAGAAGACAUCGCUCUUCGUCGGUGUGCAUCUGGUAUGCCAUGGUGGACUCAAAGAGGUUAAGGUGUUCAAUCGGAUCCUCCUUUCUAGUAUAGAGUUGCAAGCCAAGCUUCUGCUUUGUUUUUGCUUGGAUGAGGGUGUCGAGGAUCCUCCUUGUAAUAGGGCCAGGCCUAGGUUGGUUCCAAUCAGGUAUCUCAGCUUGUCGUUCGGCCUUCAACUUGUUUACUUCCUUAAGGAGUUGUAGGACAAGAGGGUCCUGAGUGGAGUUAUGUACCACUAGAGCUUUCUUUCGUAAAUCUUCAUCUCUUCUUGGAAGUAGGAAGGUUUGAUCAAGAGUAUGUGGUUUUUCCCUGGACUCGCCGUACUGACUUCCAAGGUAUGUUUGUCGGAACAUCUCUGAGUCCCCUACACCUUCGUGUUUCUCUAGGACUUGUUGCCCUUUCCCCAAAUUGAUAGCCGGCCUGGGACAUGGGAGGGGACCGAGUCUUUUAAAGACCCUUAGGUCAUUGAUUUUCGAGCUUACAUGGAUGGGAUUGUCUCGACGUUACUUUAGGAAAUCUCGACAGUCGCGAAAGACGGCUUUCGAUCCUUCCACUCCUUCUGUAAGGAGGUGUUUUCCUCCACUUCUCCUACUUCGGGUCGAAGCAGCUGGGUUGAGAGAAGUCUCAUGUUGAUCAAUGUUUUGAUGAUUAACUCGCUCCUCAUCAGGGAUACCCAUGUCGAAUGAAGGCGACCCUCCGUGUUGGGGGGCACCUAGAUGAUGGUUGAUGUCCACAGGGGUAAUGAGCUCGCGUGUUUAAGUACGCCUAGUUUCAUGGAGCGUCUCAAAGAGCUUUUCAUACUGCUCUUGGAGGACCUCAUUCUUCAUUGCUAUCUUAUUGUUCUGAGUUUCUAGCUCAUCGACUUUAGCUUGAAGAGCAACCUUCUUUCCUUCUUUCUUUCAUUGCCUCGCACCAAGUGCAAGAGGGGUGUCAUUCUGCGUGCUAUGGCUUCCUUCACUUCCCAUGUUGGAGAGGGAUGCCUGGUCAAAAGAGAGUGUACGAAUGGUGGAAACCAGCUUAACAAAGCUUAAGAGAGUGGGAAUAAGUGUCAUUUCCCACAAACGGCACCAAAUGUUGAUGUACAAAAUCAGUGAGGACUUUGGUACAACAGAAAGUGUCAAGUUUGUGACCUUCGCUAGAUUGCUUCAGUCACUAGUGUGGAUAAGUAUAUAAAUGGAUGGGGACAGGGAAGCAAACACAAGAUGUACGUGGUUCACCCAGAUUGGCUACGUCCACGGAGUAAAGGAGUUCUCAUUAAUUGUGAAGGGUUUACACAAGUACAUAGGUUCAAGCUCUCCUUUAGUGAGUACAAGUGAAUGAUUUAGUACAAAUGACAUUAGGCAAUAUUGUGAGAGAAUGAUCUCUAUUUAUAGAAGAGAGUUUCUAGUUUCAUUCUGACAUUGACACGUGUCGUGUUGUGAUUGGCUUCUGAUGUUGACACGUGUCGCGCUAUGAUUGGCUUUUGAUGUCGACACGUGUCGCGCUGUGAUUGGCCUCCUGCUUGGAGGGAAACUCUUCUGGGUCUUUGACGGUAUAACGUUGACUGGUGCUCAGUAGUUUCAGGAUUGGUCAAGUAUGGUACAAACACGUAUAUUUCCUAUCAUUAUUGCUACCGCAUUGUGCAUAUGGCUACGUCACUCUCAUGUGACGGCCAACAUGCCUUGAUCUCGGUUGGGGUGUGUCAUGCCUCAUCUUCUAGAUCGACCACAUGAGAGGUCAAUGCCCUAAAAGAGGAAGUGACAACCCUAAAAGGUCUGCUUGGUGCCCAGAGCGAGCAGAUGAGUAUGAUUAUACGGGCCUUAAAUAUGUCUGGCCUCCAAAUCUCGAUGCCAACACCUGAUCUUGCUCCAUCUUCAACUUCCCAGCCACUUCGCCCAGCUGAUACCCAAUAGCUUGAUGUAUCAAACCUAGAAGACUACUUGUUGUAGUUUUUUCCUUUUUGUUCGGACAUCUUGUAUGUACAUUUUCAUAUAUUUUAUAAUUAAAUACUUUUUUUGGGUUUAUUAAUUAUUGUUUAGAAUUUAAUUACAAUAUUUAUUAAAAAUUAAAUAAAAAAUAUUUUUGCCAAAAAAAUAUAAAAUAAAAUAAGGGUUUGAGGGAUGAAGAAGUAACCUGCGUCGUGCAAAACUCCUUUGAGCGACACAUGUAUCUACAUCUCACAAAACUCCUUUGCGCGACCCAUGUCCCUCCGUCGCGCAAAGUGUCUUUGCAUGAUGGAUAACCUACGUCGUGCAAAGUAGUUCUGUGCGACAGAGGAACAUGAGUCGUGCAAAGGAGUUUUGCAUGAUGUAGGGACAUGUGUUGCGCAAACCCUGCUUUCAUUGCCUUGGCGCGACGGUUAACGCUCGAUGAAGGUUCGUUGGGCUAAUUUUCAGUCAACGUUUUUUGACUUUGCGCGACAAAGGUACCUGCGUCAUGCAAAUUGUUUUUUUUUUUUUUUUGUACUAGUGAACUCAGGUGAGACGAUUGGCUACUAGAGUUACCCAUACACAAAUAGCUUUGACGGUUACAACAUAAUGAAACUUCGAAGGAUAAUCAAAUAGAAAUGUUUAGGAAACUUGGCUAGGGUUAUGAUGUUGCUCUCUAAGAGGAGAUUUCGGCACUGCUCACUCUGUUGUCUAAUGUGUUGUUAAAUCCCUCACCCAUGAUCUCCUUGUAUAGUGAUCAUCCAAGGGCAUUUUGGAAACUACAGAAUAACUUGGAGAUGAAACUUGUUCCAUAUUCUUACCAAUCUCCUAGAAUAUCCUCUCUAAAAAGGAUAUUAUUAUUGAUUUAUCAAUGAGGAUAAAUCAAAAAAUUAUUGUGGGAUUAAUCAUUCAAUUUUGGGUGGAUCACCGUAAUUAAAUACUUAAUUAUAAAUUAAAUAUUUCUAAUCCUUCUAGUGUCACGAUUGUUGUAGAGCCAAGCCGCAAGGUGGUCAUUGAGAAAUAUGUUCUGCCGAGAAUAUAUAGAUUCUGAGAUCAUUCCUGCAAACCUUUGUCCACAGGUCAACCCUAAUUUAGGAAAACAAUUGCUUGUGAUACAAGAGAAUAAUAAAUAUUACUACUUUUCUGUCAUUGUAUACUUGAGUUCAAUAUUAAUUUCCGUUAAGAGACAAGUAGAUUUUUUAUGUCAAUUUUGUAAUGCCUAUGGAUCCAAAAGCGAUCAUUAUGAGAGAUGUGACUAAAUGGAUGAAGGCUCUUGUAAAUUAUUCCUGUAAACCUGUCAAGAGACAAAUUUCUCUUUCUUGGGAUCAUCUUGAUGGAGAUUGGUGUAAGCUAAACGCGGAGGGAUCUAGAAGGACAAAUUCUAGUCGAAUUGGAGCUGGUGGCAUACUUAGAGAUCAUAAUGGCAACUGGUUAGGAGGUUUUGUUGUCAAUUUGGCGCAAGGGCAGGUUUGUGAUGCUGAAUUAUGGAGUUUAUACUUUGGUUUACAGCUUGUUGUUGAUAAGGGUGCUACUGAUUUUCAUAUUGAGAUGGAUUCCAAGGCUAUUGUUAUGUUGUUGAAGCAAACCCAAGUCGAUAAUUUCCAUCCUCUUGACACAAUUAUGCAUAGCUGCAGAUUAAUGAUGAGACAACUGAGGAGGUGUCAGUUGGAACACAUUUACAGAUAGAAGAAUAUUGUGGUGGAUCAGUUGGCUAAUUGUAGUUUUAAUAUGGAUUAGAACAGAAAAAAAAAAAUUAGUAGCGCAAAAAAAAAUUAUUAAUUUCCCUUCGUUAUUAUUCCCAAGAGAAUUUGGCAUAAAUUAUCAAGUAAAGAAAGGGUACAUACAAAGAUUUAUUUAUAGAACAAACUCACGUAUGUAAUUAAGGGAAAAACUCAGACCGAAAAAAGGAGCAAAAAGAAUUAUAAGCUUGUAGGUAGCACGCAUGGAAGAAUAUGACAGCUCAAUUCCGUUUGUCUAGUCAAUCUUAGUCCAGUCCGAUCCGAACAGUACUAGUUAUUACAUCUUGUCCGGAUCAAUAUUUCGGAAGUCCAAUGUUGAAUGAGAUCUGCGGAACUGAGACAGUGCACUGUCUUCUGUAUGGUUGAUGAUAUCUGUUAUAGAGGCCUGCAAGAGCGCGAAGUUGUUGAUGUUCUUAAGAAUGUCAGGAUUGAUGUUCUUCAAAGCAUUAGGAUGACCUUCGGUGGUUGGGAAUCGUUUUUGAUGAGAACGGAUUAUUGGCGAAAGAGAUGCAUGCAAGUUGUCAUAUAUGCUGUUGCUUCUUCUGCUUGGUUUGAAAGUAGUGGAGGAAGCGCUGCUGCAUGCACUGUUGCCUGUCUCUUGGUCUUGGCCUUGGCUAUGCAAGCUUCCCAUUUCGCUAUGGAUGCUUCCCAUAUCCUGGCUGUGCCAACUUCCCAUUACUUGCCAGUACAUGUUUGGUUCUGCCUUCUUUUCCACCUGCGAAAACUAAACAAGUACAAAAUCCAUAUAUGUACAUCAAUCGUCUUGAGCUAUAUAUAUCAAUCACAUGCAUAUGCAGUACAAUUUUACAACUCCACUUUACAGGGUGAUAGAAAUUCAACGAUAUCUAAGGAUGAUACUAGUUUCAUUUAUUAUGAAAGACAAUGGUAUUCACAUACCGUUUUUCUCCUCAUGCAUACCCUGUUUAAUUCUAACAUUUGGAUCGACAAAAGUAAAGGAAAAUCAAAGGACAGAACUAAAUAGGGUGUGUGUAAGAAAUCAUUUCACUUCUAAAAACUACUUAAUUAGGGAGACACCGCAAAAAAAACUUGUGAAACACAUAACAGCUUAACUGAACUACCCGAAUAAGUGGAACUAAGAAAAGGAUUAAUAAUGGAUAAUUCAAAUGAAAUUUAUGAUUGAAGAUCAGAGAUCUAUGAAGGUGCAAAACUUACCUCGUUAGAAGAUUCGACUUCUCCUCUAACCUCUUGAACCUUUCUUUGAACCAGUCCGCGAUUUGUUUGAGGCAAUUGCUUUGGUUUGGAAGUCCUCCUUACAUAUAAUUAAGAUGGAAAAGCACCCUAUUAGCCAUUGUGGUUUUGGUAGCAAUUAAAUAAAAGCCCUUGCUACAUUUCAUAAUUUCUUGAAGAUUUUAUAAGAUUCAGGACAGUCAUUGUUGUGAGGGUUCCAUUUCUGCAAUUUCUCCAUUACAGAAAACCAUUUUACUAUGAACAUAGUGCACCAUAUCUAAUAUGAAUGAGACAUCGGAAUAUGCCUUCUUAACCACCCGAAAAACAGAAACACAUCUAACGAAUGAUGGAAAAAAUGCAAUUGAUACACUAAUGAAUUUGUAAAGUUGUACGUGAGAAGGAUGUAUUUAAAAUUUACUAAUGUUAUAUUUGCGUUAUGCAAAAUUAAGAUCCGAUCAAAUGUUGAAAACUUUAUAAGAACAAGUUUUAAAUUAUAAUUUGGGCUAUCUUUCCUUCUUUCAGUCUAUUAUUAUGCCUAAAUUAAUCAAAAUAAUCAAUGAAAGUAAAUUGCAAUGUAUUUAGUUGAAAUUUGAAAUAGCAUACUUCUUCCGGUCCUUGGUGUGAGUUCGUGCGUCCUCCUCUUUAUACAUUACUGGUAGAGCUGAAAGGUCACAUGCCGACGGACUUGAACUAAAAAACUGAAACCAGAAAAAAUUUACAAUUUGCAAAUACAUGUUGAGCAUACUAAAAUAUAUAGAUCACUAAGACAUCUUUUACUUUCUCAAGCAUUGUUGUUUCUACACUCACUUUUCUCUUAGAGCGAUCAAAUUUCAUGCAGAUUGCAGUUGGUGAGCUAAAUAAAAGGGAAGCUCGGGACUAAAAAGCAAUAACGGAAAAUAUUGAUUACACGAAGAAAGAGUUUCAUGAUUGUACUCACUUGACUUUGGAGUGCAGAAGCAGCACUGCCACGAGAUGCCGGAUCCAGAGCAAGAAGUGUUGUUAAGAGAUCAAAUGAUGAUGUUGAGAAGUCCCUGAAGAACUCUUCAAAACUAGGUUUGUAAUGUUGUGGUGGUCGGAAGCUUGUUGGUAACUUCAUUUUCUUCCAGUAAUCCUCUCCGGGUGAACCACAAAGCUUGAAGAUCCUAUGAAGUUGCUCAACCUGAACACACAACUUAAUGAAUCUGCCUCUGUAAUUUCUCAAAAAUGAUGGUGGGAUCAAUCGAAGAUUCCUUGUGUGAAUAUAAUUGCGGUUACUGGUGUUGAAAAUGAAGUUAAGACAAAAUCAUUUUACCUCGGUUCUCCCAGGCAUAACUGGCCUCCCAACAAACAUUUCUGCCAAUAGGCAUCCUGCACUCCAAAGAUCAAUACCAACUCCAUAAUCCGUAGAACCUAACAAGAGCUCUGGCGCUCUGUACCAGAGUGUCACUACUCGGCUUGUAAGAGGACGUUUCUUUGGAGGGAAAAAAUUUGCAAGCCCAAAAUCUGCAAUUUUCAGCAUCCCAUUUCUGUCUAUUAGCAAGUUGGAAGCUUUAAUGUCUCGAUGUAAAAUCCCGUUUUCAUGGCAGUGCUGGAGACCAGCAAGAAGCUGCUGCAUAUAGCACUUGACCUGUAUGAAAGAGAAAAUUGAAACAAAAACACCUAAAUCUGUCUGUCUGACCAUUGAGUACUAUGAAUUCCACACCAUUUCUGUUACAGACUCGGUUCAUUUGUACUUACUGCACACGUAUAAGCCCAAAAUCUACAUAACAUAUAUACAUAAAUAAAUUUUUAGGUGUAGGGAUAGAUGACGACAACAAAUGCCAACCUGGGGUUCAGUGAGCCUCUGUCCAGGACGUGAGAUUACUCUGGUCAAGUCGGACUGCAUGAAAUCAAAUACGAGAUAUAGACUAUACUGCAUUCUUGAUGUUGCUAUCCCUUCAAGCUUGAUGAUAUUGGGAUGAUCUAGCUUCUGUAGCAUCGUUAUCUCCCUUGCCAUGAACUUGACACUCUCUGGCUCUGAUGUGUCAAAGCGGACUUUUUUCAAAGCAACAAUCUUUUUGGUGUCCCUGUCACGAGCUUUGUACACAUUGCUGUAGGUUCCCUGCCCUACCUACAAUACCAAAGCCAAAUAUGGAAACCCAAAUUCAGGUUUCUUGUCCACCAAGAAAUCCCAACAUCCUAAUUCAAAAAAAUUAGUAAGUGGAGUCUGUCUGAAGGAGUAAUUAGUUACCUUAGCAAGUUUAUCGUAGGAGUCGGCAGUCUUUGGAACAAAACCAACCAAGAUAUCUGGAGGCACGUUCUCAACCAGCCACUUCGGCCAGCCAUCCACAAUAUCAUCAUCAUCUCCUCCAAUCUUCUUCAACAUCAUCCUUCGCGAAACGUUCCCUCCAUUCUUAGCUCUCUCUGUCUCUCUAACAACCAAACCUCCUCCUCCACCAUCAGCAAUCUUAUCCUCACCAUUGAAUGCCGCCGCCUUAACGUCCUUCCUUGAGUGUUUUAGGGUAACGGGUUUUCCUUCAAUGCUCCCCUUGACAUAGCCAUUGUCCCGUUUCAACUUGUCAAGGACUUGAAGGUCAUGACUUGGGGAGUUGGUUUUCGCCUGAACACAACCCAUUAAGUCAGCGACUGACUUUGGAGGGGACGGUAGCACCUAGGCGGCGACAAUGGUGGUGGUGGUGGUGAGGAAUGACUGCAUAGUAAAUCCGGUGAAUCAAUGAAUGAAGAUGGUUGGUAAUUGGUAAUGGUAAAUAAAUUUUUUAAGAAAAUGAAAUGAGGAAGCCGAAACAAGAGUGAGUGAGUGAUACUGCCGUUUCUUGGCCGGCAUUGCCUUGGGAUUAUACCAACCAUUACAUUGUCUUUGUAACUCCCUCCGCUUUCUCCGCCUUCAUAGUUGGGGUGUGCAUUGGGAAACCAACAUUCAAUAUAUUUAAUUAUUUUGAUUUUGAUUUAUCUUUUGCUUUCUAAAAGGACUUGGAUGGUCACUCAGUACUACGAUCUGACGGUAUUCUUCUUCACUUGUAAGCGAGAUAUUUUAGGUUCAAAUCUCGUGGAUGACGAAUUCAAUACCAAAUUAGAUUGCCUAUGUGUGGUUUAGACGAACUCAUCCGCUUGUUAGUGGAAAAUAUAUUGUUGUGCUGGCAAAAAAAAAAAAGAACUUGGACUGUGUUCUCAAGAAAAUCAGAAGGGCCAGCGCACAACAGUUGAUAGUUGUCAGCUGCCAGCACUCCACAUUUCAAAAUCUGGGCAUUUUCUUCAUUAUUACAGGCGGCAAGGAUAGUUACCCACCCAUUCAUUCCUUCUACCCUUUUCGAUUUACCCAAAAAAAGGAAAACAAAUUUUACAAAAGGGGAAAAAUCUCUUUAAGACUUAUUUGAAAAUGCUUUUCUAAGAAAUACUUAUGUUCAUAAAUCAUUUUAUCCGAAGCAUGUCAAAAGCUUGUUUUGAAGUGGUUUUAUAAUAAACACGUGUGUUCACUGGGGCAAAGCUAGAAAGUUAUUUCUCUAGGGCACAACUAAUUAAGCAAUGGUGGAUGCAUGUCCUCAUGGAAUCCAAAAAACAGCACAUGCAACGCCAAAUUUUUUAAGUGAGGUGUUUUGUUGAGUACUACUUGCCAACCCAUUUCGAUUGUUUGCUUAGAGAACAUCCCCACCCCUCUAUGCCACAUUUUAAUUGUAACUUUAGGUCAAUAUUGUUAUAGUGAGCAGAAAGAUAAAUCAUACAUGCAUAGGGUUAAGAGGUCAAAUUUAUUAUACAUGUGAAGGGACGGAUUGUUAAUGAGCCUUUUAUUAAUGUUAUAUUCGUCUCCUGAUGGUUUUGGAUGAGGAGCGAAUAAUAGAGUUGAUGAUGGUGACGAGUUAAUUAUUAUUUGCCCUACUUCGAUUUGACAUAGCGGUGAGCAAUGGAAGACAUCUGUGAUUUAAGCGGGACCCUAAUUCCUAUACAUAUUGAUUAUUAUUUGCCUCCUCUGGCCGUUAAUAAGAUUUAGCAUGAGCUUUUAUUAAAAAGGGUAAAUCGCCAAAAUAGUCCCUGAGAUUUGCAUAACUCAUCACUUUGGUCCCUGAGAUUCCAAAUCGAUAAAAGUGGUCCCUGAGAUUGUCCACCAUCCAUCAUUUUGGUCAUUUCUUUAAAAACUCCGUAAGUGUCCCGGAGCUCUUGGUCGGAAGUUUGGGCAAUUUUCAAAGCUUCGUAACUCAAUCAUUUUUUAACCAAAUUCGACCCAUAAUAUAUCAAACUGAAGAUAGGAAAGUGUAGAAUAAGAUUAUUCCUAUUUCGAAACCCAAUGGUUGGAGGAGAUUGCCGGAAAAUAGCCUCAAAGUUGACUGGUCCGAGUGAAAACUUGAAAACUCGCCGGAAACUGAGUAAACUUUAAACGUUCAUAACUUCUUCAACACUCAACGAAAUCAAGUAAUUCAAAAACGAAAAUCAUACUUCUCAACGAGACAAAGAGAAUGGUACCUUUUUUGACAGUUAACUCGCCGUGGUUUAGCCGGAAAAUAGCUCGAAAGUGGUUGUCUUGGUCUCAAGUUAGCCACUUUCAAGCCGUUUUCCAGCCAAACCACAGCGAGUUAACCAUAAAAAGGUAUCAUUCUCUUUGUCUCGUGGAGAAGUAUGAUUUUCGUUUUUGAAUUACUUGAUUUCGUUGAGUAUUAAAGAAGUUAUGAAUGUUUAAAGUUUACCCAGUUUCCGGCGAGUUUUCAAGUCACUCGGACCAAUCAACUUUGAGGCUAUUUUCCGGCCAUCUCCGGCAACCAUUGGGCUUUGAAAUAGGUAUAAUCUUAUUCUACACUUUCCUAUCUUCAUUUUGAUAUAUUAUAAGUCGAAUUUGGUUAAUAAACGAUUAAGUUACGAAGUUUUGAAAAUUACCCAAACUUCCGGGACACUUAAUGGAGUUUUUAACUGAAUGACCAAAAUGAUGGAUGGUGGACAAUUUCAGGAACCACUUUUAUCGAUUUGGAAUCUCAGGGACGAAAGUGAUGAGUUAUGCAAAUCUCAGAGACUAUUUUGACGAUUUACCCUAUUAAAAAUUUUGACAUGCACUUUUUAAGUCAAAGCUUUGACGAGCAAAAGUGCUUUAUAGAGAAGUAUUUCCAAAUGGUCCCAAAAUUUUUAACAAAAAUCCAAGUGCUUGCUAGAACAAAACAUUUAACCGUUUCUCCAUAGGAAAAAAAAAAAAAAAAAAAAGAAUCUUUCACAUUAUCAGAAGCUCAUUUGGUUAUCUAAAAGUGCUUUCGGCGGCAAAUGAAGUCAUCGAAAAUUCAUUUUCCCAAGUCGAGCUCGAAUAAAGUCGUUCGCGCUAAUAUAGGAAAAAAAUGAAAAUAAGAAGUGUGAAAGCAAAUAAAUUUAGCAAACUUCCAGAACUGUACCAAAGUAUUGAUCUGAGUAUUCUGCUACUUCACAAAUCCACUGAUGCUGCUUGCACUCUCUCCGGUGAUCAGCUUCCGAGAGACAGGGAGGCCAAGAUCAAACGGCCCCAAGGAAUCGCUCUGUGUCCCAAGGAGUAAAAUUACAACCAUCAGCUAUUUUCAAUUUCACAAACUUCAAAACAAGCAACAAUCACUUCGUUGUUCACUUGCGAACAAAUCAUGAGAGCUGUAUCUGAUUCCUGACAACCACGCUGGUCUUGCGGAAGCUCAGUAACACUGUUAGCCUGCAAUAAACAUCCGACUGAGAUUCUUCUUGUUUUACUUCAACGGCUUGAAAGGGCCAAGCGAGUCCAUAUCCCCCGGCAAGGAACACAGCUACAUGCUGUUUAAAAUCUUGACAAAGCCUUUAUACUAAUUACUUUGGUAAGAUACUAGUGAGAAUUAUGUAGCCUAAAAUUGCCUCACCAUAUAGUCUUACACAGAUUAAAAAAAGGGGUCUGCUAUCCACACACCAUUUUUUACUUCUCACACACCCCUUGUUAGUUUAUGUCUUUUGAUCUUCUUUAAUUUAGUUGACCCGAUGGCCGCAAAUUAAGUGGGUGCGUAUGAAGUAAAAAGGGGUGUGUGGACAGCACAUCCCUAAAAAAAACCCAAGCAAUCUGUUGAUGUUAGUCUUGUUCUGAUCAGUAAAAUUUAGAAAGGUCUACCAAACCAAACAGCUGAUUAAGGUUCUUUAAGUCUUAACAAUAUAAAAAAGUAAACGACGGAGAAAUUUGAUAACUCAGUUAACCAACACAUCAAAGGUUAUAACACCCUUCAAUGUCGAGACAUUCCGAAACUUUCAACACUUCAAUAUACUAGAGAUUCAGCACAGUUCAUUCAAGACAAGUUCUGACUACCAAUUAAAACAAUUUCAUAUUUAUUUAACAUCCAAAUUGUAAUAUUUAUAGAAUAGGACGAUCUAUUGUCAUACCAAUCCAAAAUCUGGUAUUCAAAUCAUAGUUAUUUAAACGAGACGGAAGCCACAACUGGUUAAACAGCACAGUUGCAAUAACAGAAUGAAAUGAACUAUUAGAACUCAGCAAACCUUGGCUUCAUCAGGGAACUUGAAUAGUUUAGAAACAGGAUUCUGGUUGAAACAUCCACGACUUCCACCAAACCCCAGAACAUCUUUUCCCGACGAAGAGAACUUUUGAGAAGGAAAUGCACGGCACGUUUCUUUGGCGUCAAAAAUAGAUAAGCAUGAGUCAUGAGUGGAUGGCCUUUGACCUUGAGUUGGUGGCAAGCCUGCAUUGCUCUCAACUGGUUGUGCAUCAGAUCCAUUGAGCUUGCCCUGCAAGGAUGCUUCAGACAGGAGGCCACCAAUGCUCAUAGAUGGACAAUCCCACGACACAAAUGACUUUGAAUCAUUUUUUAUUUCAGUAGGAUAAAAGCCUUCAUUUUUCCCAAUUUGUUUUUCUUUACUGCUAUUGAACUUGGCCUGUAAGGAUGCUUCAGAAAGUAGGCCUCCAACGCUUAUAUUAGUUACACUGUCAAUCAAAAGUGGUUCCUGAGCAUGGUUACCCAUCCUCCUCUGAAUAUUGUCCUAAUUACAAUAAGAGAAACUUCAUACAAUCAUUAAAACCCAUGAAAGAAACAUGUUGCGUAAAUCUUCAAAAUGUCUACCCAACAAAUUUUCCAUCUCUGCUUUUAAAUUUUGAAAAACAAAGGAAAGAAUAUUUAUCAACGCUUGUAUUCUCAAUCCGACAUUUCAUCACGUCUAUAUAUUGCAUUCCCAGCUUAACGCAAUUCAUUAAAGUCACAGUCACCAGAAACAACGAAAAUUCAAACUCAUACAAGUAAAUUUAAGCUUAACCCACUAAAGGUGUGUGAGCGCGCACACACACAUGUGAAUAAAGAACAAUCAAAUAAACAGAGAAAGAAGCAGCAGAAAAUUUUACCCUGGGAUCAACAGCUCCAGUAGAAAUCUUCUCAGUAUCUGCAUUUAUUGUUUCACUUGCAUCAUUUGAUUUGAAAUCUUUUGUUGCUAAAGCAGUAUGUUUCCAUAAUUCAUCAAUAACAUUCUCUGUUGCGGGGCUUCUACAUCUCUGCUCGCCUUCAGAUCGUAAGUCAUUAGCUGAUGUAGAAGGUUGAUAAGCAGUUUUAGGUUCAGUAGAGAACCAGCCAUACCUUAAGUAGCAUAUGAAGUCAGAAAAAUUAAUAACACGUUGAGUAAAGAAAAUAGAGGAAGAAUUAUACCUUAAGCGAAAAACUGCAGGGCUUCCAAAAGCUGCAUAGACCGCUCCGGCACUAAUAUUGCCAUCAUUCAGUGUCCAUCUUCUGUUACUAGACAUACUGUCGGGCAUCUUAUAUGGGAAUAGAACUCAAAAGCAAUGCUUGAUCUGCCCCACUUAUCAUUAAGGUGCUUUAGUACAGAAGUAAUCUUCUUCCGUGGUCUAAGAAUGAGUUCUAAAUAUGGAUGAUGUCCAUCCUAAGAAAGAAAAUGACAUAAAAGAAAAGAAAGUUAGAAAUUAAAGCGACAAACUUUCUAGCUUGCAAAUACAUAGUGCUGUUCUAAUUUUUCAAAUCUUCAUGAUUUAUGAUCUACCUUUUCCAAUCCUAUGCGGGUGGCUUCAUUUACAGGGAAAAGCUGCAACUUGAUCUUUGACUGCGGAAGAAGUUUUUGCCCUUGAUAACACUCAAGAACAGGCAGUCUCUUUAUUGUUCCUAAAAAGGGCACACCUAUGUCAGGAAGCUCCAGACACAUGCCUUCGGGAUUCUCGUCCAUUUCAACCAAGAAAUUGCCACCUUGCCCUAAGAAAUAUAAGAUGCGACUAACUUAAAGGAAUGCCCAAGAUCGGGGCAACUAAAAAUUCAAUGUCCAUAACAGCUCAGGAAAUGAACAGGCUAAUCAAAUCGGAAGAGAUCUGUCUAGAAUUACUUGGUAAGCUAAUAUAAUGUGGCAAAACUAGUACGUGCAAGAAAAUACAAGAAUUAAUGGUUGAAGUUAAAAGCAUUCAAGCAUAAUACUCAGAUGAUUUCCAACCUGUUGCUUUGUGGCAGACUCGGGUAGUUCUCCCUGUAAAUCUCUGUUCUCUCAUGGUACUUCCUAUACGUGCUCUUCCCUCUACAGGAAUCUUGAUCACCUUCCUGUUUGUUUCUCUAGAAGCUUUCAUGCUGGUUUGGCUUCACCGAUCUUUAGCCUACUGUCACACGGUCCCUCUCGUAAGUAAGACAAUAAUGCAUCUUUUCGGGCUUCAACAAAAUAGGAUACCAAGAAAGAACUAAUUAACUGGUGUAAGCAAAAAAAUAUACAUAUUUUUAUCACACCAGGAGUAUUCCAACUUUUUGUAAUUUUCCGUUUCUCGUUUUCUUCCAUAUGAAACAAGAGACUAUAUCGUUUGAAUAACACGAAAGCUACACUGCCCUUUCUCACACAUAUUAUCCAAAUUGUUUCCAGCAAUUUUCUACCCAAAACAUAGAUUUCAUAAUAACCUGAGCAAAACAAAACCCGAAACACAAAUGACCAGCCAGUUAAAAUUCUGCACCACACUCUCGUCAGUUCAACUCUUCCAAAUUGACAAUCCAAUUUCGAAAAUUUGAGAAUUCUCCGGGUUAAAUUAAACGAAUUUGACCUUGCUCCUUGAGAAUUUGAGAUUUAAUAUUUGAAGCUCAACCAACCCUUUGCCAGAAUUACAUAUCAAGAAUGUGAAUCCCGGUAAUUCCAGGAUCUAGGGUUUCGAGCAAUACCCAUUUAAACACAUGAAAGUAAAUUCAACGAUUCUGAAUGCAAUAUUGUGCCCUAAUUUCUAGUAAUCGAAACCCAAAUAUAGAGAAUAAAAUACACAAAUGAAUCUGUAACCAUAUAUAGCUCUUGGAUCUAUCACUUAACUAUAAUUUAGAAGAGAGAGAAGCGUACCUUAAUCGAGAGAGAGAGUGAGUUUGGCGGGAAUAAAUCUGGAAUUCAGAAAGCUCUGUUUGAGAUUGAGUGGGCCCCGACCUAUAUAUAUAUAUAUCUAUUGCCGCCAUAAAGCGUACCCAUUCAAUUAUUUACGGGGCAUCACGUUUUGUGUUCAAGUAGGCCUAGUAAAGCACUUCGUGUUGGGCGCUUCUGCUAACUGGUCUUGCUUUCAUUUCCGUUUUCAUUUCCGUUUUGGGUUAAUUAAGGCCCCGUUUGAAAGAUAAAUAAAACGCUAGUUUUUAGUUUUACAAGAGUCAAACUUAUCACCGCUCGUCUACGAAGCAAUUCACAUGACACUAGUAUAUCGUCACAUGUUAAUCAAUGUCAAUAAAAAAGAGCAUAUGGGUAAAAACUUACACAUGUCUUUAUUUCAUUAGUAUAGGAUCCCAUCGUGGCGGUGUAUAGUGUCACAUAAGUCUUUCUCCCCACUUACAGAUCCGUAAUAGUGAAUUAGUCUUAUAUUUUAAGAUUUCAUCAAUGUGACUCUCUUGUUAUUAAGACUCAAACAAUCUGCUAAUUUAUAACGUGUCCAUUCAAGUCUCACUUCUUUUUAUGUCUGUAUGAUGAUACAGUGAUCCGCGUAUUAUUUUAUGGUAAGUUAUAUGCAUUUAGUACUUUGCAAAUUCAAGUGGAGUAUAUAUUUGGAUACUCUUAGAAGUGUGAAAUAUAGUCUAUUUAUGGCAUUUUACCCUUGGUUUGAAGGGUUAGGAACAAUGGACAAACUUUUUCACAAAUAUUUUUACGCUCUUUCCUAGCUUUUAGAUCUGGUAACAUUCAAGGGUCCUAAUUAAGAGUGAUGUCAAUUGUUUUAAUAAUUAAGUGACAUGGAGGAUAAUGUGUAUUGUAACUUGAAAAAAAUAAAUUAAAAUUUAAAAUUAAAAUAGAAUAAAACCUGAGGUAUAGAAAAGAAAAACAAAAAUGUAAACCUGCAAACGUGCAGGUAGGGUGAAGACUUCCAUUGCUACAUGUUGAGAAGAAAACGCUAGUUUUCUCUCUAUACAUUGGAAUUUUCCCUCCAUUCUAUAUAUAUAUAUAUAUAUUAGAGAACUUGUUAUGGUAACUUAUUUCAUCAAAUAAAAGCCUUCACUGAGGGUUUUACGGCCUACCAGAUGAAGGCUGGGAACACCCGGCCAACGAGUUUCUGGGAAGGAGACGGGACAUGGGAUCCUCUGCCACGUGUUCCAUGGUCAGUGCUAGCAACUAGGGAUGGGCAAUGGUUAUGACGGACGAGUAACCGCUGUUAUUUACCCAUAACCAUUUAUACUCGCACCCGCAUAAUCAUUUACCCAUUGGGUAAUUGCCUAAACGGUUAUACCCAUACCCAUAACCAUUUAUAAACGGUUAACCAUACCUAUAACCACGUACCCAUUUAACCGUAACCGUAUACCAGUUUAUCCAUACCCGUUUACCCGUUUAUCUUUUUUUUUAACCCAUUUACCCUUUUUUGAGCCUAUUUACAUAUUUUUUUAACCGUAACUGUAUACAACUCUAAUAAUUGAAAUAAUAAAGACGAACGAUAGUUUUAAUCAAUCAAGGUAAUAUAAUAUAUUUGCUAAUAAUUGAUUUUUUACUAACAAAAUACCUCUCAUUACUUAAGCAAACAUAUUGGAAAGAAAAUUCAUGUAUUUUUGACAUAUUUUUCUUCCAUACCCAAGCAAGUAUUCAAUUAUAACAUCCAUAUGAUUACAAAGUAAAGCUUCUAAAAAACUCAAGGUAGUCAUUAUCUUGAAUACUAGAUGAUUCAAAGCUCCAAAAUAUUUCAAAACUAAACACUUUCGAACACUAAUGCUUUAAGCACAUUCAAUCACAAAGUCUCAUCGACUCGUUGUCACCAAAAGAGGCCUACAAAAGAAAUGUAUAAAUUGAAUUAGUAUCCCAAAAGAAAUGUUUUUAACUAGAGGUGUUGGCAUAUAGGAGGAAAUACGUAUGAAGGAUAAAAAAUGAUAGCUAGAAGAGAACGCAUUAAGUAAGGUAUAACUAGUGAAUGUGACCUCAGAUUAUACAUCAUAUUCGUACCACAGGUCCACAACUAGUUCCCAUGGCAGCAAUUUAAAAGUGAAUUAAACAACCAGUCAGAUUCAUCACGUAGCUACUUUGAUGCACAUCACCAUUAUAGCCCAAAAUGUCAAAUCUAUACCAGUCAGAUUCCUCAAUGCAACGUUAAGAGAAACAGAAAUUUAAAAUCUUACGGAUUAGGUUUUUUGUUUUUUUUUUUAAAUUUUAUAUAUCUAUUAAAAUAAACGGGUAAUCGUUACAACCGUUGUUAAUACCCAUAACCGCCCAUUUAAAUUUUACGGGUAAACGGUUAUACCCAUAACCAUUUAAUUAUCUAAACGGUUACACAUAACCGUAACCGCGAAAUUUAAAUGGGUGGAUAACCGUGGUUACCCAUAACCGAUGGGUAUUUGCCCAUCCCUACUAGCAACACACAUACGGACCUGACACUUGUUGUCCAUAGGGACAUAACAUUUCCUGCAAAUUUCAUGCCGCCUACAACUGCCACUUGUGAUAUUGCAGACACCUGUGAGCAAGGGGUAUGGUGUUAAGGGGACCAAAACAACACAUGGCCUCACCUUGCUUGACUAUGGACACAUGUGGCAUCUUGAUAGUUUUGGGACCAAUUCUCUAAGGUACCAUUUGGUACAUGGGAUGAGACGGAACGAAGUGGGACGAGGUGUUCCGUCUCACGUUUGGUGCGCCUAAAACGGGUGGAACGCUCUUCCAUGGGACAAAUUUUGGGUGAAUUUUCAUUCCGCCUCACCCUCCUAGAACAACUCGUUCCACAUCCGUGAAACACAAAAUUAUAACAUCUCCGUCUCCUUCUUCUUCCUCCUUGUUUUCAUCCGAGGGCAUCUUUGCUCCCUCUCCGUUUCAUCCCGUCCCAUUCCGUUUCUUCCCGUCCCGUUUGCAUACCAAAUGAUACCUAAUGACACACUAUCUAUUGCAGUGAAUGGGCUUUCUUUAUCCAAAGUUUUUGGCCUUUGAUAAUGUGGAUGGGCUUUUACUGGCCUCGGACAGCUUACUGGCCGUUCCAACAAACUUUUCUCUUAAGGAUUGUUUUCCUUCUGGCAAUGACUUAUCUAUGACUGGUGACCUAAGCCCGUCCCAUUCCUAGCCUAACAAAUUAAGUGUUGAGCCGACCUCUGUGUGUGUGACUUCUCCCUCGACUACUAAAGAACACCCUUCUACAAAGAAGCAAAAACUCGUCUAUAGUCCUAAGAAUAGCCGCCCACUCCACCUUACAAAUUUCAACCAUCGUGGCCCUAAAACUAAGUCUUUUGAUCGCAGCAAUCGAGGGGGAAAUCAAAUCGGAAGGGCAUACCUGCUUCAGUCUUUGAAAUUCUUAGGGUAGAUGAAUAGGAUGAGGCACUCUGUGAGGUGAUGGUCAGCCCACCCAAAGAGCUGGAAGACUGGAGGCGCACUGGUUUCUAUGGGCAUUUUGUCAUUAUUAGAAGAACUUUAUCUUAGAACCUCCUUCGCCACUUAUCUGUGAUGUGGCAGAAACUAACACACAAAUUAAACCCUAUUAAGAUAGUUGUAGUAUGAGCAAGUAGGGAUCGUUCUAGGCAGGGAUUAGAAGGGAUGUUAAUCAACACUAAUUAGACUUAAAAACUGAAAACUAAGCUAAACUGACACUAAACAUAAGGGGGGGGAGGUUUUUGGACGAAUUCUAACUUCAAACAAGUAAAUUGAAGAAACAAAUUAAGUUUGGUACGAAAAUUGGGUGAAGGGCUAGCUAGAGGAUUCUUCUCCACACAUGAAACAUAUGCAUACAAAUCGAUUUCCAGUUAUUAUUCCUAUAAACCAUGAAUGACAAUGCCCCAAAUUAAUCAUGAAAAGCACAAAUAAACUUUCAGAUUUUCCUAAAUUCAUUGAAUUGGACUUAGCAACGCAACCAAAUUAUUCUUAUCAAGUUCCCUAUAUGAACUGCAUGAUAGAGAUACAUAUCAAAGAUAAUUAAGUUUUGUGAAAAUCAUAAGCAUUGAUAAGACAUUCAUAACUAUGAACUGCAUGAUACUCCUGCUAGGAAUUUACUUAACACAAUCAUGACUAGUGACUUUUACUACUUGUAAAUAAGUUCAUAACGAUUAGGUGAAGUUCCCUUAUAUUCUAGCAUCAAAUCCCUGCAUGCAAACUAAGUGUGCACCCUUAAUCAACACACAAGAACAAGUUCUUAAUAAAACAGAUAAGUAAAUUGCAUUCACUGUUUAUGAAACAAUAACUGGAUGUAAUCAAUUCAUACAAAACAUGUGAUCAUGGCCUUGAAUUCACCUCUAGCUAAAAAGAAAUUUAGUUACGCAUGUUCGUCAUAACUAAAUAAAAACAAUCUAAAUUAAACAUUGAAAUCAAAUAAGGAUAGAAAGAACUCUGAGACACUCCAGCAAUGGCAGAUUCAGCUCCUCCUCUAGAUGGCAGAAUUGGCUCUUAUUCUCCUUGCAAGCAUGACUCUAAAUCUCCUUUUCUCAUCCAGAAAGCUGUGACACUCUCACCAAUUUUCUCUCUAAAAACUCCUCCUGAAAGCUGCGGCAAUAACUUGUAUUUAUAGGGCUAGGGCACGACCUACUUUGUGGUGGAAAAGGAUUGAGUUGUUUGCAGUGUUUUAGGACUCCUUAAAUCAAAUUAAGUGGUUGAAUGUGAUAAGGAACCCCCCUUGUAGUUAGAGAUAAGGUAGGAUUAUGAUAUGAUAAGAUAAGAUAAGAUAAGGUUGAGGUAAAACAGGACUGGAUAAGAUAAGGUAAGUUUGGAUAAGGUUUCCUUGUUUUCAGCUGAUUCCUUGUCUUGCAAGCCUUAAUUUAAUUUUUCCAGAUUUGUAGCACAUUUUUAGCAUCAUUUGUCACCAAAAACAUCCAUCCAUUAUGCUCCAUACGCAUGCUAUCCAAUCCAAGUCCAAAACUGCUCCAAAUUGCUCCAUUUAGCCAUUUAUUGUCAUCUUUGCCAAUUGGACCUCAAUUCCUCACCGGAUAUACUCUCUAUUUUCAACAGAUUUUCUGACUACACUUCUUAUACUAAGUAUAUGUGAAAAGAUUGAUGUAAAAAUGUAGACUAGCACUCACAUACGUUAUAACAAAGAAGGCACUUUCUGGAAUUAUUAAUAUAACAUGUAUAUGAUCUCAUGAACGAAAUGCCACUACUUAGAAGUAAGAACUAGGGAUUCCAUAUGCUCGUACCAAUUCCAAACUCCACAUAUUGAACACAUAACAAUCAAGAUAAAAGUCGAAGGGUUGUAAUGGGGCUAAUGUAUUGGCUAACAAAAGAAUGGUUAAGGAUAAACAAAGGUUCUUAAAGUGAUAGUAAACAAAGUAAUGAAAUCAACACUUAGAAUUCAACUUUUGAUUGCAGCAUCUAACUUUAAACACAAAGGGGAGAUUCAUACAACUUUAGGGUUAGAUUCACAUUUUUGGACCCUUCUUCAACAACCAAUACUUGUGAACUCAUUCUCACUUAUUUUCAACCUCUUUUUUUUCACUUUCACUUUCACUUUUCUUUGAAAUAUAAAACAUACACAUUACUUCACCAGAUUCAAAAGAACAAAUCCUUCCCCCACACUUAUUUCUCUGCAGAUCGUAGAUAAAAAGGAAUUCCCAACAAGUCAUGCUUCACUAUUCUUUAAGAACAAGGGUAUGGAUAUUCCAAUGCUAGGCUAGGUAGGGAUAAUGCAGGCUAACAAAGAAAAUAGGCUAAAUAAGGCUCAAAGGGGUUAAACCUACAAUACAUAUGCAAGGGAUAAGGCUUUUUGGCUCUGGUGGUAACUAAACAACAUCAUCUUGUUAUUUGUUAUGCAAUCAAUUUUAAGCUUUGAAUGAAACUGGCAUGAGUUUUAGUAUUUGGAACUAAAAUGAUGAAAAAGCAUUCCAAGUAGCAACCAAGCAAAGAAAUAAUGAGAUCAUGCAACGACUUUAGAAAGCAAGAAUAUCACAGAUUUUGAGUUCCUUCCUUCAAGCAUGUUACAAAAAUUGAUUUUUUUUUUCCUUUGUGAUUACAUGUGAAUUCAUUAAUGACAACUACAACUAAGUAUUAACCAAAGAGCAUAUCAAACUUCCACCCAUGUUUGUAACUUUCUUUAACAGUCAUGCAAUUAAAAACCAAAUCCUCAUCAUUGUGUUGGAAGGUACCCUAAGACACAAACAAGCAAAACGACUCUUUUUGGUUUUUUCAAACAUUUUUUUUCUGAUUUUUUUUUUCAAAAUUUUCGAAAUUUUUUCAAAUUUUUGUUAUUAUGACACUAAAACACUUGAAAACAGUGAGUAACAACAUUAGAAGUGAUAGUUGAUGAAAUUCGAAGAUAAGUCAUGAAAAGCAAUCUGUGUACCCCCCUAACAGUUAAACCAAACAUUGUCCUCAAUGUUUCAAAAAUAAAACGAAACAAGAAAGCAAUAAAAGACAACUAGAAAACGAGACAAUCAUGGCAAAGUAAAAAUAAGAAAGAGAAGGGUAAAAGAGAGCAAAUCUGGUUGUAGAGCCUGGAGAUUCCAAAGUCUUUCUAUUUGAAUCACAUGGGUUGCCUCCCAAGAAGCGCUUGCUUUAACGUCUUCCAGCCGGACAAUACCUCCAUUUAAGCUUCACUAGGGCCCACGGCAUGGAGGGGUACAUCCUCCACGACAUGCUCCUCAAAACUUCCAUGCAUUGGAUCUAUGAACGGAAGAGCAUAGUGAUCCUUCUUGAUUGUGAUGUUGAGCUUCCUAAAGUCAAUGUAAACUCUCCCACCAGCUUGAAUCUGAUUGGGCACCUGAACCAAAGAAGGUAACAACCUAUUAGUUGAAAUGGGAAUUGGAAUUGGAAUAGGUGGCUCACCAAUGUAUUGCGAUGAGGACUUUAAAGUAGCAGCACUGUCAAUAAUUUCAGAGGUGGUUCUCUCAGCCUUGGGUUCUUUGAGGGCAAUGGCUUGUCCCGUGUGAUCCACUCCAAUUCCUUUUUCAAUGGUGGCUCUAAAUACAUCCAUCUUGAUAGGUGUUGAACAUUCCUACCCUAUAUUUUUAUUCACAUCAAUGGCAUAACAAGAACGAAUAUCAUUAGAUUCUUAAUAGAUUCAGAAACAUUAAAUUUAGUCACAUCGCCAUCAAACUCCAUAGUUAACGCUCCCUUGGCCACAUCAGUCUUGGUUUGGGCUAUAUUCAUGAACGGUCGUCCAAGUAAGAUUGGCAAUGGUGGAGAGUGGGCUGAAUCCUCCAUCUCAAGCACAUAAAAAUCUGCCGAAAAAAUCAAAUGGCCUACCUGCACCAAAUCAUCUUCCAAAACUCCUUUCGGAUAUGCAUUAGAUCGAUCAGCCAAUUGAAUAAUGACACCAUCAUUUAAGCUCUCCUAGAUUCAUAGAUGCAUAAAUAGAAUAUGGCAUAACAUUAAUGGAAGCACCUAAAUCUAGCAUAGCUUGUUCAAACCUUGUAUUACCAAUAACACAAGGGAUAGUGAAACUAUCUAGAUCUUUGCAUUUAGGUGGCAGCUUUCGUUGCAAAACUGCAGAGAUAUUUUCACUUACAUGUACCACCUCUCUCUCCAGAAUCCGCUUCUUUGUUGUACAAAGCUUCUUUAAAAACUUAGCGUACUUUGGAACUUGCUUUAUAGCAUCAAGAAGCGAGAUAUUGACUUGCACUUUCCUGAAAGUCUCUAGAAUGUCUUUUUCAUUCUCUUAUUUCCUAGAUUGCAUAAACCUGCCAGGGAAAGGCACAUUUGGUGGAAUAGAGUUAGAAGGAAUAGAAUUCGAACCAUGGGUGUUCUUCCCUUGCCGUGACUCUGUCCAACUCUUCUUCUACUUGCAGCAACUUUUCAUCCUCUUUUUGGCUUUGUUUGGACUUUUUUUGGGCUGGUUCCAAUCUCCUUGCAACUUCUUAAUGGUUCUUUUCGAUGCAUGAGUUGUACCCUGGCACCUUACCACAUAGUUUCCAGCUACUUGGCCGAAUCCUUCGACGGUAUUACAUUUGAACAUAUUUCCCGGAUUCAUAAUACCGCUGCGGACGAGUUGGCUCAAAUCACCUCCGGGGCACAACUCCUGAGGGGCAAGCUUGGCCGAGAAAUACCCGUGUUACGACAGCUAUACCUGGCCUUGGUUAACCAGCAAGUCCUCCGACGCGACAAUGUGAUACGCACCAGAGUCAUGUCCUUACCGUUGUUGUUAGACCGACAAGACCUUAUAGAAGUUUACGCUGUCGAGGCAAUACCGGAUGGUUGGAGAAAACCCAUUAUACAGUAUCUUGACAAUCCCAAUGGCAAACACAGUCGCAAGACAAGAGUUCACGCCACAAACUAUGUCACGUACCAAAACGAGUUAUACCGAAAGGGUGAGGAUGGUUUAUUACUGCUAUGCCUCGGCCCCCAAGAGAGUGCUCAAGCAAUCACAGAAGUCCACGAAGGGGUUUGCGGAGCUCAUCAGUCCGGACGUAAAAUGCAGUGGUUGUUUCGACGACACAGUUAUUUUUAGCCAAGAAUAUUAAAGGAUUGUAUCGAGUUCGCAUGAGGGUGCAUACAUUGUCAGAUUCAUGGUCCUAUACAACGGGUCCCGGCCGAGUCAUUACAUUCAGUCACUAAACCAUGGCCGUUUAAAGGAUGGGCCAUGGACGUAAUCGGCAAAAUCACACCAUAUUCCGGGGUUGCCAAGCACGCAUGGAUACUGGUAGCAACCGAUUACUUCACUAAGUGGGUCGAAGCAAAAUCGUAUGUCGAGCUAACGUCUAAAGAAGCUUGCGACUUUGUGGAAGAACACAUUGUGACCAGAUUCGGCGUACCAGAAACGAUUAUAACUGAUAAUGGCACAAUCUUUACAGCUGAGAGGUUUAAAGAAUAUACGACAAGUUUGAAAAUUCAGCUUGAACAGUCUACACCAUAUUAUCCACAAGCAAAUGGGUAGGCCGAGGCAAGUAACAAAGUGUUGAUCAUCAUUCUCGAGAAAAUAAUAAAAGAGAGGCAUGGCAUGUGGCAUUUAAAGUUAAAUGAGGCUUUAUGGGCAUAUCGAACAUCGCUCCGAUCGGCGACUGGGACAAUCUCGUAUGCACUAACCUACGGACACGACGCAAUUGAAGGAUUUAUUUUGAAAAACAUGUUCAUUUGAGCAACAUCAUAUAGCAUGCAAUUAACAAUUAAAGGCGGAAUCAUGCUUGCAUGCACUCAAAAACAAAACAUUACCAUGAAAUUCAAAGCCUAGUAGAUUGGUGAACCAAUAAUCAACUCAAAACAAAGUGAGUUGAAAUUAUUACCUUUGUAGAUUCCUCUUUGCAUAAGCAAAGGCUAAUCACCCAAAGAGAUAGGGCCUUCAUUCCUUGCUUCUUAGAUCCAUGGAUUUGGAUGGAAAAUUAGGUUUCUCCAAGUUCCCAAAAUAGGGAACCUCUAAGUCUCUUCACCAAGGUUUGAUUGUAGAAGAAAUGAGUGACCUUGGAGUAGUAGGAUUGCUAGAUGUACCCUCCAAGGUGUUGGCCUCUUUAGAGAGAAAAUGGAGAGACAAUUCUCACCAAUUUUCCCCCAAAAUAAACCCUUAAUCACUUAAUGAAUAUUUGGCUAUAAAGUCCUUUAUAUAGUCCCUUCAAAUAAGUGACCUAAAGAACCAAAACCCUAAUUCAUCAUACAUGGCCGGCCUACCUUUAGGGAUUUUUGGGCUUUUGGGCUUUGUGAAUCUUUAUUCAUUAAGUUGUCAUACAACUUAAGUCAAUGGGCUUGACGUUCGAAGCCCAUUGGGCCUUAAGGUCAAAAACUAUCCCGAGGUCUUUAACGAACUUAUUCGUUUGAUUAAUUAACAUAUUAAUUAAUCCUUGCCAUAAAUAAAUGAUUAAACCAUUUAAUCAUUCUUACUCAUUUCCGUUUAAUCUUCAAUCUCCACCUUUUAUGGUGUGCGAUCCAUUAGGUUCCUUUUAGCGAGGUAGUGGGCGAUUAAAACCAUUUUACAUCGAUUGUGAAUUGAAACUAUUUUCAAUUCUCCCUUUAGUGAUUACACACGUUUAGGGCUUCCACAAACCAUGAGUGACACCUAGCAGCAUAUCAUGGUUACCCAAGCUAAUCAGAAGAGGUAGAGAACCUAUUCAGUUUGGGAUUACAAAUGCAAUACGGUCCUUCUCUAAUCUAAUACUCUUGACCACAUUGUUUGGUAUUGAUAGUUUAUUUAUUCAUGUCUACUAUCCAAUGUGAUUCGUGUGCUUAUAUGAUUUCCUUGAAUGUGAUUUGGAACGCAUUCCUAAUCUCAUUCAUACUCUGGCCAGAGAUUCCAAAUCAUAUCAUAGAGUAUUCUCCCUCAACUGUUUGAAGGUUAGAGAUCCCUUGUUGCGCAUUCACUUGUCUCCAUAGCUAAGUGGCUUAACCCCAACGAUGCCGUGGACACCCCGAUGGGGGUGACUUUGACAUAAUCAAAGAUCAAGGACUUAACCACAAGACAACUGUGAUGCCUCAGGUCAAAGGACUACUUUGCAUUAUCCCAACCAUGAGUUCUCAUGUGACAUGGAAUAUGAGAACUCUUCGUUGAUCACGUUCAGUGAACUCAUUCUCUAUUGAGCACCUACGUACUUGUCUUGAUGUCACACACACCAAUGACUCGAGACUAGUCACUCUCCCUGAGAGAAGACAUAGUACGUACUGAUCUUAACGGACUGUCAAUGCCCAAUUGGCAAUCCUAUGAUCAGGAACAUUUAGGAUGUGUCUACGAAAGAAUGGUCUCAUGAAUCUAACUUCAUUAGAUUACAUUCUCCCAAUCACAUAUUCCUUGGACUUUAUCGUUUAAGCAUAUAACAUUUAUAUGAGACGGCUCAAACAAUAAUCUUAUGCCCUUUAUAUGUAAAACUAGAUUAGUUUAACAUGUGAAAUGUCCGUAAAGUAUCAUCACAUGAUUGGCUUUAGGGCACAUUUCCAACAAUCUCCCACUUGCACUAGAGCCAAUCAGCUUGGUCAUCUUGAUGAUACCUCUUCUGUAGUCAUUUCAUAAAUGGCUGAAUAGUAGGCCUAGACAGUGGAUAUCUAUAUGUGUUAUCCAUAGAAGCAACCUUGAGAAUAACGACGUCACCAUUAUACAUGAUUCUCAAUCAUGUGGUUCAGUCUCUCAUUUGAGUUCGGAUCUUGAUGAGACCUUGAUUCCCAGGCUUGAGCUAUCGCCCCAUUAGUGUCAUACACUUUCUGGUUGGAACCGAAUAGAGAGUUCAUAAAUGAACUUUCCCAUCCAAACAACAUUGUUGUAAACUUCUAUAUGGCAAUAUAUCUUGCAUUCAUAAUGGAACACACUAAAGUCAUUACUUUAAUGUUUCCAUCCAAAUAUCUCUUUAGUCAUAAUAAAGAGAUAUCUGUUUAUCUCUUCAUUCAUAAUGAAGAAACAUCCAAUGAUGGAUUAGAUUCAUAAUCUAAUACAUUUACGCUUCCAUUACGUUACUUUGAAUUCUUCCUCGAUUCUUUGAGGAAUUUAUCCUUUAGUAUUUCUCAAAAUACUUAAGGACUCACUUGACAGUUGCCAUGGUUCUGAUCCUGGGCUUGCACUGAUAUCAUCUUGUACCGUUCUAGGUACAACUCAUAUCAAUGUUUUUCAUACAAUAUGAAAUACAUAAAUCACCUUUCUGCGUAUGCAUAAAGGAUUCAAUUUACGCAUUAUUUCUUUGGGAGUCAAAGGGUACGUUCCCUUUGAGAAGGGCAACUUGCUAGUCUCACUAGAAUCGUCCUUCUUAUUGAAGUUUAUCAUCAUAUGAGAAACUUCCUAGCAUCCAUUGUCUAUUAUUAGGGAUUGAUAUAAUCCAAUUAUAUCAUGAAAUAUAUCAUUAUAGAUUUCCAUCCCAUGUACAUAGACUAUAUCUCCCAUAUACAUUCUAUCUUCAUAUAAUGUAUUAAAGUCAUAACUUUAACGAAGAAGUAUUAUUUUCAUUUCCAAAAUAAAUAUAUCAUAUAUAUUUAAAUUUUUAGGAACAUGAUUAACUCCCACUAAUCUUUUGUAAAACUAGUAAACAAAAGAUUCAUUUACAUCUUUAUGAGAAAUCAAACGAUUUGAUCCUUUUUCUCAUAAAAUGCAAAUAGCUCCCACUAGCUUGCUAAGAUUCAUGAUGGAUGGAUCUCUACAACUUACAUGUCUUGUGAUUUUUAGUUUUAGACAUAUAUUAUCAAGACUAUCUUAAUAAUGGUUUCGGAAACCCAUAUUAUGUCCAAACAUUGAAUCACCAUUUAGUUGUAGCUAGCAAUCUUCGAAUUAAUUGAAACCAAGACUAUCUCAAAGAUGGUUUCUUCAAAGUCAACCAUUCUCUUUGAUUGUAGUCACCUUAAGCUACCAAUUAGUUUAUGAAGGUUUCAUUAUUUCGGGUCAAAUGGUACUUUACCAUUUCCUUGAGUAUGUAUCAUAUAUAUAUACACUCAAUGUAGUCAUAAGGAUUUUCAUUCUUAUUUCUUUCGAAUUAAGAGGUGCAACUCUAUGACAUAGUCAUAAAGUUCAAACCAUUCAACUGAGACGGUUUAUAAAUCCUUCUCGACUACCUUGGAGCUUUUGGUAUAGGAACUAGGUUGUUAUAUUUGUUGAUUACUUUCUUGUCUCUCAAAGAACCCAUUCUUUGAGUUCUAUCUCUCGUUCAUUUGCUCUUAGGCAAAUCACAUUGUAGGAUUACAAUGAACUUCCCAACAAAACAACAUUUGUUAGUUGGAUUAUAGAAGCGAUAUCCAAAAGUUAAUUUAAGGAUAUCCCACAAGAUUGUUAUCAAACAAAUAUUGCUUAUUAGCACACAACUCCCAAAUCUUAAACAUGCUUAAGAUUUGUCUUUCUUUCCAACUACAUCUUAUGGAGUUAUGAAAAUUUUGGAAGAUCUUCUAAUUGACAAUCAUAUUGUUUUAGAAGUAUAUAUCCUAUAUAUAUGGGUAAUAGAUAACAUCUAACGAACUAAAUCUUAUUCGAGUUCGUUCUUCUCCUAAUGGAGAAAUACAUUAUCUUAUGAUGCUAUUUUCCUUGAUAUCUUUCAAGGAAACUCAUCUAAAGUGUUACCUUUCCUUGGAUCAAAUCUAAGGAGGUAAAUACUUUAGAUAUCUUACUCAUCUAUUUACAUUUCUUGAAUUCUUUGAAACCUUUUGCAAAGUAUUCGGACUUGUGUUUAUUCAAAAUAAACUAUAGUCCAACCGAGAGUGAUCUUCGGUGAAUGUCAUAUAACAUGAGUAGUAUUAUGUUGUGGACAAGUGCCACUAACAUCUAAGUGAGUGAUUAUUAACCUCAACAACUUUGUGAUUCUUUCUUCUUUCCAAAAGAAUAAAGAUUCGAACAUUUCGCCUCUAUACAAUUUUAACAAGAAGGUAUUGGAUCCGGAUCUAACGAUCCAAAAUAUCCUUGUUUCACCAACUCGUAACUUAUGUUUUAGAGGUAUCACAAUUUAGUUGGGAUUAGUCACUACCUUGCAACCUUUUGGGUUUUAAGCAUCAUUAUAUUCUAAACAGUUAACACUACCAUAUCAUCUCUACUAUAGAGACAAUCAAUUAGAUUACUAUUAUCCAAUUUCUUUGGUAGUUCAUAUGAGGAAGUAAGUACUAUCUGCUUUCGCAGAGAUCUAUAUCUUAUUCACGUUCCGUAAUGUGAAGCACCUUUUCUUCUCUCAUAUAUAUCUUCUACUUCUUAUUAGUCACACUUUUACAACGAUUUGUAAAAACAUAGUUACUAAUACGGAAUCAUACAUUCAAGUAGAAGAACCAACUGUUUUGAACUAUUCAAGAACAAUUUACAACACCUUCGAAAGGUGUGUUCUUGACACUUGCAAGACAUUUCUUGCAAAUACCCCUUCCAAUGUCCAUCCUUUCAUAAAGAAAGUUUGUUCCCUUGGAGUUAUUUAUCUUCUUUAUUUGACUUUCACCUUUGACUACAUUAGUCAUGGUCCCUAAACUCCCACUAUCUCUCUUGAAACCUUUUUCAAUUGUGUUAUACACAUCAAACAAUUUGGAGAGUAUGUGGUUAUUGUUCACUACAUAGUUUACCAAUAAACUUAGUGAACCAUUAGGAUAGGGAAACAAAAGGUGAAGUCCUUGCCUAGUUUCCGUCUCGUUAAGUGGUUUAACACUUCAACACUCAAUGAUUCAAAAUCAUCAUAAGUCCAUGUUAAUGGACUAUUUUUGUCAACCAACCAUUAUGUUCUAAACAUAAUUACAAACUUUCAAGAGUUGUACAAGGCAACUUUCAUUUCUUCAUACAACAAAUUGUAAGUGAAGAAUUAUGGCACAUUAAGUGUCCAUGCCUUUGUGCUUUCUUCUCAAGUUCUUUUUGUUCAUUUAACAAAGAAACAAGCACUAAGUGUUUGCAUUGACUAAGGGUUGUUCAAAGCAACUCCUAUUUCUUCAUACAACAAUUUGUAAUUGAAGAAUUAUGACAUUAAAAGUGUUGUCCUCUUUAUGAUAGACCUUUUCUAACAUAUUCUUCUAAUGAUACAUUAUCAAUAGGAAGAUUGUGAGGAUGAGACUACUUAGAUACAUAUGCAAUCCAUUUAAGACAUUCUUUGGGAUUGUGGUACCAAGUCCGGAAACUAAAACAUUCGGUUUUUAUUUGUCAAGUGUUGGAUAGCGUUUGCAAAUAUAUUGGUAAUCAAAUACAUAACGAAUAUAGAAUUGAUUGAUUUUUUAAGCCAUUUGAUUCGGGUCUUUAAAUCAAAAUAGCACCACCCACUAUUUUUGGCAAAUUCCAUAUCCCUCAUUGGAAUUCGAGAGUUUUGGAUGAAACUCUUAGUAGGUUAUGGGAGACUCACUACUUACCAAGCCCACCUCAGAAUUAUAUCAUGUUGGCUAGCGUUAAUAAUAAUGAGAGAGUACGCUUACUCAUUUGCAACAACCUCUUGCAAGUACCCAUCUAGUUUGGCCUCUAGAAAAUGAUGCCUCAGAAUUAUAUCAUGUUGGCGUCAUUGUACUUAGUUAAGUCAUUCCCACCAUGCCUAGUUCGUGUAGGUGUUCAAGCAUAGCCUCAGAAUUAUAUCAUGUUGGCUAAACUCGUUGCCUACCUCACUUCAUCAUGUAUGUAUAUAGAACUCCUCCUGAGUGUAAGCACGCACUUUGUACUCCCCCAUUAUAGGGUGAAGCCGGUGUACGAGUCACAAACGAUCGGAGCCUACCACGGUGGAAGGCCACGAAAGAGUGUUCAAAGCACUCUCCGUUUAUCAACUUAAUAUUGGUUUGAGGGUUUUUAGGUCUCAUCACAUAUAAAUAUACAUUUUAAUCUCUAUUAAAACAAUUUUGGUCCUAUUACAACUAUUGGUCCAUCUCAUUGUUUUAGUUGUACAUAAUACUCCCACUAUGCUUUUAAAACGGUUUUUAAAGCAAGAGUAUAUGAUACUACUAACAUAAACUUUGCAUUCAUUUGAUGGACUAUAUAUAGUUGCCUUAGGGCCUUAGGAUGAUUAUGAACCUUUGUUUAGAUUCAACACGAGCCUUGUGUUGAAUCUCGGUCUAGGGAUGGAGAUUGAUUUUAGUUACGCGUUUAAUCACAUUAAGGCGUGUUGUCUUAGGGGCGUUGGACCCAAUUACUUCAUUUUCAUGCAUAUCAUAUAAAGCAAGAAAGAAAUACUUCAAAGUAAAGGAUGAGCUUAUGCUCAUUACAACAUUUGCAUAAAACAAAUUACCUUAAAGUAAAGAAGAGCUUAUGGCCUUUUACAACAUUUGAUCAAAUCAAAUUACAACCAAAAUCUAAUCUACACAUUCCCAUGGUUCAAACAAAUUUGAAACGCCUUUCACAUAGCUCAAUUAUAUUAGGCUUAGGUUCAUAAUCAUCCUUUAAUUAAUUAACGCUUUAACUAAUUAAUUGAAUGCAACAUUUUCAUUUGGUUUUUGUAUCCAUAAAAUUGAUUUAAAUGGAGCUAAACAAAAUGAAAAUCCAAUUCUCAUUUAAAGAGACAAAACAAUUUUGUUCUCAUCCUAUUUGGGCCAUCAUGCAAUAACCACAACUUUUUGGGCCAUAUUGCGAAAACAUAAACUUUUGGGGUCACUUUGUAAAAACACAAAAGUCACUACUUCAUGUAAAUACAACUAGAACCCAAAAUUUAAAUAAAUUCAAAAACUUCAUUAAAGGAGCAAAACAAUUUGUCCUUUAGCGUUUUUAGGACCUUAAACGUCAAAAACGUAAACUUUCGGGUCAAAGUACAAAUACACAAAAAGUAUCAAAACUUUAUGUAAUUGCAUAAAAGCCCCAAAAAUACCCUAUUUUAUUAGGGUGGCCGGUUUUUAGGGAUAAAAGGAGUGGUGGGUGUUUUGAUUUAUUAGUUUUGUCAAAAACAAUCAAGUAGUGCAUAAGAAAAGAAAUUCUUAUCACCUUUUCUUUUACCUUUCAUAAUGAUGAUAGAUUUUUCUAUUGCUAUUUAAUCAAAUAUCUAACAUUUUAAAUACAUGAUAAAUCAUUUGAAAAACAAAUAACAUAAACUUUAUGAAAUAAUCAAAACUUUGAAUCAAAACACAAAACCUUUUUGUUCUUGGCAAGAACAUCAAGAACAAUGAAGAACAUCCAUGAAAACCCAUAAGAGCUCCAUGAAUGUUUUCAAGCCAAAAAACUCAAAUUUUCAUCAUUCAAAAUGGUGCUAACAUCCUAGGGUACUUAGGGGUUCCAAAAGUCACCUUAAAACAUUUUUAACAAGACAAACAUGAACCCAAAAAAUCACCCUUUGGAUUUGGCCGAAAAUCCCCAAAAUCAUGGCACCAAAUUUUAGCUCCAAUAUUCAUCCUCAUAUGAACUACAUCUACAACAUUUGAGAUGGCAAAUUUUCAAACAAAAUUUACAUUCAAAGAAGCAAGAAUAAAGCUUGUAACAAUUACAACUUUUAAAUCAUAAACUUAUGAACUACAAAACCCAAAAGGAUUCACCAACUACUAGACCUAGGCUCUGAUACCACUUGAAGGAUUUAUUUUUUUUGAAAAAACAUGUUCAUUUGAGCAACAUCAUAUAGCAUGCAAUUAACAAUUAAAGGCGGAAUCAUGCUUGCAUGCACUCAAAAAACAAACAUUACCAUGAAAUUCAAAGCCUAGUAGAUUGGUGAACCAAUAAUCAACUCAAAACAAAGUGAGUUGAAAUUAUUACCUUUGUAGAUUCCUCUUUGCAUAAGCAAAGGCUAAUCACCCAAAGAGAUAGGGCCUUCAUUCCUUGCUUCUUAGAUCCAUGGAUUUGGAUGGAAAAUUAGGUUUCUCCAAGUUCCCAAAAUAGGGAACCUCUAAGUCUCUUCACCAAGGUUUGAUUGUAGAAGAAAUGAGUGACCUUGGAGUAGUAGGAUUGCUAGAUGUACCCUCCAAGGUGUUGGCCUCUUUAGAGAGAAAAUGGAGAGACAAUUCUCACCAAUUUUCCCCCAAAAUAAACCCUUAAUCACUUAAUGAAUAUUUGGCUAUAAAGUCCUUUAUAUAGUCCCUUCAAAUAAGUGACCUAAAGAACCAAAACCCUAAUUCAUCAUACAUGGCCGGCCUACCUUGGGAUUUUUGGGCUUUUGGGCCUUUGUGAAUCUUUAUUCAUUAAGUUGUCAUACAACUUAAGUCAAUGGGCUUGACGUUCGAAGCCCAUUGGGCCUUAAGGUCAAAAACUAUCCCGAGGUCUUUAACGAAACUUAUUCGUUUGAUUAAUUAACAUAUUAAUUAAUCCUUGCCAUAAAUAAAUGAUUAAACCAUUUAAUCAUUCUUACUCAUUUCAGUUUAAUCUUCAAUCUCCACCUUUUAUGGUGUGCGAUCCAUUAGGUUCCUUUUAGCGAGGUAGUGGGCGAUUAAAACCAUUUUACAUCGAUUGUGAAUUGAAACUAUUUUCAAUUCUCCCUUUAGUGAUUACACACGUUUAGGGCUUCCACAAACCAUGAGUGACACCUAGCAGCAUAUCAUGGUUACCCAAGCUAAUCAGAAGAGGAUAGAGAACCUAUUCAGUUUGGGAUUACAAAUGCAAUACGGUCAUUCUCUAAUCUAAUACUCUUGACCACAUUGUUUGGUAUUGAUAGUUUAUUUAUUCAUGUCUACUAUCCAAUGUGAUUCGUGUGCUUAUAUGAUUUCCUUGAAUGUGAUUUGGAACGCAUUCCCUAAUCUCAUUCAUACUCUGGCCAGAGAUUCCAAAUCAUAUCAUAGAGUAUUCUCCCUCAACUGUUUGAAGGUUAGAGAUCCCUUGUUGCGCAUUCACUUGUCUCCAUAGCUAAGUGGCUUAACCCCAACGAUGCCGUGGACACCCCGAGGGGGUGACUUUGACAUAAUCAAAGAUCAAGGACUUAACCACAAGACAACUGUGAUGCCUCAGGUCAAAGGACUACUUUGCAUUAUCCCAACCAUGAGUUCUCAUGUGACAUGGAAUAUAAGAACUCUUCGUUGAUUGAUCACGUUCAGUGAACUCAUUCUCUAUUGAGCACCUACGUACUUGUCUUGAUGUCACACACACCAAUGACUCGAGACUAGUCACUCUCCCUGAGAGAAGACAUAGUACGUACUGAUCUUAACGGACUGUCAACGCCCAAUUGGCAAUCCUAUGAUCAGGAACAUUUAGGAUGUGUCUACGAAAGAAUGGUCUCAUGAAUCUAACUUCAUUAGAUUACAUUCUCCCAAUCACAUAUUCCUUGGACUUUAUCGUUUAAGCAUAUAACAUUUAUAUGAGACGGCUCAAACAAUAAUUUAUGCCCUUUAUAUGUAAAACUAGAUUAGUUUAACAUGUGAAAUGUCCGUAAAGUAUCAUCACAUGAUUGGCUUUAGGGCACAUUUCCAACAGCAAUGUUACCAGUUGAGCUAAGCAUAAAUUCGUUACGAACAAUUGAACAGAGUAGUCUGUUCAGCGCCGAAUAUAAUCAGUCGAUGAGAUAGAAGUUAGAAGACUUAGAAGAAGCGCGACUCGACGCUUAUAACUUGCUGGUGGCACAAAAACAGAUUACCGAGCGAGCAUACAAUCAAAAGGUCCGACAGAAAACAUUUGGUGAAGGAGAAUUAGUUUGGCAAACGGUGUUGCUCGUAGGAAUUAAAGACCCUAGGUUCGGCAAAUGGUCGCCGACUUGGGAAGGGCCUUUCGUCAUACAUAAGGUUCUCGGGAAAGGGACAUAUCAUCUUAGAGACCGGACUGGUUUAGUUCACAAAUUGCCAAUCGAUAGGAAGUUUUUAAAGAAGUACUAUCCGGUCACAUGGGAAAUGCGGGAAUAAAAAUUCAUUUCAUUAAGAUCGGUAAAAGAAUACAUAAAUUGAGUUGGUCCAUUAGUUUACAUAAAUUCAGGGCGAAUAAAGAAGAAGAGUGCCAAGAAGAGCCUUAAGCUCUUGCCACCGCACCUCGCCCAUUAUGAUCUCGGCCUGCCGGUUCUUCUUGUCCAUCUUCAACUGCUCGACUCGUUUUACACUCGCCACAUACUUAGUCAGACAAUCUCUGCCGCCUGACUCGAAGUCUUGUGCAAUAUCGGAAGCAAUAGCUGACCUUCGUUGUCCUAGUUUAGUUAUUUGACGGUCGAGGUCGGCUAAAGCUUCCCCUUUCGCCUUUAAAGCAUCAAUCUUCAGACGAAGAGCAUCUUGGACGGCCAUGGCAGCUUUCAGAUCUUGUUCAGCCCAAAGAGCAUUCUCAAGGACACUAAAAGUCUCCCGAACUCGCUCUAAGGUAGACGACGCCCGAACGAUGGCUUCGACGCUCAUUUGACCAUUUACGCCGAGGUCGUUUAGGCAGGCACCCAACAAAUCGAGGCCUGUGCUUUGAAGGACUUGCGACGUAGAGAGAGACAAAACUUCUUGAACCCGAACCAGGGUAGAUGAAUCGGCGGGGUCAGUUGUAGGGGCCGAAGGGCUAGUCACUACAGCGGUACUUGAUAGAAGGGCUUUGAACUCAACUUCCCAUGAGGCCUGCACACAAAAAUCAGUUUAAGCUCAAGGAAAUCAUGAAAAAGUAACAAGAAGGUUUUGUUUUAAACUUGCCGGGAGGAGACUUCGGCCAUGUCUUUAGGAUCGUUGCUCGAACCUAAAGAACUUAAUGGCCGAGCCCAGUAUCUUAGAUUGCUUCUCAGUUCAUGCGGCCGAUGGAGGUUAUCUACGUUCGAGGGCCACGGAGGCGGCCAAGAAAUAUAGAUAACACCCUUCGGCGCAUAAAUUUUUCGAUGAAAAGAGUGUAUAGGCAUCUGGCAUUUAGUAUUUUCCUAGUUUAGAGUUCUAUGGCAGAGAAAUAACCAAGGAAAGGCGGUAGGGGGUACUUACAGAAGCUGAAGUGGCUUUCUGCGAAGGAAUAUUAAGGUCCUGGUCCUGCGGAUGAACGGGCAUUUCCGCCAUCGCUUUUGGCUCUCUUACAGGUCGUUUGCCACGGUCAGCCGUAGAGGGGCCAACUUGGACAGCCGCCUCGGACACAGGAGGAGGCACCUGACAUUUAUUAUUUUCCUGGUUUAAAGUUCUAUGGCAGAGAAAUAAGGAAAGGCGGUAGGAGGUACUUACAGAACGACUGGGACUGCCGCCUAGGACACGGGAGGAGGUUGACGGGCGGGGUCGAAAGCGACUCGCCAGUGGAACCUCGUCGCUCCCGUCGCUUUCUUCUAGAACGAAGGCCGAGGGUUUUGGAUUUUCAGGAUAAGAUCCCUUGGUCACAGGGACUGCCUCUUCCUGGAUGGAUGCAGCCUCGACCGGCGGAAUAACAACUGGUUCACCGACUUUAGAAACAGGCCUUACUUGGACUGUUUCUUCGGCCGGAAUUGACUGCUUCUUAACCAAAGCUUGGGUGAUGGGGGGAGAAGGGGAAACACUGGGAGUCGUCGCCCCCGUAGUUUGACUGGAGAUAACGUGAAUCUCCCGUUCUCCUUUCUUCGCCAGCUUUUUGACCCGUUUGGCGGGCCGAUGAGCUUCGAUGGCCGGCUUGACCUCUUGAUUAGGUCGUUUGCUCAGCACGGCCUGCACAGAGGUCUUAGCCCUCUUGGAAACGACCGAUUUUUUCUUGAACGCAGCCGCAGCGACCACUUCCACCUUUUUCAAUGGCCGACUACCUGGAAAAGUAAAAGCAAAUCAGCAAAGCCGAUCAGGGCUUCAAAAUUGAAGGAAAAAGGCAGAAAUAAAUUGUUACCUUGGGGUUGGGGGGUAUGAGCCUUCUUAGGUCGAUCACCGAAGAUAUUGUUCAGAACGAUUUCGAUCGGAACACCAAAAAACUGUUGGGUAUACUCUUCCCACCAAUCACCGAAGGUGUCAGUGCAAAGAGGUUCUGGAGUGACCGGUCGAAGAUGGAAUUUUUGGCACCGCUCCUGGAACUCUUUUUUGGCAUCGUUGCAUUUUUUCUCUAAAGAGCCAGGUUCGCGUCCGCGGCUUAGGACGGACUGUGAGGAGAGAAUGGGGACUGGACAACCUUGAAGGUAGCCAAGCUGCCGAGCAAGGAAGUUGGGGUGAUACACUUCCCAACUCGCUCGGUGACCCUCAUAGCCGAGAGGCAGGUCACGGGCAAGCACGAAAAACCCCCAAGAUUGAUGAAGGUCGGCAUCUUCGUCUGCGCCCCACGCUGAUGUAGGGAGUCUGAUCGACGAAGGGUAUUCUCGACGGCGACAGAUCAAGAACUCAUCAUCAGAAAGGUUGUCAAGAGCGAAAAAGUAUCUGAACUCUUCUUCGAAGAGGAGCAAAGUAGACCUGCAGCCAGAGUUAGAAGACCCAGAGGGGACCAUUCUGCUGCGGACCGACCUUAUCUAGGGUCGUUUUGACCAAAUAGCGUAGGAGAUGGGCGAGAAUGGCCGGGCUGAGUGCUAGAGUGUGACCGCUAGCUAGGGCUUCGACCAUUGGCAUAUUCUCGACCAGACACUUAUGAGAUUUGGUACAACAGAUAAAUUUGUUGUACCAAUAGAAGAGGAAAGCCUCGUGUUCUCCUUCUCGCAGAGCCUCUUCUCUUCGGCCGGCAAAAUGGAGAUAGAGGGUGUUAUAGUUGAAGAAGUUCUUGUAAAGCUUGUGAACCUCUUCUUUUGAAGGUAUUUGGCAUUCACCGCUUAGCGUCUCAAGAGCCCGCUUGUCAAAGAGCAUCUUCAAGUUGAGGUUUGAUGGGUACCUAGAGAGGGCAGCGUCGAUUAGGAUUCCAGUCGGGGAAGUCCCCAAGGUGGCAGUGAGAUUAAGGAUGGUGGGGCCAAUGGGGCCGAGAGGGAGGACCAUGGUGUUGGUGGCCGAACACCAGAAGCAUAAAGCAGCUAGGAGGAGCUCCUUGUCCAGGAUGACCUCCAUGGACGAGAGAUGAAUGACGUCGUAAAUGCUGAGGACUUUCCAUUGCUCGCCGAACAGCUUUUCCAUUCGUAUAACCCAUGCUGCCCAGGUUGUAGUGGUCGAGGGCUAAGAGCCUUGGGGCCUUGCCACAUCCCACUUCGGCCAUUGAUGGUUGAUGGUACUGCCACUUUAAAGAGCAAGGGUGACAGACAGUGCUUUUGGAGAAGCCCAGUGAUGGUUGAUGGUACUGCCACUUUAAAGAGAGGACCCAAGAUUUGAUGAGGGGUGCUCAUGUCACUUUUGAACCGUAUGGUUUUGAUUGAACUUCGAUCAAUAAUGUUCUGACAUUGGUCGCAUUCCUUGGAAAGCUUAAAGAUGAAGGAAGCCAUUGUAAGGGGAUUAAAAGAAUGCGAGACGAGAGGAGCUUUUCUGGGUUGGGAGAUUUGAAGACGAAGAUCCGGAGGGAAGGAGUGCACCAGAGAGCGAUGGCAAGAAUUUCAGAAAAUUUGAAAGCGUAAAGUACAAAUGAGAGAAUUUCGGUAUUUAUAGAACGGUGGAAGGAAGGGCAAUUGUUCGAAAUUCAAAAUGAAGGGUAAAAUUGAUCGAGAAAUUCGCUAAUCAUUAUGAACAUUUAGAAAAUCCAGUUGAGAAGACCGAGGGUUUCGUGUUUCGGGGGACGCACGAUUGCGUACAGCGACGAGAUUUAUGGUGAAAGACAUUUUGGCGUCUGCACGAUGCUGAAUGGUUCACAGAUCGAGGUGGCAUGGUUGUAUUCAGCAACGAGGUCAUGAUGAUAUGACGGUUUAGGGAGCCGCAUGCUUUAAACGUCAUUAUUGGGGAUUAGCUGUAUAAAAGGAUGCCACGUGAUGUAUUGGUUAGCAGGAUCAAGAUCGUGCAAUUGUGCUCACUAAAUGCGCCUCGAAAAUAAGAGUAUUUGGGUUUUGAGUUUUAAUUUCACUUCUUCAAGGCCGGAGCUCGACCAGAGGAUUUAGGUCGAGGACCUCAGAAGCGAGGGGGCAAUGUUUGGCCCCAAAAUAUUAGUUUGGGCCGAGUAUAGAAUUAUUCUCAACCCAGCGUUUAGUUCUGGACCAGUUAGGUCGUGGGCUUCCAAACUUGGGUCGGUUAAGCCAUGCUGCAAGAUGAGUCGAAUCCUGGUGCAAUGAGGAGUCUCGGCAAGAUUAAUAACCCGGAAGUGAAUCUGGCUUAAUGAAGGGCUAGGUUCACAAUUAUGGUGAAAAUAGGACUGGUCGAGUUGGUAUUUGAUCAGGAGAAGAAGUCCUAAUUCGGGUAGGGUUGUAACUCGACCUUGAAGGUAUCCAGUGCUAUAAAUAAAGGAGGCUGUACAUCUUUCAAGGCCCUCCAAUUCAACAUACAACUGCCCUGCGCAAACUCUCUCAACAACUUUGAGAUUUGUUUUUCUCUUUUCGCUGACACAUCUUCCGUUGGCAUCAACAUCACUGUGAAAGCAACCGGUGAUAUCUUAAGUCGGCAUAGAUAGCUUUGUCGCCGUAGAAUUAGCCGAUCUCGUAGCAUCUUCCGUUGGCAUCAACAGAACUGCGGCGAGGACGGUUGGUUACCUAUCCAGGUCUUGGUCGAGAAGGAUUUCUGAAUCCUUAUUGAUUGAGGUCAUCUCAUUAGCCUUCUCGGCGAAGUGAGGUGUUACAGUUUACUAAGCUCGGUGCAUUGCACGCUGAGUUAUUUUAUGAUUGGAUACUCUCAAGUGGGAUUUAGAGUUCGGCAUUCAGAUAGCCAAACCACAUUCACUAUUAAGACUUAUAUUCGCUUUGAAUGUUUGUGCCCUUACACUUUGGUGUCGAUUCGGCGUGAGUUUACUCUGACAAAUAACAUCACUGUGACUAAAUUCGACGAUGAUGAUUCGUGAACUUCGUAAGAAUAGUAACCUUGUCUUCAGGUUCGAGAACCCAAGAGGCCGAGACUUGUUCCUUCCUCGGUCGUAAUCGUAAGAUGCAGAAGUCAGCCGCGCACCCAACGUAACAUCAGCAAAUUUACUCCUUGGCCGAGCUCAGCCGACGAGUUGGCACGCCCCUGAAGGAAAAUUUGUGAAAACAAGUUCAUUUAAGCAACAUCAAUAAGCAUGCAAUUAACAAUUAAAGGCGGAAUCAUGCUUGCAUGCACUUAAAAACAAAACUUUAACCAAGAAAUUCAAAGCCUAGUAGAUUGGUGAACCAAAAACUCAACUCAAAACAAAGUGAGUUGAAAUUUAUACCUUUGUAGAUUCCUCUUUGCAUAAGCAAAGGCUAAUCACCCAAAGAGAGGGCCUUCAUUCCUUGCAUCUUAAAUCUAUGGAUUUGGAUGGAUUAAUAGGUUUCUCCAAGUUCCCAAAAUUGAGAACCUCUAAGUCUCUUCACCAAGGAGAGAUUAGAGAAGAAAUGAGUGACCUUGGAGUAGUGGGAUUGCAAGAUGCACCCCCCAAGGGGCCGGCCUCCUAGAGAGAAAAUGGAGAGACAAGUUCUCACCAAUUUUCUCUAAAAGAAACCCUUAAUGAAUUUUAGCUAUAAAGUCAUAUUUAUACCUUUAUUCAUUUGAGUGGCAAACUUGUAAAUAAGUCCAAGUUCACUACCCUAAUCAUCAUGGCCGGCCAUUGGGAUAUUAUUGGGCUAUUAUGCCCUUGUGAAUAUUUAUUCAUUAAGUUGUCAUACAACCUAAGUCAAUGGGCUUGACGUUCGAAGCCCAUUGGGCCUAAACGUCCAAAACUAUCCCGAGGUCUUUUAACGAACUUAUUCGUUUGAUUAAUUAACAUAUUAAUUAAUCCUUGCCAUAAAUAAAUGAUUAAACCAUUUAAUCAUUCUUACUCAUCUCCGUUUAAUCUCCAAUCUCCACCUCUUAUGGUGUGCGAUCCAUUAGGUUCCUUUUAGCGAGGCAGUGGGUGAUUAAAACCAUUUCAAAUCGAUUGUGAAUUGAAACUUACUUUCAAUUCUCCCUUUAGUGUUUAUACACGUUUAGGGCUUCCACAAACCAUGAGUGACACCUUGCAGCAUAUCAUGGUUACCCAAGCUAAUCAGAAGAGGUAGAGAAAACCUAUUCAGUUUGGGAUUACAAAUGCAAUACGGUCUUUCUCUAAUACAAUACUCUUGACCACAUUGUUUGGUUUGAUAGUUUAUUUAUUCAUGUCUACUAUCCAAUGUGAUUCGUGUGCUUAUAUGAUUUCCUUGAAUGUGAUUUAGAACGACUUUUCUAAAUCUCAUUCAUACUCUGGCCAGAGAUUCUAAAUCAUAUCAUAGAGUAUUCUCCCUCAAACAGUUUGAAGGUUAGAGAUCCCUUGUUGCGCAUUCACUUGCCUCCAUGGCUAAGUGGCUUAACCCCAACGAUGCCGUGGACACCCCCGAUGGGGUGACUUUGACAUAAUCAAAGAUCAAGGACUUAACCACAAGACAACUGUGAUGCCUCAGGUCAAAGGACUAAUUUGCAUUAUCCCAAACAUGAGUUCUCAUGUGACAUGAGUAUGAGAACUCUUCGUUGAUCACGUUCAGUGAACUCAUUCUCUACUGAGCACCUACGUACUUGUCUUGAUGUCACACACACCAAUGACUCGAGACUAGUCACUCUCCCUGAGAGAAGACAUAGCACGUACCGAUCUUGACGGACUGUCAAUGCCCAAUUGGCAAUCCUAUGAUCAGGAACAUUUAGGAUGUGUCUACGAAAGAAUGGUCUCAUGAAUCUAACUUCAUUAGAUUACAUUCUUCCAAUCACAUAUUCCUUGGACUUUAUCGUUUAAGCAUAUAACAUUUAUAUGAGAUGGCUCAAACAAUAAUCUUUGCCCUUUAUAGUUAAACUAGAUAAGUUUAACAUGUAAAAUGUCCGUAAAGUAUCAUCAUAUGAUUGGCUUUAGGGCACAUUUCCAACAGCCCCGCAUUCAUCGAAGGACGUAGUUAGCUUAUAGAUUACUCGGCCUGCGCGCCACGUAGGCUUGGUAGUUUUUAGGGUCAACAAAUAGCCUUAGCGGUUUCAAAACCCCCCUUUGGAUUGACAAUGGUUAAACUAGGCAGUUUGCCUUGUUCUCUGAAUUUUCCCAUGAAUUCUGCCAUUUGCCCUAUUUGAUUCUUCAAUUCGCCCACCUCAUUGGCUUGAUUUUGUAAGCCUUGCAUCAAAGAAGUUAGUACUUGAAGAAUUUUAUCAUUAUCCAUUAACGAAUCGGAAUUUGGUUAGGUAGAUUGUGGGUGAGGUUGUGGUGGUGCAAAUGGCCUUUAAUAUAGCCUAUGAGGUGGCUGUCUAUAUUCGCUUUGUUGUUGAGUUUGAGGUUCUCUCCACUUCAUAUCUGGAUGAUCUCUCCAGCCUGGAUUGUAGGUGUUGGAGAAUGGGUCAUUCCUUGGUUGAUUUUGGCCUUGAUAACCUAUGGAAUUGGCACUUUCCCCUCCCCUAUUCUCUAUCAAUUGAGGACAUUGAUCAGUGGGGUGUCCUUGCAUAGAGCUCACGGUACAAGCACUUGUUCCUUGCACUUUGGAUCCUUCAAUAACCUGUGAUAGAAGAACAGAGAUUAGCCAUUUGAGAUUGAAGUUCUGAAAUAACACUUACCUCAUUAGUUUGAUGUUGCCGUGUGGGUUCCCUUUGUCCAACUCCUUCGUAUUGUUGUGCAUUCAAGGCUCGAUUUGCUAUUAAGAUCUUUACAGCAACUGGUGUUUUGUCAACCAAAGCUCCUCCUGCCGAAGCAUCAAGCAUUUGUCUCUCAAUUGGAAGUACUCCUUUGUAGAAAUAUUGAAUUAAAAGCUCUUCCUUCAUUUGAUGUUAUGGACAAGAUGCAACUAAAGUCUUGAAAUGCUCAUAAUACGCUGGAAAGGAUUCUCUUUGGCCUUGUUGAAUUCCGCUAAUUCUCUUCCUCAAAAGAAUGACUCUUGAAGUUGGGAAAAAUUUCUCUAAGAAUGCUUUCUUCAUGCUUUCCCAAGAAGUGACGGUUCCAGGUGCCAAUUCAAAGAGCCAAUCUUUAGCCUUUUCCAAAAGAGAGAAUGGAAAGGUUUCAUCUUCAGAAUGUUCCCAUCUACGUUGAUUGGUGUCAUGCUUGAGCACACCACUUCAAACUCUUUAAGAUGCUUGUUCGGAUCUUCCAUGGGUAGCCCAUGGUAUUUGGGAAUGUGAUGUAGCAAACUAGACUUUAAUUCAAACUCAUUGGUUUUGCCUUGAGCUGCCCUAGAGUAUUGAAUGCAAAGAGGGAUGACAUUGUCCAAUCUAGAGGCUGAAAGUUCCUUGAUUGUUCGAUUGUUUACAGCCAUGUCUUGUUCCUCUUCCUCUUCCUCUUCCUCAAAUUCGGAUUCAGAACUAGAACUAGGUGGAUUGGGUUAUGACUGCUUCAUUUUCCUUCUCAAAGUUCGUUCAAAAUCGUCGUCAAACACAAUUAUAUGCCCACGAACUGGUUGAGAACUUCUAGUCAUAAACUAGUACCAAAAACAAAGAAAACAAAACAAAACAAAAUCAGAAACAUAAGAAAAACAAAAUAGAAACAAAGGGGAGAUUAGCAAUUUUGCUAAUCCCCGGCAACGGUCCCAAAAUUUUGAUGUGGUAGAAACUAACACACAAAUUAAACCCUAUUAAGCCAGUUGUAGUAAAAGAAAGUAGAGAUCGUUCUAGGCUAGGGAUUAGAAGGGAUGCUAAUCAACACUAAUUAGACUUAAAAACUGAAAACUAAGCUAAACUGACACUAAACAUAAGGGGGGAGGUUUUUGGAUGAAUUCUAACUUCAAACAAGUAAAUUGAAGAAACAAAUUAAGUUUGGUACGAAAAUUGGGUGAAAGGCUAGCUAGAGGAUUCUUCUCCAUAGAUGAAACAUAUGCAUACAAAUCGAUUUCCAGUUAUUAUUCCUAUAAACCAUGAAUGACAAUGCCCCAAAUUAAUCGUGAAAAACAAAAAUUAACUUUCAGAUUUUCCUAAAUUCAUUGAAUUGGACUUAGCGAUGCAACCAAAUUAUUCUUAUCAAGUUCCCUAUAUGAACUGCAUGAUAAAGAUACAUAUCAAAGAUCAUUAAGUUUGUGAAAAUCAUAAGCAUUGACAAGACAUUCGUAACUAUAAACUGCAUGAUACUCCUACCAGGAAUUUGCUUAACACAAUCAUGACUAGUGACUUUUACUACUUGUAAAUAUAAGUUCAUAACGAUUAGGUGAAAUUCCCUUAUAUUCUAGCAUCAAAUCCCUGCAUGCAAACUAAGUGUGCACCCUUAAUCAACACACAAGAACAAGUUCUUAAUAAAACAGAUAAGUAAAUUGCAUUCACUGUUUAUGAAACAAUAACUGGAUGUAAUCAAUUCAUACAAAACAUAUGAUCAUGGCUUCGAAUUCACCUCUAGCUAAAAAUAAAUUUAGUUAUGCAUGUUCAUCAUAACUAAAUAAAAACAAUCUAAAUUAAACAUUGAAAUCAAAUAAGGAUAGAAAAAACUCUGAGACACUCCAGCAAUGGCAGAUUCGGCUCCUCCUCAAGAUGGCAGAAUUGGUUCCUCUUCUCUUUACAAGCACAGCUCAAAAUCUCCUUCUCUCAUCUAGAAACUUGCGGCACUCUCACCAAUUUUCUCUCUAAAAACUCCUUCUGAAAACUGCAGCAAUAACUUGUAUUUAGGGCUAGGGCACGACCUACUUUGUGGUGGAAAAUGAUUGAGUUGUUUGCAAUGUUUUAGGACUCCUUAAAUUAGAUUAAGUGGUUGAAUGUGAUAAGGAACCCCCCCUUGCAGCUGGAGAUAAGGUAGGAUUAGGAUAUGAUAAGAUAAGAUAAGAUAAGGUUGAGAUAAAACAGGACUGGAUAAGAUAAAGUAAGUUUGGAUAAGGUCUCUUUGCUUUCAGCUGAUUCCUUGUCUUCCAACCUUAAUUUAAUUCUUCCAGAUUUGUAGCACAAUUUUAGCAUCAUUUGUCACCAAAAGCAUCCAUCCAUUAUGCUCCAUACACAUGCUAUCCAAUCCAAGUCCAAAAUUGCUCCAAAUUGCUUCAUUUAUCCAUUUAUUGUCAUCUUUGCCAAUUGGACCUACAAACACACGAAAAUAGCUUAAAUCACUAUAAUAAAUAGAAACAAACUCACUAAAUGCAAAGAAACAAGCUAACAAAGUUGUAUAAAUAUGCUUCUAUUAAUCUGUUCAAUCUUUUAUUCCCUGGGUGGUGGGGGAGGGGGCAAUUUCAACGAACUAUUGCAUGUCUAUGAGAAGGAUGGAGGCCCAGUGAGGCCUAUUAAUCAGAUUCUUAGUUUCUAAGAAGCCCUCAAUGACUACAACCUUAAGGAUUUGGGUUUUGUUGGUAUUCCCUAUACCUGGGUUACAACUCGCCAUGGCGGAAUUAAGGAAAGGCUUGAUAGUGUGGUUACCACUAGUGAAUGGAAGAAACUUUUCCCUAAUUUUUCAAUGAUUCACUUGGAUCUGAGUAAAUCAGAUCACACCCCUAUCAUCCUGCAUAUUGAUGGAGUGGCUUUCCAAAAUAAAAAUCUGAGACACUCUUUCCGUUUUGGAGAAUUUUGGUCGAGGCAUGAUGGGUGUGCUACAGUCAUUAAAGCAGCUUGGGAACAACUUGUCAUUGGUGUUCAUGAGUUUUGUUUGGUGCAGAAAAUCAAGACCAUGCGGGUUGCCCUCAUCAAAUGGCAACGUGGGGAAUUCCAAUCCCAAAAAGUGUAAAUCACUCUUAUUCGAUCCAAAUUGGGUUUUAUCUUGGCCUAACCUUUGUUUGACGUAUCCAUUGAUGAGAGAUCCUCAUUUGUAUCACAAUUAGAUACCCUUCUCGGUGACGAUUAGACUUUUUAGCAGUUAAGGUCUAGGGUUAAUUGGAUGAAAGAUGAGGGGUCGUAACACCUAUUUUUUCCAUUAAUGGGCAAACAAUCGUAGGCCCAAAAAAAUCAAUUAUGGGUCUUAACAACAAGUAUGGGGUUUGGACUGACAGUGAUCAGGGGGGUUGAGAACGUCAUUCUAUUGGAAGUAUGCCCACAAAGCCACUCAUUUGAUGUAAUAGCUUUUUGGAAUACUUAUUGUAUUAAACUUUUAUAUGUUUAAUGAAGGGCAAAGCUUAUUGUUAAUCACUAUUUAUUGUAUCAUGUGUUUAAGCAAUAAGGGAAUCCAAGGAAUGUAUUUGUUCUAAGAGAGAAGUGAUCUAAUGAGUUAGAUUAUCGAGACCUCUCUCUUAUGUUCAUUCCUAAAACGUUCCUAGCCAUAGGAUUGCCAAUUGGGCAUUGACAAUCCGCUAAGGUUAGUAUGUGUUAUGUUGACUCAAACGUGAGUAUGAACUAGUCUCAAGUCAUUUGGUGUUGGACACUGAGACAAACACAUAGGUGCUCGAAAAGAGUAAUCGAGUACACUGAACGUCGAUCAAAAGAGAGUUCGAAACAUACAUGUCAUGUAUGAACUCUAAAGUUGCAAUAUGCAAAGUAGUCCUUUGACCUGAGGCAUCAUAGAUGUCUAAUGGUUAGGUCCUUGAUCUUUGAUCAUGUCAAUGGCAUUCCUUCGGAUUGUCCACGGCAUUGUUGGGGUCAAGCUAUCUAGUCAUGUAGGCAUAUGAAUGCACAACAAGGGAUCUCUAACCUUCCAUGGUGGAAGGAGAAUACUCUAAGAUAUGAUUCUAAAGUCUUUGGCCAAAGCAUAUGAAUAUGACUUAGGAAGUUUGUUCCAAAUCAUAUUCAAAGGAGUCAUAUAGGAAAGUAUCACAUUGGAUAGUAGACAUGAAACAAACUAUCACUUAAACAAUGUGAUUAAGAGUAUUGUAUUAGAGAAGGACCGUAUUGCAUUGUAGUUGUAACUGGAUAGGUUCUCCAACCAAUUCUACUUAGCUUGGGUAACCAUGAUAUGCUGCUAGGUGUCACUCAUGGUUUGUGGAAGCCCUGAAGAUUAGCAAACACUAAUCUUAAGGGAGAAUUGAAAUGUGGUUUCAAUUCACAAUCGAUCGUUAAGAGUAACAUCGCCCACUGCCUCGCUAAUUGGAACCUAAUGGAUCGCACACCACAUAAGGAUGUUAGUGAAGAAAUUAUAUGAAAUGGAUAAGCAAUUAAAUGGUUUAAUUGAAGAAUGGUCAAGAUUAAUUAAUUAGUUAAUUAAUUAUACGAAAAGUUCGUAUUGGGCUUAUAUGUUGGUUUUGGGUUUCGGGGCCCAAAAGUGUUUUGGUCCACAAGGCCCAUUAUGUUUAAGUUGUAUGACAACUAAAACAAAAUGGGCAAAUUAGCCCAAUAACAAGGAGAGGCCGGCCAUUAGGGUGAAUGGGCAAGCUUGCUUAAUUACAAGUUUGCCACUCACCAAAGAAAAUGUUAUAAAAAGGAACUUUAUAGCAAUUUUCUCAUUAGGGUUUUCUAAUAGAAAUUGGGUGAAACAUUUUCUCUCUUUUUCUACAUAGAGGCCGGCCACUUAGAGGAUUUUUACUAGCAUCUAAAAUCUCUCUAAGUCAUCCAUAUCAUCUUCACAAUAUACAACAUUGGUGAAGAGACUUAGAGACAUCAAGCUUUUGAUGUUUUUGGAGAACAAAUCCUUUUUCCUCUAAUCAUCAAAGGAGCACUAAAGGGAGGAAAACACAAGGAGGAUUCAAGGAGCUUGGAGGUGACUUGAAGGCCCUCCACUUGGGUGAAUCCCUUGUGUAAACAAGGAUGAGCUUCAAGGGUAAAGAAUCACUAAAUCUUUACUUCUCUUUAAUUUUGUUAAAGAGUAUAUUUUGGUUCACCAUAUACUAGGCUUUGAAAGUCAUGGGUUUUAUGAAUUGUUUUUGGAUGCAUGCCUACUUUAAAGUGUUGAUAGCUUGCAUGUGUAUUCAAAUGUUCAUACUUGUUCUUAGCUAGGACAAAAUUUUUCCUUCACAUUCUGGAUUAUUUUUAGGAGAUUUUUUCUUUUUCAUCCACUAAAGGCGGUUAGGAAGUUCUUAAUGCCAUUGAACCAAAGCUCUAUGUUGACAUGGUUGCCCACCUUGAAAAAAAGAUUUUUGAUGAUGAAGUUAAAUCAGUCUUGUUUCAAAUGCAACCAAACAAGUCUCGAGGCCUGAUGGUAUAACACCCAUGUUCUUCAAAAUUUUUUAGGACAUUGUUGACACUGACAUCAUUAAUGGGGUCCAAUCUUUCUUUGCCUUUAGGAAAUUUCUUAGACAACUUAAUUACACUUAUGUGUGCCUCAUUCCCAAGCAAAAGAGAUUGAAAGAAAUGUCCCACCUGAGACCCAUUAGCCUCUGUAGUGUGCUCACAAAAUUCAUCUCUAAGGUCUUAGCAAAUCGCCUCAGGCUACUACUACCGAGUAUCAUAUCCCAACACCAAACGACUUUCGUCCCAGGAUGCCAAAUCUUCGACAACUCAAUCAUUGCUUGUGAGAUUGCCAAUACUCUGUCUAAUAGACGGAUGGUGAAGAAUGGUUUUCUAUCUUUUAAGCUCGACAUGAGCAAGGCUUAUGACCGAAUUGAAUGGCUCUAUUUACAGAAGGUUUUAACCAAGAUGGGUUUCCCACCACGUUAGGUCAACCUUGUUAUGGCUGCGGUGACUUUGGUUUGCUACUCAUUUUUGGUUAAUGGAUGUCCUAGGGCAGUAUCCAACCUUUAAGGGCCCUUUGACAAGGUGACCCUCUCUCUCCUUACCUUUUCCUCUUGUUUGCUGAAGGUUUCUCUGCCUGAUUGCCCUGAAAAAAGGGCAGGGUUUAAUCCGGGAUCUGUCUAUUAGUUAAGGUGCUCCUCGCACCUCUUCUUUACAGAUGACAAUUUCCUCUCCACCUGAGCCCGUAUGGAGGAUUGCAUCCAUAUCACAAAUAUCCUUAGUUCCUACAAUCGAGCCUUUGGUCAAGUCAUAAAUUUGCUGAAGAGUGAGGUUGGUUUCAGAAAAAACAUUAAAAGGUUGGAUAAGGCUUAACUAGCUGCAGUGCUCAGAGUGGAAUGUGUACCCAAACAUGAUAAGUACUUGGGUUUUUCUACGAUCGUGGGUUGGAACCGGGGACAAUGUUUUGGAUUCAUAAGGGAACAUCUUUGGAAAAGACUUCAAUGCUGGAAAGGCAAUUUAUUGAGUGAAGAAGGUAAGGAGUUAUUGGUGAAGGUUGUCACACAUUUAAUUCAUCUAUAUCUUAUGAGUUGCUUCUUGCUCCCUAAGCACUUUUAUGAUGACCUGAAUAGAUUAGUAGCCAAUUUUUUUGUGGAAUGGGAGUGAUGGUGAAAAGCAAAUCCAUUGGCUUUCUUGGGAGAAACUAUGUUCAACUAAGUCGGAAGGUGGUUUAGGUUUCCGUAAUCUAUACACCUUUAAUCUGGCUUUCUUGGCAAAACAAGCUUGUAGGAUUAUCUCGAAGCCUCACUCUCUUCUACCUGUGACCCUCAAGGCUAAGUAUUUCCUUCAUCCUCUUUAUUGGAUGCUCAAGUGAAACCCAACUGCUCUUAUUGUUGGAUGAGUAUUUGUGCAUCUAGGGAUGUGAUUAGGAGUGGGGCUUGGUGGAUGAUUGGCAAUGGGGAGUUCGUCAACAUCUGGUUAGAACCAUGGAUCUUUUUUCCCAAUUUGUUCAAGGUUUUUUCCCAAAACAUGUUGGCUGCCAAUUAGAGAGGGUCUUCGAGCUUAUUAAUCCCGGAUUAAAAGAUUGGAAUUUGGAAGUACUUGCCUUGAUUUUUUUUUUCUAAUAUGGAAAUGAAGUUAAUCAUUUCCUUGCCACUUAGUAUUAGAGAUGUUAGGGGUUUUCUGAUUUGGCACUUUGGGAAAAAAGGCAUUUUUCCGGUUAAUCUAGCUUACCAUUUUGGUAGAAACUUGCUACUUCCACCCUCGAUUAUUGCUUCUUCCUUAUCCCAAAGUCCCAUUUUGAAACUUUGGACUGUCAUCUGGAAGGCCAAUGUUUUGCCUAAGGUUCGUCUAUUCACAAGGCGUCUCUGUAGAGACCUUCUUCUUAUGAGACUCAAUCUUGUAAAGAAACGGAUUGCAACUGAGCUAUCGUGUGUGCUCUGCAAUUCUACGGCGGAAUUCGCCUGUCAUAUUUUCAGGGAUUGUCAUUAUGCUUGGUGCUCUUGGAUAUGUUCACCCAUUGGAGUUCCUCUGAGGUCCCUUGACCCUAUGUCCACAUCGGUUUGGUUUUUCAAGAUUACUGAUACUCUCUCCCCCACCAAUCUCUCAUGUGACAUGAUGAUAUAUUGGACCAUUUGGAAUAGCAGGAACUCGAUGCUACGGAAUGACAAAUGUGAUGCGCCGAAUUUGGCGGUGACUCGAGCAAUUUGUUGGUAGCAGAAAAAAAGUAUAAAGCUUUAGGUCCAAAAUUUAUUAUUUUUUAAUCGACUGGACUAUGGGCCAGCCAGAAAAAAAAAGGGUUAAUAGAACCCAAGCUCAAAUAUGGGCUAAUAAAGAAAAAGUGAAAACUAAAUCCUGAUUAUAGGAUUUAGGGUUUCGUAUGGGCUAAGGUAAAUAGGCCCGAAAGAAAUUUUUUUUUUAUUACUUUUGGACUGCAGGUCUAUAAAGGAAAAUUGAGUGAUUGGGCUAAAAGCCCGAAGGAAUCACAACCCAAAUCUGGACUGAAAUAAAAAAAACAAGAAUUUCUUAAAAAAACUUGGCCACAAACGGGGGGACAAAAAAAAAAACAAAGCCUAAGCCCAAAUCAUGGGCUGGGUGACGCGGGCCGAGCGCAAGGGAGAAGGCCAAAAAGCCUUUGGUGUUUGGAGAUCAACCUAGUGAUGCUGAAUGUGGGGGUCAGUGACAUUCAUCUGAGAUGCGCCUUCUCAGUGGUGACGACAUGCAGGUCGUUAGACUAAUGUUGUUCGGUUUUGUUGCCCUUCCAUCAUAUAAAUAGUGUGGAAUAUUUCAUAAACAAUGUGAAUUAUAUUGUUCUAGUUCUAGAAGCAGUGUUUAUUUUGUUACAUCUCAUAAAUAUUGGGUGUUUUUUUUUUUUUUAUCAAUUUCAUAAAAUAGUACAGGUUAUUAUGCUGUAAUUCCAAAAACACCAUUGAUGUUUUGUUCUACUUCGAGAAAUAAUAUGCGUUGUGUUAAUUCAUGAUCAUAGAAAGUGUGGGAUAUUUUUUUGUAGUUCAUGGACUAAUGUUGAUUUUACUCCCUUCAUAAACAAAAUGGAUUGUUUUGGUUUUGUUUUGCUCCCUUUCCUUAUAAAUAGUGUGAGAUAUUUCAUGAAUAGUGUGAGUUAUAUUGUUCUAGAUCCAGAAACAGUGUUUAUUUUGUUACCUAUCAUAAAUAUUGGGGGUUAUUUAUUUAAUUUUUUUUAUCAAUUUCACAAAAUAGUACAGGCUAUUAUGCUGUAAUUCCAUAAGCACUAAUGGAUUUUUGUUCUAGUUCGAGAAAUAGUGUGCGUUAUGCUAAUUCAUGAUCAUAAAAAGUGUGGUCUAUUUUGUUGUAGUUCACGGACUAAUGUUGAUUUUGUUCCCUUUUAUAAACAAUGUGGGUUGUUUCAGUUUGGUUUUGCUCCCUUUCCUUAUAAAUUGUGUGAGAUAUUUCAUAAACAGUGUGUGACACACCCCGACCCGGAAUGUCCCCUAGGACUUCGAAUCGAAUUGUGCUGGCCAACACCUGGAAGGUGAUGAAGCCAUAAAGUGUGAUGAUGAUGAAAAAAAUGUGAAUAAAUUUAAACCGAAGAGUGCCUAAAUACCAGAGUACACCGGUGAGUGGGAAUGAACCCACUUCACACGUGACUUUAGAGCAUAAGCAAGUAUAGAAGAGUGAAUUAAGAAUCGUACCCUCGAAAUAAUCUCCAAUACUAAGAAUCACCACGAAUCUUCGACGAUGAGAAAGCUCAGCUAAUAAGACUUGGAGGGUGAAGACAAGACAAAGGCGAGUGGCCCUGUAAAUAAAAUUUUAAUAGAACCCAUAUGAAACAUUAUAAUUCCUCGCUACAACACUUGUAUAAUUUCUAGAAAAUAUUAUAAAUAUACCAUAAUACAACAUCUCGUCAACAGUAUCAAAUAAUCAUGUGAUUAAUAACUCAUACUAGUACACAAGUCGGAGUCACCUAUGGUGACCUGUACGACUUACCCAUAUCUCAUCACAUAUACUAGUUCAUCACAUAUUUCAUCACAUAUGCUAACUUAUUGCAUAUUCAUCACAUAUGCUAGGUCAGCAUCAUAUAUUCAUCACAUUGCUAGCUCAUCACAUAUUCAUCACAUAUGCUAGCUCGUCACAUAUUCAUCACAUAUGCUAGCUCAUCAUCAUAUAUUCAUCACAUGUGCUAGCUCAUCCCAUAUUCAUUACAUAUGAUAGCUCAUAAGUCGGAGUCACCUCUAGUGACCUAUACAACUUAUCCAUAUCUCCUCAUAUAUCUCAUUAAUCAUUGCUAGCAUAUAAGUCAGAGUCACCUAUAGCGACCUGUACGACAUAUUUGUAUCUUAUCGCAUAUGCAAAUGAUAUUGUAAACACGAAAAUUCCUGCGAUGAAUGAGACAAGAACUGAUGUGAAUAUAUAAGCACACAAAUUAAACCCUCUUUUUGACAAUUGUAGUAUAGAUGUAAGUAGGGUAUCGUUCUAGGCCGGGGAUUAGGAGGGAUUGCUAAUCUAUUGUAAAUUAAUUUAAAAAUAUUAAAUAAGACUCAAGGACACAAAACUAGGCUAAAAACUCUAAUAACUCGAAACACACUUAAAAUGACUCAAAAUAAUGAAAACAAUUAAAUUAAACACUAGGAACUGAAAUGGACGGAAAUUAAAUUAAAAGACUAACAAUAAAGAAAACUAACUAAAUAAUAUAAUUUAAUAAUGGAUGGGUGUUUGGUUUUGAUGAAAAGUAAAUUAAACUUAAUUAAAUUACAGAAUUGACAAAAACAUAAAAUUAAGGUAAAAUGAUAAAUGACGGACUAGCUAGAGGGUUCUUCUCCACACAUGACACAUAUGCAACCUAAAUUGAUUUUCAGUUGUUCUUUCAAUAAAUUGUAAAUCUCAACGCCCCAAAUUAACCGUGAAUUGCACUAAUUAACCCUCAGUUUUUCCACAAGUUAUUGGGUUGGAUGAUUGCAUACGACAACCCAAAACAUUCCCUACAAGUUCUCUACAUGAAUUGCAUAAUAGAGAUACAAGCAAGAAUCAUUAAGUUCUAUGAAAAACAUAAGCAUUGACGAGGCACUCGUUACUAUGAUUUGCAUGAAACUUAUGCCAAGAAUUUACUUAACGUGAUUGUGACUAGCAACCUUUACUACUUGUGAAUAUAAGUUCAUAACGAUUAGGUGAAAUUCACUUAUAUUCUAGCAUCAAAUUCAUGCAUGUAAAUUAAGCGUGCACUCUCAACCAACAUACACAAAUCAGUUUUUAUACGAACGGAUAAGUAAAUUGAAUUCACAACUUAUGAAAUCACAACCGAAGGUAAUCAAUUCAUAUUACAAAUAUAAUUAUGGCUUUGAAUUAACCUCUAGCCAAAAUAAAUUUAAUUACACAUUAUUAAAACCGAAAUAAAAUAGAAGUUUAGAGAGAUUAAACCGAGAGAAGGCUUCUGCUUUCUGUGCUCUGACCAACUCUUGCUGUGCUCUCCUCUCCAGCUGCCAAGGCAGCAAUUCACGCCCUCAUCACCGUCUCUCGGUCCUCACUCUCUCCCAUCUUCUGACUGUCGCACUUUCCUGCGUCUCUGCAAGCUGCCCAAAGGGCAGCUCCCUUCUCCCGCUCCAAGACCCCCCUGUGCGUCCUCUCCUCUCUCCUUUCUUAUUCUUUUCUUUCUGGCCGUUCUCCUCUCUUUUAUUAUUUUAUUCCCUCUUUUCCGCACUACUGCUGUCCGUCCCUUUUUCCAUCCUCCCACAUGCUGCUUCUUCCACGCUCCAAAGGCAGCGUUCCCCACUCCCACGUCAGUUCCCUUUAUUUCCCUGCUGUCCAUGACCUGGUCCUCACCUUGCUGUCUCUCCAGCUCACGUUUUCUGCCUUUGCUAUCUUUCUUUCAUGAUUAUGCCGUCUGCCUUCAUGCCUUGGAUUCUUCUUUGACAAUAUAGUACAAAACUAAUUUGUAUCAUAAACUCUAAAUUAGUAGCAGUUGGGAAUUAAGAACAAAUUCAAGUAACAAAUCCAAAACCAAUAUUCUUUCUGUCUAUUAUUUAAAACUCAUUUGUGCUAUUUUUAUUUUCUUUGCAUAACAAAUUCUAUAAACACAAAAAUAACGUAAAUAGCUCAAAAUAUAAAGAACUAACUAAGAAAAGACGAGUGAAUUUGAAGUAAAAAUAUAUAUAAAUAUGAUCCGAUCAAAUACCCCCAUACUUAGCUUUUGCUAGUCCUCGAGCAAAACAAAGAAAACAUGAAAAAGUACUAACAUGAAAAACAUUAGUUUCCCCCUAUGUGACCCUCAUAGAGUUUCAUUCGAGAAAACAAAUCAUCAAGAACCAUAGCUAGCACCAAACAAACUAAUCCAAGUUCAUCUUCCUUAUUCAAAUAUUAGCAGUAAUCUUUGAAUCAUCCUUGAAGUGUAGUGUGUGAGAUAGCCAUGCUAAUGCAAUUUCAAGUUUUUAUUUUUAAAAUCAUCAUAUGCAAACUAGCAACAUUCUCACGGGAUAUGCACUCAAUCACACAUGUGUUUAGUUUUAAUGUGUUUCGCUCAAAGAAUCAAAUGUGAACGUUCUACCAUAAGCUUGCAUAAAGAUCACUUCUCCACAGUCAUAAUUGCAAAACUUAAAUCGAGAGGACUUUUAUUGGAUGUAAUGAGGCUUAGGGAUAGGAUUAUUGAAACGAAAGAAUAGGAAAAUACAAGUUCCAAGCUACAUUGCAAGCAAUUCUUUUGUCUAGAUUUAUAAGAACUCAAGCUCUCCAACGAUUCUUCUGAAACCUCCAAUCACACCCUUAAACUGAAACUUUAAAAACAUUUUUUUUUUUCUUUUCUUCGUAUACAAUCUUUCUUUUUCUUUUUCUUUUUUUUUUCUUUUUUUUUUUUUUAAUACAAACAUGAAAUACCCCCACACUUAUUUUUUUGCCAAACACCUUCAAAGUACUUUACAAACAUUUCUCAUAAGACAAUCUCACAUUGCUCACUAGCUUGCUUGGAAAGGGUAAGGAAAAAAAUGUUUCAGGUAUAAGGGUAGACAUAUUUGGUGAUAAGAAAUAAAAGGUUCAACAAACACGGCUCAAAUAGGCAAUCUAAUGAUAUCAUUUUUCUGUUGGGAAACAUGGUUAUUUGGGCCAUGGUGGUAAACCUAAUGCCUCUAUCAUUUCCAAGUUCAUGUAAUCAAUGACAAACAUUUCGAAAGAUCGUUACGCAAGUUCUAGAGAUGCAUCUCACAUAAGUUCAGCACACAUGAAAGAAUAGGAGUGUAUGAAAAAUGCACACACUUUCAAUAGGCUCAAAAACUCACAUAGGAUGUAUAUGGUCACUAAAUUCACAUAUGAAGCUUUACGUUAUGCUUUAGUUUCACAUCAACAAGGCUAUGUGCAUUUGGUUUUUCAAAGAUGAUCAAACAUGUACAAAACUAACAAAAGAAUUAGGAAUUUCACAAAACACAUGUUAACUAAGUUCUUGAUGAUCAUGGUUCAAAUUUUAUUCAAUUAUAUCAUUGGGUCGGGAAACUAACAAAAAUCUAAUUCAUAACAAUAAGGAAAACAAGACAAUAUUUUUGGAUUUUUAAAUUUUCCGAAUUUUUUUUUUUUUUUUUUUUUAAAGAAAACAAAAAGCAACAACACAGAAACAAAUGAAAUUCUGGAGAUUUCUACCCCCACACUUAAACUUGACAUUGUCCCCAAUGUCAGAAAAGAUGAUCAAACAUGUACAAAACUAACAAAAGAAUUAGGAAUUUCACAAAACACAUGUUAACUAAGUUCUUGAUGAUCAUGGUUCAAAUUUUAUUCAAUUAUAUCAUUGGGUCGGGAAACUAACAAAAAUCUAAUUCAAAACAAUAAGGAAAACAAGACAAUAUUUUUGGAUUUUUAAAUUUUCCGAAUUUUUUUUUUUUUUUUUUUUUAAAGAAAACAAAAAGCAACAACACAGAAACACAACACAGAAACAAAUGAAAUUCUGGAGAUUUCUACCCCCACACUUAAACUUGACAUUGUCCCCAAUGUCAGAAAACACUAUAACGCAAAAUAAAAAUAAAAUAAAAUAAAUAAAUAAUAAGAAACAAAAUAAAGCAAUUAGACUGAAAACUUCCCUAAGUUGCAGUAAAAUCAAGUGAUUACCCCCCACGCUAAAAUUCUGCAAUCAACUUCAAGGGUGGAAAUAACCAAAAGUUCCUGCAAAGAAAAGAAAUAAUUCAGUUAAGUAACGCAAGAAAAUGUAAAAAAAUUGCAAACGAAAAAUUGAAAAUCACAAUAAAAGACAAUGAAUAGAAACUAAUAAGUGAUCAGUGGUCAUGCUUGUUGAUUUUCCACAGCGUUCCUCUUGAACAGGGUGACACUUAACUUUUUACUUGCAAGUGAUGAUUUUAUGCUAUUGUACGGCGAGGCUUUGCUCUUUGGCGAAUGUGCCAUCCAAAUGUUGUUGAAGCUUCUCGAGUUCUUCAACUCGGACUCCUUGUGCUGGGUUGAUUGAUUAUGCAGUCUGCAUUCUUCUCUGCUUGUUUCCUCAGCACGGCGGGCAGGCACGAGGUAGAGGUGUUUUGGUCUGAUUCUUUCUUCAAUCUUUCCAAGUGCCCACCUCUUGCUUUCUUUCUCCUUGUCCCUAGCUGAGGAUGAAUUGGCAAAUUGUCUCCACAUGCUUCGAGGUAUCAUCUUCACUUCCCUUACUUGCCCCCCAGACAGAUGUGAGACGAAGCGGAAACACAAGAUGUUGAAGAUGAGUACUCGAGAGCAAGGCUAGGUAAGCAAUCAGGACAAGGAGAAGGAAGGAGAAAGCAUGAUAUGAGAUACUCUUGCUUUCAACCUUUAUGAUAUGAAAUACUUUUGCUUUGAAUGGGUUGUUCGCAGGAGUAUCCCAAGGAAUGAGGAACACAGAGUGACUCGAGAGGGUUAUUUGGGAAUGCAUUUUCGGAGAUGAAGAAGUGUUGAGAGGGUGUGCUGAGAGAGUGUGCUUUUGUUGUGGAAGGCGAAGGUAGAAACUUAUAGGACUUGUCUUCAC
RNAcentral lists this long non-coding RNA (92190 nucleotides) under Malus domestica (apple). RNAcentral describes it as "long non-coding RNA (MDOM_LNC000045)". Lineage: Eukaryota; Viridiplantae; Streptophyta; Magnoliopsida; Rosales; Rosaceae. The record is from RNAcentral.